AAAAAAAAAAAAAAAAAAAAAAAAAAAACUGAAAAAACUAAAUUGUAGAAUGGUACUUACUAUUGUUGUUUUUUCUAUGCCACAGACCAUCACUAUAUUUUCAUUAGAAUUUUCUUGUAAUAUCUUAACUUUAAUUUCUUACAAUGCCAAUAAAUAUCAAGGUAUAAAAUUUUAUUAUAAAUUCCUAGACAUUUUAUUUUAUAUUCUUUUUUAAGUUAUAUAUUUAUUCUAUUAAAAAAUAGGAAAUAUAAAAAAAAAUUAUAAAUUUUUAUUUCAGUAUAUGUAAUAUAGAUAUAAUAUUAUUAUAUAGAUUAUUUUUUAAAUUUUUUUUUAAAGUAAAUAUUAUAGUCAUAUUAUAGUCAUAUUAUCUCCGAGGAUAUCUUUAGUUCUUCUUAAAGGGUUCAAAUUGAUUGUACCAUUGCUUAGAUUUUAGCUUUAAUUCGUAUAUUAAAUCAUUUAACAUGCAUGCAAAAUUUUACUUUCUAACUCUCUUAAAAUGAAUAUAGAUUAGUUUGUUUAAUUUUAUAUGUAUAAAAUGGUAGUGAUGUCUAAUGUCCAAAUCAUAUUAUAAAAUUAAUAAUAAUUAUAUAUAAAUGAGUACAGUUUUUAUUCUAAGUAAAAAAUAUUAUUAAGAUAAAUUAAUUUUUUAUAAGCAUACUUAAUUAUCACUAAUUUGGCUUUAUAUCUUGUUCUAUGUAUGUUAUGUAACUCUUAUUUUUUCACAUAUACCUACUUAUAAGUAACAACCUUCUUUUUCCUAAGUGACUGCACCAAAUUCCAUGCCUAUUUCUUACAAAGAAAUUCUAUCUCUUCAUCUAUUGCUAUGUUUGGCUUACAUUGAUUUUAUCUACAAUACCUAAAUGGUCAAAUCUGUUAAGAAUUUUUUUUUUCAUUUGUGACCUUUAGAAUUUUAAUUUUGAAUUAUUAUUAUCAUGAAAUUUCUUUAAAAUAUUAGAAUAUAAAAUAAUAAAAAAACUACGUAUAAUCUACAAAAUAUAAAACUUCACUUUAAGAAUAUUGUAUGUAGUUUGAUUAUCUUGCUUUUUAUAUUAACUAUUUUCUGAUAACAUCAAAAUGUUAUUAGGUUUUAUGUAUUUAGUAGUAAUAAAAUAUAAUUCAUACUUAAAUCUAUUAUUUUUUAUCCUUUAACAAUUUUUUAUAAUCUAUAAAGUCAUAUUAUCUAACCAUAGAAUUAAAAAAAUUAUCUAGUGUAUUAGCAAACAUAAAUGUAAGAUGGAUAUCUUUAAAUCUUAAUGAUAAAAAAACCUUGAUGUCUACUAUUUUCCAUUUUAGACAUUCUUUAUUCAAUGUCAAUAGAUGGAGAAAAGUUUACUAAAACACCAGCAAUGUAAACAAUUUUUUUUCAAAAACUUAUCUCUUGCUAAAUUUUACUCAAUUUAUGUUUUUUUCAAAACAUUUAAUUUUAUUAUUUUAUUUUUCUAUUUGAUCAAAAAACUCAUAGGAUAGAAAUGUAAUAAAUAAAUCAUUUUAUUAUAUACAACAUCAUUAAAAGAUAUUUAUAACAUUUAUACAAAAAUAUAAUAUAUAACAUCAUUAAUUUUUUUUUUUUUUUUUUAUUUUUAUUUUUUAUGUUUCCUUAAUACAAAGUGUUUACAAAACACUAUCUAAUAAGAAUAAACUUUCUUAAAGAGUUAAUGCUUGUAUAAUUCUAUAAACCAUUAUUCAUUCAUGUGAUCCAAUGGUGUAUGCUAUAAUUAAGUCAUAUCUAAAUAAUAUCUACCUUAAAUGGAUUUAAUAAAAACUCCAAGUGUAUCAAUGCCUCCUAUAAGCUUAUAUAAGUUUAUAAUCUUAUUGCUCUUUAUGAUUAUAGAUGCUCAUUUAAUGGCACCUCAAAACUCUAUGUUUUAUUGAUUAUUCAAAUUCAAUCAAGUCUAGUGCAUCUAAAGAAAUUAAUUAAUUUAUAUUAUUUAGAAAUACGUAGAAUAAUUCCUAAUGUUUUAAAAAUUACAUCAAAAAAAUUAAUAUAAAAUAUAUUAAGUUGAAAAUUCUUACAUGACAUAAUUUUUUUGAACAAUUUAGUUCUAAAAUUAUAUAAAAUAUAGACAUAAAAUUAAUUAUUUUAAAACCAUAUAUAAUAUGUGCAACUAAAAUUAAAGAUCCAUUCAUUAUAGUACUUAUUACUUAUAGUAAUCAUAGUCAUAACAUUACUAAUCUUUCUAUCUAAAUUAAUAAAAUUAUCGUCUUUAAAUAAUUAUAUAUAUAUAUAUAUAUAUAUGAUGUUAUUAUUUUAAAUUUAAUUUUAAAAAAUUAUAUAUUUAUUACAUUUGAUCUUAAAUAUAUCAACUUAAAUUUUGAAUUUUAAUCUAGAUCUUCUUUGAUUGUAUCUUUAUUGUAUUCUUUUCAUUUCCUACAAAUAAUGGCUUAAAAUACGAAAUUUUAUCAAUGAUUCUUUUGUUCAUCUUAAUAAAUAAGAAUGCUAUUGUAAUAACUUUUAAUUAUAUUAUAUAUUUCUUAUACAAUAGAAUUAUAAAAAUAAUUAUCCAAUGAUAGAGGAAGCAAAGUAAUAGCAACAAAACUUUAUCUCCAUCUUUUAAUUUAACAUUAAUGUUAAAUGAUUUAUUGAAUAUUUUAUUAAAGUGAUUAAUUAAAAUUAAAUACAUUGCUAAGGAUUUUUAUAUGGAAUUUCUAUAAUUUAUGCUUUACAUGUAGUUUAUUUUUAAACAAUGUUGCUAUGAAGAAACUUCUAAAUUUUGUGUAUAGUUUUGUUGAUAAACUCUCAUAAAUAAUAUUUUGGGAUAGUUCAUUUGAAAAAUUUAAUUAAAUUGUGCCAAGUGCUUAUAAAUUGAUCUCAUUCUUUUUUUUGUCAAUUAUUUUCAUAGACUUGUUUUCUAUUAAAAAGUGUUCUUAAUAAGAUUUUAGAAUAAAGAAAGAAGAGACGAUGAUGAAGAUGACUUUUUAACCUUCUUUCCCUCUCUCUUUCUCUUCCUUGUAGUAAUAGAAAGAGCAUAAAUAUUUUUUCUGUAACAUUGUAUCUAUCCCAUUUGAUGAGCAAUUAAAACACUUUACUAAUAAUCUUUAAGAAGUUCAGUAGCAAUAAUAUGCACCUUAACCAAGUUGUCAUUGUAUGUGUAUUUAAUUGGAUUUUAUUAUAAUAAUUGUAUUGUAUUUAUGAUUUUGUAAAUGAAAUCUAUAUAUAUUUUGUAGAUGAAAUCUAUAUAUAUUUUGUAGAUGAAACACAAGAAAAAUAAAGAAAUUUAGAAAUUAUAAGAAUAACUAGAAAAAAAUUAAUGUGGAUCCAUGGAUGAGGUAGAAAAGAAGAAGAAGAUGUGAAGUUUAUUUUCUAAUAAAUUUCUAAAAACAUUAUUACUACUAAAAAAAUAUUUUUAUUGGUUGAAUAGAAGAACAACUGAAAAGAAAAUAAAAAAUCAAUAAAUUUUAGUGUUCUAAUGUAUACAAACUUUUUUAAAAGAAAAAUAGCUACAAAUCAUAUUAAGCAAGUUUAAUAAGACAUCAUCCAAGUGAACAAAAAAAUCAAAAAUGUAUUAUUCUUUUGUUUCUAUUAUUAUAGCCAAACGUGGUUUAUGGUAAUAGAAUGUAUUAAUAUCAUAAAAAAUAUUAGUAUAGUAUAAAAAAUAAUCGAAUUAGUAUUAAAAAAAUACUAAUAUUUUUAAUUUAGCAUGGAUAUGCUGAAUAAGUUUUACCUUAUAAUCUACCAACCAUAGAUAAUUAAAAUUACAAGAAGAGAAAUAUUAUUAACUAAUAUAGAAACAUGUUGAAGAAGGAUAUUUAAAAUUAAAAUAAUGAAUUCCUUUAAGAAACCCUAUAUUUCAUUUAAUUAGAGUUAAAGAUUUCCUUUAAAUAAAACAAAAAAAAAUCAAAACAAAACAAGAAUGCAGCUAUAAAAUAAUAUAAAAUGAAAUAAUAAAUAACAAUCAAAUAUUUUUAUAAAAAAUUCAUAGAUAUAAUCAAUAAUAUUUUUUGAUCAACCAAGAGUAAGAAAUUUAUUUUAAAAAUUUAAUGGCUUAUUUUAAUAUUAUUUAAAAAAAAUUUAAAUACGAUAACUAAUUUAAUAAAUUUAGUAUUCAAUAUCUAUAAACAAUGUAGUAAUAUAAAAAUUAAACUAGAAAGGAUGAUAUUUAAUUUUAUUAAAUAACAUGUUUCAUAAAAAAAGUUUAAUUAAAUGAUUUGUAUCAAUUUAAUAGCAAAAGUCUAAAUACCAUCAUAUAUGCAACUAUUGAAAAAAAUUAGGAGACAUAGUACAAACAAGAUGUUAUUUUAAGUAAUUUAUUUGUUAACUAAACUUAUUAUAAAGUGAAGAUAUGAUUAUAUUACAUUCAUUUAAAUAAAAUCAAUAUAUCUUAGUAGCAACACAUUGUGCUACUAAGUUGAUAGGGCUAAAGUAUUAAAGAACAACAGAAUAGUGAUAACUUCCAAAUUUUAUACUAGCAAAUUUUUACUAGAUUUAAGUGAGUCCUUAUUAUUGUAAUGAAUCUAAUUUAAAACUAAUUAAGAAUUUGAUAUUUUUUAUCUGAUUUUUAAUUAAACCAUAGAAAAUUUUCUACACCUACAUCAAUAUAAAAUCAGAGAUUAUUUUUCUCUAAUAAGCAAAAUAAUUCUGUUUAAUAAAGUCAUUGAUAAAUAUUUGACAAAGUAUUGGUAAAAUUAAAACAAUCUUUGAUAAGAUUUUUGUUUAUAUUUUUGUAAAUACAUUCUUUUUACAUCAGUUUUUUUAUGUAAUUAUAAAUUAUAUUCACCAUUCAAACUUAUGUAUAGAUUAUAUCCACUCAUAUCUGUAAAUAUGUCAAAAAAUGUGGCGAGAUAAAAAAUAGUGAAAUUGUAGAGGAAGGUAAAGAGAGAAAAAAGAAAAAAGAAAAGAAAAAUUUUAAAAAAUCUAUAAAUAAAAGGUAACUAGAUAAUUACAAUUGAAUUUAAUAAGGCAAGAGGUCACUAAGUACAAACAUUGAUUGUACGAAUAGAUGGUAGUUCUACAUGCAGAAAUAUUGCACUACCACCAAACAACAAUAAUAACACAGAUUAAUUAUGUGUAAAGAGAAAUAAUUGACCUCAUAAUGACAAUAAAAUUCUCAAGGCGUAGUUAGUUAAAUCAAAUGCAUCAAGAAAAUGAAAACAUUUAAAAAACGAAAAAAUAACACCACCAGAUUCUAAGCUAGAUUCAAUUAGAUAAUAAAAAACAAGAUUGUUUAUGCAGUAUUAAAAAGGCUUAAACUGUUGAGAAAAUUAGUAAAACAAUUUAUUUAAACUAAUAUAUAUUUUUUUCAAAAAAAUAAGAGCAUGUAGAGAAUCUCAAGACCUAACAAACCAAAAAAGUAGCAUUAUAUUUAUAAAAAUAAAAUAAAAUAAAAGAGAUUUGAUGCAAAAUCAUUAGUAACAAAUAUCUAUAAGAGAAGUAUUAAAAAAUAUAAAAAUAAACAAUCGAUUUAUAAUGUAGAAAUCAAAUUGUUUUAUUAAAGACGACUUUAUUUUUAAAUUUUUAAUAAUAACUUCAAUUUUUUUUAUAUCUUUUAAGAAGAUGCACAAAAUUUAAAAACAGCAAACGUACAUUUGAACAUUUCAGAUAGAUGUUUAUUACAUAAGUAGUACAAUUUAAGAAAAAAAAAAGUUUAUUUGCAACAAGAAUGGUUGGAAAUUCGCACUUAAUCUUUUGCUAUUAAUUUGGAUAGAUUUGGUUCAAGCAUUUAAAUAAGUAAAUUAAAGAAUAAACAAAAAGAAAUUCAUUAUAUAAAGUUUAAAUCAAGCCAAAAUAAUGUAUCUUAUAUAUAUGAUAAAAUUAUUAUCAUUAAUAUAGAUUCAACUAAAAUACUUAUUUAUAAGAACUAAUAAAUUAAAAUUUUCUGAAUUUAUAGAUAGAAUAAAAAAAAAUCAUCGCAUAAAUAAUAUCUAAAUAAACAAACAUCUAAAAUGAUUAAUAGUUUCAUUUUUUUAACACAUUACAAGCAUUGAUUGCUAGCACUUAAAGACCUAAUAUCCUUUUAUGAUAUUAUGUAUAUACAAGUAAGCUACUUAUUCAAAAAAUUGUAGCAACCAAACACUAUAGUGAAAACUCUUAUUUAGUCUUUAUCAUCAUGAAAUAUUUGAAAAUUAUCUUAUAAUAAUUUGUACUAUAAAUUCAUGAAUAAAAUAAAGUGUGUAAUAAUUUUUUAAAGCAAUAUUGUAUUUACAAAGAAACAGUUCAAAAAGAAGAAAUAAUAUCAAAAGAUCAGUUUGAUGUACUUGGCAAUCUUAAAGUCGACUAACAUUGACCUUUAUAAAAGAAACAAGUUUGCUUUUGAGCAAUCUAAAUAAAGAUUUUAAAGAAAGAACCAUGAUUGGUGAUUCUAUGAGGGAUAUUAUCUAUAUAUAUAUAUAUAUAUAUAUAAUAUCUAAUCUAAAAAAAGAGAUUUGAGCGUAUUGCCAAAAUCAAAAAAUAAUUAGAAAAUAUUUUUGUUAAAAAAACUUUAAAUAAAUUAAAAAAACAUUAAAAAAUUAAAAUACAACUACCACCACCAACACCUUUAAUAAAUAUAAAUGCAUAUAAGGUUUUUUUAGUUUAAAAUAUUGAAAUAAAAUUAAGAAAUAAAAAAAUAAAUAAAUCUUUGAUUCUAAUGUCUUAUAAUCUUUUAUUGAAUGAUUGUAAAAUAAAAGAAAAAUAUAAAAAUAAAAUAUCUUUAAAAUAGAAAAUAGAAAAAAAAGAUGAAAAUUUGAUUUGAAAAUAUUUUAAUUAUUGAAGAGAAUUUCUAAUAGAAAUUGCACAGUAAGUAUCCAAAUCUAUAGUUAUUAAAAAACUAUUACUAAGACUAAAAAUAGGGAUAUCAUUUUUUGAUAUUAUUAAAUUUUAUUAUAAAUAUAUCAAUCAAAGUUUAAAAAUUAAGGUACAGCUGAACUAAAAUACCAAAAUUAAUAAAACAAAAAAUAAAAUACAUUGGAGACAAGAACUAAUAAUUAAAAUUAACAACUAAUUAAAGAAUAAAGUAUGGAUAUGUGAAUAAGAGCUUUAGGAUAAUAUAGAAUUUUGGAAAACAAAACAAGCUUCAUAAUGAUUUCUAGUAAAGAUAUUUGAAAUUUCAUUAAAUUGUGUUAAUUACAAUUAAAAAAACAGGAAGAUACCUUAAAUUUAAAAUCCUAUUCUAGAUCUUAGUUAUUAAUUUUUUUAAAUAAAAAUAAAAAUAUAUAAACAUAAAUAUUUUUAAAAUAAAAUUUUAAGAAUAAAAGAUAUAAUGUAAUAAAACUUGUUAAGAACUCAAGCUUAAUCUCAUUUUCAGAAUAGGAUCUUUUAAAAACCUUCUUUAUUUAAAGUUUUUCUUUUAAAAAUAUUUCUACCAUACUUGUGAUAGAGGCUUUUGAAAUAAUUUUUUUAAUAAUAAUAAUAAAUAUAUUACUUUUUUAAUAAUGGAAUAAUUUUUAUUUUUAUUUUUUAUUUUUUUUGAUAUGAAUUUUUUUUGCAAUUAUCACAUAUUAAAAAAUAUUAUUAAAAUUUAUAAUAACUAAUCACACGUAUUCUAUUAUGAAUACUUUUGGAUUAAUUUUUUUAUACUAUUAUUUUUUUAUGUGUUCAUUCUAGGACUUUAGUUUUUGAAAUAGAUAAUUUUUUUCAUAUAUUAAAAUAUUAUAUUUUUUGUUUUAAAAUCAUAAUAUUUUCAUAAAAUUAAAGGUUAAGAGGAAAUAUUUAUUACUUAGAAAAUUUAUUGAUAUUAUGGAUGGAUUGCUUUAUUGAUUAUCUUCUUUAUAAUUGAAAUAUAUAUAUAUAUAUAUAUAUAUAUAUAUAUAUUUUGUUAUCAUUAAAGUUGUGAUAUAAAAUCAAAGUUUUGUUACAAGGCAAUGAUGUUAAAAGUCACUUGAAAGAAGGGAAAUUGAAAAUUAAUAAAUGUAUUUAGUCCAUUUUAUCUUCACUCUAAAUUUGGUCAUAUUAGAGCUUUUUCAAUGUGAAACUUAGAACUUAAAUUUUAUGUAGAAUAUAUUCUGUUUUUUAACAAUUAUUGGAGUUAUGUAUAUUGUUUUCAAAAAAGACCUAGGUUUUUUUCUUUGUUGUAUGUCUUUUAAUUAUAUUAUAUCAUGUUGGAAUGUAUAAUGGUUUAAAGUCUAUUAUUCACAUGUUCCCAUGUUCUUUGGUUUCGUCAUUCAUAUAUUCCCAUACUUCUUUGUUUCCAUAUUCCCUAGUUUCCUUGUUCACAUAUUUCCAUGUUCUUGCAUUCUCCAAGUUUUCUAAGUUCCCUUCUUCACAACUAAUUAGAGAACUUAUUUUUCCUUUUGUGUUAUAUCUAAGAUAUUUUAUAUAAUAUAUAUGUAUAUAUAUAUACUAAAUUUUAUUUUUAAACAAUUAUAUUUAAAAUAAAUUUCUAGUAAAAUUUAGAAGAGUUGAUUUUAAUUAUUUGUAUUUAAAUGCAAAACAUUCAAAAGUUUUUCUUUGCUAGGAGAAAGAGAGGGAGAAAAAUCAAUAAUAUAUAUUUUAAAAUAAGCUACAACUAUGUAGAUAUUGUAUAGUUAUUUAAUGUAGCUUGUAGUUAUCAAGUUGCAAGAAUAAGAUAAAGAUGAUUUUUUAAAUCCACCUUAAAAACCUCUUAUAUACUUAUUGAUACCAAAAGAUUUUUUUUUUUUUUUUUUUUUUUUUUUUUUUUUUUUUUUGUAGAAUAAAAUUGCGAUUAUUAAAAAUAAAUUCUUCAUUCUUCUUUUAUUAAUAUUUUAAAAAUCAUUAGUUUAUUUAUUGAAUUAAAAAAAUUACAAUUAAAUAUUAAAUAAUAAUUUUAUUUAUUUUUAAAAUAUUAACCUUAAGAAUUUUUAUUUUACCACCAAUUGUUUUUUAAUCAUUUAUGUAAAUAUGUGACAAAUAUUUUGUAGUGAAAAAAGAUAUGAAUAGGAAUGACUUAAAAUAAUUUUUUAAACAUAUAUUUGUAUUAGUAUUAUUGCAAUAAGAAAUUAUCAAUAAUUCAUUUAAAUAAUUUGAUGUUUUAUGCUUUGGUAGUUAAAAAUAUUUCAUAAAGAGCUCAAUGUAACUCAAAGCAGGUUUUUUUUUUUUUUUUUUUUUUUUUUUUUUUUUACAUUAGAGAUUAUUUAAAGAUAUUCAAUAUAAGUUCGACCUAUGUUUUGCAAGCUCAAAAAGUAUUUCAUGUAUUCUUAAAGAAUCAUAAAAAAUUGCAAGUCAAAAAAAAUAUUUUUAAAUAAUAUCUAAUUUAAACAUUAAUUAGUCAAGCUUAAGAGUAAAUCAUCAAUCAACAUUUUUUGAAAAAUAGUUAUUAAAGAGUUUUAUUUUUUUUCAGUAACUAAGUUUAAAAUUAGAAAACACAUUUUUUCUUUUUAUAAAAAUUCCAUUAGUUGAAGAGCAAUUUGUUGAAAAUCUUUUUUUAAGCAGAUUAUAUUUUGGAAUUUUUAGAUUUUAAAAAAAUAUUGAUUAAAUUCCAUAUAAUUAAUAAGAUGAUUGUGGUAAUAAUUUUUAUGUUUCACAAGAAAUUUAAAUAACAAGAUUUUACAAGAUUUCCAGAUUGAUUAUUUAUAUGAUAACUAAAAAUAUAUAGAUUUAGAAAAAUCGAUCCACUUAUCUAAUUUUGUGAUUUAAUUAAAAAAGUCCUUCUAAACCUAAGAAUUAUAUAUAUAUAUAUAUAUAUAUAUAUAUAUUAUUAAUUUUACAAGCUAAAAAAUAUAUUAUCAUAUGGUCAAAACUAUGAUUCUAAAAAAAUAUGCUCUCCUAUUUGAAAUAAUAUUUUGAUAUAACCAAUUUCCUUAUGAAAAUUUAUCCUUUUACUUAUUACUCUUUAAUUAAAAGUUUUUAGAUUUUUUUUACACAAUGCACUCUUAUAAAUCUAACUUAUAUAUAUAUAUAUAUAUAUGUAUGUAUGUAUGUAUGUAUGUAUAUUCUAUUUUUUUUCUUCUUAAAAGUAAUAUUAAAGCACUUUUCUUGGCAUAAGAAUUUAUAUCCAACCCUUCUUUAAGAAUUAUUUACAAAUAAUUUUUUUGAAUAUAUGCAUAUUUAUUUUAGAUAUAUCUGUUUGUUAAAGUUUAUUACAUUUAAAGUAAUAUAUUUCUUUAAAUUGUUUUGUUAAUUUUAAAAAAUAUAAUUCAUGACUUUGAGAAAUUCUUAUAAUUGUAGAUUUAUUGUAAUAUGAAGACCUUAUUUUUAAAAAUUUGUUAAAUUUUAUAUUAUUGGUACAUACAAGAAUAAUCAUGAGAUAAGUUUGGUAGAAACUUAUACAUACCUAUAAAAAUAUACUUGCUUAAGAAGUUUUUUUUUCUUAUUUUUUUUCUUCUAAUAUAUUAAGUUUGAAGGAAAAAUAAAAUUUUCUAUUAUUAAAUAUGAUUUGAUAGAAGUUAUUCACUCAAUUGUUUUACUGAUGAGAAAUUCUUUAUGAUUAGGAAAAUUCUGAAGUUGCUGAUUUAAACUUUUAUAUCCAUGUUUUUAUUUUAAAUAAUUUUAUUUAUAUUAUAUUAUUCUUAAAAAUAACCUUUGUUAUAUUAGAAAAAUCUUGUAAUAUAUCUAAUAUAUAUAUAUAUAUAUAUUUUUAAUGUACAUAUUUGAACAAAAUUAUAUCAUUAUUGAUAUAUUUUCUUUAGUUGUAGAAAUUAAGAUAUUAGAAAUAUAUAAAAAUAUCUAAAAUUAUUCUUUGCAAUUGCCCUAUAAAUUGGCCCUAGUCAAUAUAGGCCCUAAAAAUAUUAUCACUAAAUUUUGAUUAGUCACUUUUAUGACUGAUGUUGUAAAUAAUAUCAUGGUAUUUUAUUCUAAAAUGUAUUUAUUAUAAUAUAUAAAUCUUAAUACACUAAAUAACUCAUAUUUUAUAAGCUAAUAAAAAUUAAAAAUAAAUAACUUAAAGUAAAGUAAGUCAUCUUUUUUACAUGCUUUGUAAAAUAUAAACACUUAGUUGUGGACUCUUAAAUGUGUAACUAUUGUAGAAAAGUUACCAGUUGGAACUAGAAGUAUCAAUCAAUGAAUGACAUGAUGUAACUACUAUUGUAAAGUUUAUUUAAGCAAUAAAUUUCUAUGGAGUUUGUAGUUGCACUUUGGAGUCUGGCAUUUAACGAAAGCAUUCUAACAUUAUUAAUUUAUUCUAUACUUUAAAAAUUAUUAAAUGUUUAUAAAUAUAGUAAAAUAUGUAAAUUAUAUAGACACAUACAUACACAAAUUAUUUAUGAGAUCUUCAAUUUUUAUCCAAAUUAUUAAUGGAAAGUUGACCAAAAAUAAAUAAAUCCCAACUUAUUCUGAACUCUCUUUCACAGUAAACAAAAUAGAACUUGUCAUCGAAAUUGGCUUGAAGUUGACACACAUUGAUAAUUUUUGAAACCUUCUACCUAUCAAAACAAACCUCAAUAACAAAAUGUUACAAUAUCUCAAUCAGAUUUGGACUAUGUUAAGACAAUGGAACAAAUCCAUGCUCAUCAAAGUAAACAAACAAAGAACACAAACAAUGAGCCAGAGACUACUACGGUACUUGGUCCUAUUCCACAGUAGAAAGGCCUGACCAAUACAGUUUCGCAAGCAUUUAAGAUUUCAUGUGUUCCUUAUGUCCAACUGUGUUAUUCCCUAAGACACAAGCCAAGUUAAAGUCAUCAAGUCUGAAGUCAGUUCCUUAUGAAGAUACCUUCCAUUUGUCAUUGAGUGCAGUAGGCAUCAAUGUAGAUAUCAAAGUUGGUUACAUGGGCAAAGCCUAUGUGUAGGGCUACAUGCUCCCAUGUUCUUCUAAAACGAAAAACAAAAAAACAAAAACAAACAUAAAAAAAAUUAAAACAGAAAAGAAAAGGAAACAGCUACUUGAUGGAUACAAAGAUCCUUCCAGUUUGAGGGUUUAGGGAGUGUGGGUGGGUCUGCCCGUGCACACUCUAAAUUCGGCGAGUGAGCUAUCUACUGAGCACAGAACUGGGUUUUUCUCAAUCUCAUUGAGCUGUAGUGGCAAAGCUGUGGUGAAAGCAUUCCACACAAUGUCUGAGCUGCUUGAUGAAGUGGUGGGAACAAUGAUCAGAGAGGUCUAGUAAGGAUUUGGUUAACUUGGGAUCAAGCCGUUCAUGCUUGUUUACAGAAGCUCCUGGAUGCUACGUAUUGCUCGACGUAUCUCUGUCCCCCAUCGACUCCACCCUUGUUUUCUCAUAACACCAUAUCCUGGUUUUUCAAUCUUGAUUGAGAACCCUCUAGGUAGCGAGUGGAAGUUUUUUCCCAUAUGGUCGAUCAUGUCUGUGAAACUCUCGUUUAUUUUACUUCCGUUUCGGGAAACAUCCUGGACGUCUUGCAACAGAGAAUCCUAAUGUAACACACUGUCCUGUGCAGUUAUUUUCAUUACUUUUGGGAUCCAAUGUUGGAGAAUGUAACAUCAUCCAAGACAUGAACACCACACUAGUGCUGAAAAUAGGAUGCAAAGAUGGGGGCUCAGCUCGAACUGGUGGAGGUACAUGAGCAAGAUAGUUACAUAGUGCAGGUUUCGGUGGGACCAAGAACUAGGGAUCGGCAAUAAAUAAAAUAAAAUAAAAUAAAAUAAAAAUCAAGAAGAAAAAAAUAGUAUCAUCAAUUAAGGCAAAGUCUGACCCGGAAAAGAACCACCCCAAAGAAAAAGCAAAACUAAGCGGCUCCCAGGCCUUUGGCAGGAUGCAGUGUAAAACGUGGUGCGAAUGUUCACUCUCGGUAUUGUCGUAAGAAUAAACAAAAUUACUGUCAAAAAACACAGCACAGCAGAGAUUCUAGCUAACAAAGGCUGUGGCUGAGUGAUCGGUUCUAGAUUGGCUCGCCCAGCUACACCCGGUCCCAUUUGACUUCCGAGGUCUUGUCGCAUAACGCCUAGUCCCCUCUGCGACGCAAAACCAGUAGUAGUAGCCCACCGUCGGUGCCCGCGGCGACAGCUUACUAACGCUCUGUUGUUGUGUUUCCCCGGCACUCUCUCUCUGUCCUUGUUUUCACACCCGCGCCGCGUGAUCAUCACUACAAGCUGCUGCUGCUGCUGCUACUACUACUGCUACUUAUACCAUUGCUACUUCAGCCUGCUCUCUUUCUAUUAACGUGCUCUUGGCUGGGGCUGGGGCUGGGCCUGGCCCUCCCCCCUCCUUCUGCUCCUAUAUAGUCUCCGUGUGCCCUGCUCCCCCAUUACCAUCCCUAUUCCACUCGUCGUGGCUGCCUCCGCCUGCUUCUCUCGAUAUCGCCACAUCAUGCAUAGUUUGUGUCGCUUAUCGGGGUAGAGGCGGAUGUAGAUGGUGAUCGUGGAGGGGACAGACACUGUCUGAACGCGUUCGUUGCAUCGCUAGCUGAAUAGCCAAGGGUUACGGGGGCUAGAUGCGAUAGAUUGUGUGUGUGUGGUUGGAUUGAAUGCUAUACACGUCGCCGUGAUUGAAUCAGCUUGUCAUUGUCUGACUGUUUGAUUGCCUUGCGUGUUUGUUUGCCAGGUGGGGUGUCAAGGCCUGCAAGCUUGUGUGAAUUGGUGUGUGGCAUUGUGGGUUUGAGUUUGAGGCAAGGGUUCUGAGGCGUUGGAUUGUGUUGAGGGUUGGCAACAGCUGCUUGAGUAACUUGAGUUGAUAAUUGCGUGUAUCGUUCAUAGUAGACAACAAUAGGUCAUUUACUUGACUUCUUAGGAAGCGAUGACUGUUGCUAUGCGAAUAAUUAUAAUUGCAGUGGUGGCUUCCUUGUAUAUGCAUUGCGCAGCACUUGAAUAACAGGAAAUCACAUCCAUCCAGCACCCGCAGUCUAACUCUAGGGGACACUGUAGAGCUUCGGUAGAUUCGCCUCACUUCACAGCGCGCCAAUCUUUACAUGCCUGGGAACUCUACUAGGGUACAGCCAAAGUUCCUAGGAAGUACUUGGGGAUCUGAGCCUGUAACAUCUUCCCAACGUGUGUUGGAGAGUUACUGCUUUGUUGCUGGCAACUGCGAUGGAUCGCUCUCAUAUUGCCCGGAUACGCCUAACGUGUUCUGAUGCUGCAAUUUGUACAAUGUGGAUGCGAUCGCCGAAAGACAGCUCCAAGUUACCUGCAGCAAUCCAUUCAUGGAUAAAGUCAUGAGAAAGACACCGAUGUAGUAAUGUAUAGCUCGACUAAAGAUCAUAGCAGUUUACUGCGCAGGUGAAACCGAUUGUUUGCAUAUUGCUAGGUGUGCUGGCAGCCGGAAUCCAUGGAAGAGGGGGGCAGCAGAAACUGCAGUGGGAAGUCUGUCGAAGAUCCGAAGACGCAAAACCUUAUUGUCAAGUGCGGAGGUGUUUAGGUGAAACUCUGCUGCGAGGAAUGCCCCCUGGCCCGAAGGCAUGUACUUCUCCCUCUUCGAAUGGUGUGAGCAUCAAGCUUCGGACCAGGCUUCAUUCCCCUCAGCGCAGUUACAUUUCGAUAUUCACGUCUCCAGUGGCGGCAGCAAGAAAUACAGCCAAUGAAUGCAUUACGGUUGAACUGAACUUCAUAGAUCAUGCAGAAACGUGGAAAUGUUCAUUAUCAAAAGAAAACUACGCAGCGUGUGGUCUUUAUCUUUGUUCACCUACGUGUCCUCCGAGGUAAGUGCAAGGCUUUUGAUGGGCGGAUGCGUACAAGUGAAUUAGUAAGAACAUUGGCACUUACUAGCCAAGUUGACCUUGUUCCUGCAAGUACUAUUUUGGCCCUGCCAUGUUCUUUUUGAUUUAUUGCAUGGAGGCUUAAACCAUUACUUAUUUUAGCAGUUUCGAGGAUUCUGUUGGAAUUGUCAGCUGUUAUUGUAUAUUUGGGAAGGUGCUUUUGGGGACUCUGUUUUCAGAGCCUGAGACGUGGACGUUGAAACGAACAGUUGGUACGACUUCCAACGUCUUUGAAGCUCGUAGUGCCCUUGCUUUUGUGCAUGAUCUUGUAAGUGAAGAACUCUCAUCCAGUUGAGUAUUUUUCUUCAUGUGGUAGAAUUUACAGUGUUUGUGAAGUUGAUGAAAAUCACUAUUGAAUCCUAUACUGGGGCGAAAAAGGUUGGAAGUCAUCAAUCCAUUGACAGCAUGGGUCUGCAGCUACCAAUGGGGUUCGUUUCGCUGGAUGUAUUGUAAUUGGGCAUUCAUUCUUGAGUGGUCCUUUAAAUAGCUUGGAGGUGUUUUCAAUGGUACUAUCCGAACCUGACAUGUUUUCGUUGACGGUACGUUAUAAUUUUAUAAUCUUCUGAAUUUGGUUUUUUAUCCGUUUCACUGUUCGUUGCAGUUUGGCCCUUUUUCGUGUGAUCAAUCUGACUUAAGUAACCUCUUCAGUUUUUAGAUAUUUGAGUAAAUAAACAUCAGCCUUGUUUAGAUCAGCAACUCCAACAGUUCGAAGACAAACUCUUUAUCGGACUUGUAAGAUCAUGAUGUCUGCUAUCUCAUUUCUUGACUGCUUUUAAUUCUGAGGCAGCUAUGGAGCAUCGAUGGCAUCACGUCAAGAAGGACACAACCCUCCCCCCUCCGGUUCGGUUGGGUUGGUCAAUGAUAUUUAUGUUGCCAAGAACUUCAGUGUCUUGAGAGGUUGCAGAAGGACAAGCAGAAUGCUCUUCAUCUUAAUUGGUUCCACUGGACUUGAAUGGCUUUAGAAUUGUUGUUUGGUGCAGUCCCAGGUUUACUUCGUCUGUCCUGACGAAUUGUUUACACACUCGUCAGAAGUUCCAAACGUACAUUGCUCUUUUUAAUAACCUUAUUGUGACAUGUUAUGAACCUCAUUGGAAGACGAGGUGUAUCACAUCCAAUCGACCUUCUCUGCACAGAAAGAGGUGGAGCACAAGUUCACUGCUUCGCAUUCUCACUGUGUGGCUUCAUUGAACUUGCUGAACUCUGUCCCAUCGCAAGUUGUAGGACUCUGUUUUCUUGUAGGUCUUAUCGGUAGGCCGGAUGUUGAAGGUGAUGAAUGCUGCAGUGCGAAUUCUUCAAAUGCAGCUCAAACUCCUCUUACGAUCAAAGGUGCCAACUCUGAUCACUCUUAGUUAGUACUCAACGUCUUCAUUACAAUGAUCGGUUGAGUUUUCGAAGACUUAACUUUAACAGCAUAAAGAAGAUGAUAAAAUGGGCUUUGCGAGCUAGAAGGAUUCUUUGUUCUCAUAUUCGAACCUAUCCGAAUCGAAGGUCUCUUCUUGACGAGACCCCAGACAAGAAUAAGUUGACACUUCUCCAACUUCAACUGUCGGAAGUUCAACACCGUUGCGGCUGCUUUCCUCGGGCUUCCCCUCUUCGGGAAUCUCAAGUACCAUGACAGUCUCAUUCAGGCUUCACAUCAUGGUAGCUUGACUUGAUACCCCUAUACACUGGAAGUCUGAAGAAGUAGCCGUAGGACAAAACAGGGCAAAUUAAAGGCUCGCUGUUGAAGUGUAGUGCAGUCUUCGUUGACUGAGUCCUUUCAUUCAAACUAUGCGUGGAGCUGGAAUGAAGCAGUUGAAAUCGGUGAUCACUCUGUGUCAUUGAGGGUGUAAUAAAGAGUUCCUAGGGGCAAAAACCCUGAACGUUGUGAGACGAACUUCGUAGUGGGAGUGCAUGAUAUUUUUUUUAGUUGUGCAACAGCCGUUGCACUGAUGACUUGAAAUUUUCCACAUGGAGUCAUUUUGUACUAGGGUUAGUCGUUGUCAUAAGAGGCUGAAUUAUUUUGUCUAUUUUUGCUUAAAUAGGUAGUUUCUUCUAUGUGAACUUGGUUAUGUGAUGUUCCUUAGAGUAUGUACCUUUGUUAAAACCUUGAUCGUAUUAAACUUCGAAAUUCUGAUGAGAAGUAGAAUAUUUUCAGCUGAAUGUCUUGUGGCUCCACACAUGUACCUGAAAUUUAACUGAAUUGGUACUUCUGUAUUAUGAAGCAUUGAGUGCCACGAUAGUUGCGUGGGUCUGUUUAUUGGAAGAUCCUUCCUUUCAUGUUUUGAGUUUAGAUGGUAUGGACAAGUUUUAUUAUGAUGUAUUUGGAGUAUUCUGAAGCGACAAGGGCAUCACUCAUGUAUUGCUUCGUUAAGAUCGUCGAUCUUACUAGAUGAGUCUUCGUCAGUCGGACCUGUGUUUGUAGCUUUUCAAUGGGUAGGAGGGAUCAGAUGCUCAAGUGAGAAGACGCCUUACGAUAGUACUGCAUCAAAUCCAGCGACUGUUUCCUUUGUCCACUUGUUUGGUAUGUUAUAACAGUGUCUGUUUUUAAGAAUCGUCGUUAAUCAACUUCUGAUUGUGCGGAACAUCCUCAUAACAUUGAAGAAGAUUAGGUGGGUCUGCUGUUACAAUUUCUUGUACAGCGUCAACAUGUGUAUUUGAAAGAUGUGAUGCCAAAUGCACUCGCUGCUGGAAAGUGAUUCUUAAAUGUGUGUUGAAUGUAAUAGGUAUACACCAGAAGCUUUGCGGCUUCCACUUCCAAUAGUUGUUAGGUUCUGACCACCCCAGCUUCCUUCUCGACACUGGUCAUCAUGAUAUAUGUGUUCAAAAUAUUAAAAAUAAUGCUAGCUCCAGAAAAGUGUACUUGCAUGCUCGUGCCGUCAAGCCCAGGAAAUUGUUAAAAAUUGGUUGGGCUUUAGUGAGUUUUGUAAGCACAACUUGGCAUGAAUUCUGCUCUCUCGUCUAGUCAGCUGCCAAGUCUGUCGGCUCAAAUAUCAUGCUGCAAACAUUCUUCAUGUUUCUGACUGGCUGCAGAUCUCGUGUUUUGUGAACCAAGAUGCACAAGAAAUUAAAAUAUUCACAUGACGGUUCCGCGAUCAAGCAUUUUGUGGUUAAAUCCGAAGCAAUCCAUGUCUGGCUGCAAGGGAUUUUUUCUCUGUUUGAAUGUCUUGUCGUGUUCUUCUGUCUGGCAUAGGAAUACCUCUGGUACAAGAGAGCUGAUCGAACCCUUAAUAGAGGGCCAACAACAAAUUUGCAGCGCCGAUCAGGAGCCUUUUCACAGACGCACUGACUACCUCUGCCCAUUGGAUGGCCCGAUCAAUUAGACUGCAGUAUUGAAGCUCAAAAGCCGCUUAGUCUGGACGUACCACCCGUUAUGCACAGAAUUUGAAUGUCUGUAGCUUUAAUUUAAGUGCCUAGUGUUGUACAUUAUAUAGAUGAUUCCUUGAGCAUUGAAACAGUUCCGCUUGAUCUGACGCGAAAGGAAGAAUCAAUUCCCAAUUGUUGUUACUGUCAUAGUGAGAACGAUGUGCUAGGCAGCCUGAGGAAGAGAUACUCAAGUUAAGUCGGGCACUUUCAAGGUAUUACAGAAUACAACCUGAAGAAGAGCGGCUCAUGAGAAGUUUAUGUCUCAGUAGCUGCCAUUACUACAGUUGCAAGCCUUGAUAAUGCUAACUAGUCUAUCCUGAUGCGAGCUGUAGACAUCAAAAAAAAAACAAACAAACAAACAAACAAAACAAAACAAAACAAAACAAAAAAACAAAACAAAAAACAAAAAAGAAAACAUUGUACACUUCACAAUUAAAUUCAGAUUCUUCAUGAUGCACCAGCAAAAGCUAAAAUCAACCAAAAUUAGAAGAAAAUUAUAUGCUGGGUGUUCGCAAAGGCCCGUCAGACUGUAAAUAGCAAAUUUGAAGCGUUGUACAAGUGGUGACUCAGAGUAUAGCCUAGGUCUAAAACCAGUGGUUUCAAAGGUGCCGCAGCAUGGCUCUUAGCCCUCUGACUUUUGAGACUGAAGCCAUCAAAUCCAGCCGUGUAACUCAGCAUAAUUCAAACACUACUUUUAAGUUGCAAAAUGCCUCAUACUCUUUUCUACGUAAACAAAUCAAAUAAGAUCAUCCUUAGUCUACAUCAGAGAGUUACGUUGUUUCUACUUCAGCAGAAGAGAGAAAGAAGGGAGAUAAAAGGUUUCAGAUCAAAGUUUUCCUUGCUAUCUUUCAAGUACUCGAAACUCAGCCAUGCCUUCACGCCUGGAUGGGGAAUACCACACACAAAGCUUCGAAGCACCACUGGCUUCAAGAGGGUAAUCAAGGCCACAUAUAAUCUCUUGUACAUACGGUUGCUGAUUAAGAUUCAAAGGAUUAAAAGACACACGAGAAUGAACGCGUGCACGUAGGGGCCCGAUCACCUGUGCCACGGAAGAAGGUUCGGGUCAGUUAAUUAGUCAAGUUUGAAUAAUUUCUCUGUAGCUCUGUUCAGACAAAGCGCUUUUUGAACAGUUUUGGUCAACUUCCUCAAAUCUGAACAAUCAGAAGCCGGAGUCGGAACUUGUGACCCUUCAAUAUCCUUUAGAAACUAUCCAUAUAUGGCUUUUCUAGAUUCAAGAAAAGCUGCGGCAGACUUCAAUAAAUUUAACUGCAACCACUCUCAUAGCAAACGAAGUACUGCUGGUUCUUGUCGUAUUACACAAGGCACAUGGGGAGAAUAAAUGACUAAGGCUGUGCUUUUCAACGUACAAGGACAUAAUCAUUAAAGUAAACCCUCUGACCAGCAGCACAAAGAGUACCUGCUGUUGAAGUUCCAAAGCCAGAGUAGGGUGCCCACGCUCGUCACCAAUGUCUCCAGACUCUCCAUUCGAAGAUGGACUCACGUCUUGCAUCUUAUGCAACUUCAAUGCAGAAACUGCCCCUAUGUCAAGCCGUAUACCCAUCUUUGUGAAGUCCCAAAAAUUUCUUUUAAAUCGACCAAACUGUGCGUUUAAGCCUACUGAUGCAAACAGGUCUGCAGAGUGGCGGCGUCCUAUCGGUGGGGAAUUAUCGGCACCAGUAGGAUCUAAAGAUUGAGUUAUACCAUACAAUGGAUCCAACCUUGAACUUAAAAGUCCUCCUGAAUGAACAACACGCUGUAAUUCAGUACAAAACUUAUACAAGGUAAAAAAAACAUUGGAUCAUCAAUGGCAAUUCAUAAUUCGAAAGUUAUUUUGAGCAUAACCAAAUUGUUAGAUGAAAUGUUUGAUUUUGCGAGGAAGUACGUUCUUAUAUGACACCCGAUACUCGUCAGUCCUUAACAAUCUCAUACGUUCAAUUGUCGACUUUAGAAUACAAUUGAAAUGUAAAUCACAAUUAAAAGAACACAAGCCAUAAUAUAUCUACGCACCAAGACAUAAGCAUCCAUUUAUGUCUGACCAGAACAAUAUGAUUCUCAAGAUCAUAUACUUACCCAGAACACCUGAAAGGGAAAUGCAGGGCCGAGCAUCAAAAAGACUGUACGAUUUUUGUGAAAUAAUGCUCUCUAGAUCAGCUUUCCAGAGGUUCAAGGACUUCUCCACCGAUGCAGCAGCUUGGAGGCGUAAUCCUGGGAGAGCUUUUACUGGAGGUUCUCCAGCAUUUACUUCCGGUCGGGUGCCACCGCACUCAAGAGGAGAUCCAGCACUAUGAUGAACGCCAAGCCGGUACCGAAAGCCCCCUGGAGCCCCCAGCGAGGCAAAAUCAAACGAAACCGUGUGCGGCACAUCCCAGUAGCGUGAUUCACGAUCGACAUAGCGCUCGUGGUAAGCUGCUUCCGCAACAAUUUUUUGUUGAUCCAACUGCAAAAGAGAGCAAUGCAGUGGGAACAUACGACAAAAAUUGAAGUCUUACGUGUGUUAUAACAACAAAGAAAGUAAUAUUGAACAACUUCUUGCUACUCUAGGUGGACAAAAAACAAUUCACACAACAUGAGUAGGUGUAUAGACCUUGUGGCGCAACGAAACGCGACCCCUCCAGGGAGGUCGAGUCUGUUCUCCAGUAGAUUGUUGAUCAGCAAACGCUUGACAAGAAAGACUAUCCAACUCUGAGGUGGUACUGAGGGUGGUUCUCGAUCCCAGCUGGAGCCUUGACCGAAAGCAAAGGGCGUACAAAGAGUUGUCCAAAAAGCGAUGUGCACUUUCCACAAGAUUUCUGGAGGUAUGCUGCGCUGCUGAAUCGCUACCUGUACGACUACUACUACUACUACUACUUUCGCCAGUGGAGCACUUUCUCCUAAACAGUCGCUGUGGCCGAACCCGACCUGUUAAUGUAGCCCACCUGCAUAAUCUCACGAUAAAUUAAUACAAGUUGAGGACAUGUGCAUCUGAACACAGGCAUGACAACAUCAUUUUAAAAACUGAAACAAGCUCAUUGGCUUCAUAUUUGUGGGAGUCGCCUGUAUCACACACUUUAAAAGAUAACGACGCCAAUUCUCAGUGGAGAGUAACAAGAACAGCAGCAUGUGCAGUAAAGUAUACUACUAAUGUUAAGGAUUUCCUUCUUGGCCAACAAAAUUUAGCAUUGGUCAAGGCAAUCAACACUAACUGUCCUGAAAGCAGCCUGUGUGCAGGUCACAUGCAUAUUCUAAUCCGAAUGUAGGAAAGACGUUUUCAUUGAACUUGUAAACAGAGAGUAGAGACAGAAGCUUAGCUAGUUUACAAGUAUCAAUGAAUAUUGUCACAACUUUCAUGUAAGAACAGGCAAUGCCCUGAUUCUCCAUGCAACUGGAGCUGUUCCCAGAAAUGAAAUCACUCGAUUGAAAGGCAAAAAAUUGCAUGGCGCCCAGAAGCAUAGGCUCACCAGUUUUCACCUCCAGCGCUCCCCAGCACACGAUCAAGAACUAAGCCACCCUUGUUGUCCGCAUCCACGACAUAAGAGGGUGUGCAAGGAAUACCUAGAAAUCGCUGCAACAUGAGCAGCUGCUGAGACCUUGAGAGGCGAGUUCCGGUCACAAUUCCUAAGGGCGGAGGCUCCGCAGGCAGCCCGUGUGAUAUUCCAUCAAUUGAUCUUGACGAACUUACUGACUCAUUCCAAAAUUGCGAUGAGAGUACUGGCUUCAUUUUCAACCUAGUCGGCAGUAACUCUCCUUCUCGCAAUUUAAAGGCAGAGGUGGCACAUUACUUGGAUAAUUACGGUGCCUGCCAACAGAUUGUAAUUCUAGAAUUCACCAAUUCCGCCUCGUAAAACCUAAUUGUUAAUGAUUGCCAAUGAAGUGCGGAUAUGAUAAUCUGCUUGAACAUAAAAAUCCUAGAAACCUACAAAGUGAAUCAAUUUUACGACAAUUCAAGACUGCAGGGUUUCACUGGAAGUCAAGAAACUGAUGCUCGAAAUAACAAAAAUCAAAUAAAAAAUAGGUCGAAAAGAAAUGAUUAAUUGAGAAAAUACGUCCCACAGCGCCUACAUUGACAAGAAAAAAGAGGACCCAAUUGCUAACAAUCUCAACUACACCACCAGUUGAGACCCGUCGUCACCCAAAAGAGCGGCGGCUUCAAAACCAGUCCCCGGAGUCUCCAUUUCACUAACACAAUACUGACCAGAUUUUGAGGGAUAAUCAGCAGCACAUAAAUGGCCCUCGCCGAUGAGUUUCCUUAGCAAUGUGAUUGCUCAUGACAAGAGGCAGACGUGCGAUGUGGGUUGCGGUCCCACCAUUCCAAAAUCCGACCUUCUUCUAUCAUUCUUUGCAGUAUACUCAUCCACGAACCAAUGAUAAACGGAAGGUAUUCGUCAUAUGUUUCUUGAGGCUUCGCGGUAGAGCGCCUUCUCGAUCAGAUUUUCAUCCAUGUUUUCGGAUAUGGCUGCUACCGAGCCUGCUCGCCUAUCGAGCCAUGCCCUCCUUGGUUCAAAGAGAUCAUCAAUUUUUUGAGAUUUCCUUCCUGGGCGACUGCCAAGGCUGGGGAUGCGGUUGUAUUCUGUGGGUUGGUUUUGCGAGAGAGCCGAUUCUGAAGUUUGUGACACGAAAUUUUUCAUAUUAUGCUAAAAGUUGGAAGAAUUUCACGGAAAGAAGUAUGUGCUUAGAUUCCCAUCAGAAGGAAGUGAUUGUUUGAGAGGUUUCAUUUCUUUAGUUGCCGCUACUUAAUGAGAAGUUCGGAGGAUGCAAGAGGAAGCCUGGUGGGCUUAUUUGUAGAGAUGCAUUAGAGAUGCUCAGUUUAGAAUGAGCUCUGGAAGAAGUUUUUGGGAUGAUUUUCGAAAUUGAAUUCUUUGGAAGCUUGAGCAGUUUCAAUGAAACCAAUACGAAUUGAUGAGAAAGUAAUUAUUUGGAGUGAUAGGAAAUAGGAUUUUCUGUGAUGGCCACAGGGAAAAUGGAGAUGGUGGCGACUGCUAGCUACGCUCCAGUUUCAACUUUCGCGCAGUUCUUUUCGCUUGAGAGCUUCAAAUUUCCAUAUUCAGCUACCGUUGUUGCUAAAAGCCCCUCAUCCAGGAAAUUUUGCACCCACGCGUUAAGACACAAAUCCAGGGGUUUAGGGUUUCAGGGGAGGAACGCGAGUUGUGAAUUUGUAGGAGCAGAGUUCAAUUCUGAAUUAUUGAGCUCUCAUUGGUCAAACAGAUAUAUUUCCUGUAAUUCCUCAAUCACGAGAAUUGCUGCAUUGCGACAAGGUCACUUUGCGGAGCCGAUUGUGACAGUAGGGGAAGUAGAGAAACAUGAAAAGCAGCUGACGGAGGAGGAAGCUGUGACCGAGUAUCUCGAGUCCGUCGGAAUUGAUCCGAGUAGCUUCGACGAACUCUAUCUGCAGCUUCAGCUUCCUGCUUCUUUGGAUAUUGUGCGUGAGCGGGUCAUGUUUCUGCAGAAGAUUGGACUCACGGUGGAGGACAUAAAUGAUUAUCCUAUCAUGUUGGGAUACAGUGUGAAGAGAAACUUCAUCCCUGUGCUCACUUAUCUUGAAUCCCUGGGGGUGACGUCGAAUUCACUUCCGAUUCUCGUGCGUAAGUAUCCGCAAAUUCUUCACACUAGUGUAGUAAUCGACUUGCAACCGCAUGUCGAGUACCUGGAAGGGUUGGGCAUACAGCGAGCUGACAUAGGUAGCGUCCUCACGCAUUAUCCUGAAAUUUUUGGGUUCAAAAUUGAAGGAACUAUAAGCACGUCAACUGCGUACCUUGUAAUGCUUGGCGUGAACCCUCGAAAAAUGGGCUCUAUUUUGACAGAAAUGCCCCAGAUUUUAGGUAUGCGUGUUGGCAAUAAUAUCAAAAGGAAAGUAGACUUUCUUAAGAGGUUUGGACUCACUAGCUCCGACAUUGCAAAGAUGAUUGAAACUCGUCCGCAGUUUUUAGGGCUAUCUUUAGAAGAUCAAAUGCAACCUGUUUUGAAUAACCUCGUAGAAAUAGGAGUAACACAGGAUACAGUAGGCCGUGUGAUAAUGCAGUUCCCAGACAUCUUAGGUCUCGACGUGAAACUGAAACUGGCUGAGAGACUGACAUGGCUAACCUCGGAAGUAGGAAUAAGUGCGGAUUCCUUGGGAGAAGUCAUUGCCAAGCUUCCUCAAAUUCUCAUCAUCAACACGACCAAGGCCAACGAGAGAGUUGAAUUUUUGAGACAGGCCGGAUUCUCAUCUGACGUUGGCUCAAUGGUGACAAACUGUCCGCAACUGCUUGCAGCUAGCAUUGAUAAGAGUCUCGAGCCCAAUUUGGCUUAUUUAGUAGGGAAGAUGAGAAGAAAGCUUGAAGAAGUAGUCGAGUUUCCAGCUUACUUGCUGUACAACUUGGAGGAAACUAUUCAACCACGGCAUGAGGAAAUCACCAAGAGGAGCAUGGAAUGCAGCUUGGCCUGGAUGUUGAACUGUACUGAUGAUGUGUUUCAGCAACGGAUAACCUUAGAGUAUGCCGAGCAAAGUACCCAGGACGAGGAACCGGACAUCCCAUACGUCGUUGCACGUCGAGCAAAGCUAACUGAUGAAACCUCAGUGCAACUGCCUGUGGAUAGUUCGGAGGAUGCCAAGAACAAGAAAUCUCCAGGAUGGGAUCAUUGAAGAAGACGAAGAACAAGAGGAAGAAUUACAUCUCUCUUUUGUUGUCACUCGGAGAAUGUGGCUGAUAGACGAUGCCUAGGAUGACUCUGCACCAGUAACUUUUGAAACAGAAUUCUCUUCGAGGUAUUCCAUCUCCACUUGAGGACUUCGUUGUUCAUGGUGUAGCAUCCGGGGAGAAAUUUGAAAGCCCACAGCCAAGAUCCUUCUUUUCCAUUAUAAACUGGUAGUCUGCUACUAUACCUUGGUUAUUGCCUCUAAUUCCUCUUCAGACAUGAUGGUUUCUUUUGCAUUGUAGUUUAGCUGAGCUUUUAUCGUGGGGUUUCAACCAGCUACCAUGGAACUAUGUGUGAUUCUCCCCUUAGGUGGAUAGGGUCUGGAAUAUCACUUAUGCAUUGCUUUUUGUUUAGGUUUAUGACUUGACUCAUGUCGACUUAUUGUUCGAUCUGGUGGUGGACUUCAGUACAUCAAUUUUGCACACGCUCCAUGUGUGUUGUGACCUCUCUAUACAGUUGUGCACUAUUUGAAGAUGUGAAGGAUUGGGUUCUGAAAACUGGUGCAUUGGAUUAUGUCUCUGAAGUUUCGUUUGAAAGAAUUGCUUCUUUGUGUAACUUGGGAAGCUUGUAGUGUGCACAUUUCACCUUUAUGUGCUCCACUUGACAGGAGAUUCUGAACAUUAUGUAAUGCCAGUAGGUCGAUCCGUGUAUGCGUGUUUGGAGUCAUGUGUAUGCUUGUUUGAAGUCAUGUACUAAUUGCAUAAGAAAGUUAUGCUUCUUGUAUUCGAUCGUCAAUUAAUGUCUAAAAUAUUUUCUACAUGAAGUCCAGUUUAGAUUAAACUAUUAGUUUAAAUGAACAUUAUUACCGUUUGAACUUGUGGUAAAUUAUGUGAUCAGGGAUUAAAAAAAAUCCUGUACUCAAAAGGAAUUUACACUUGGCAAACUUAUUAUUUCUUAUGUAAGUCCACUCACUAUAGAGAUUUAAAACAAAACAAAAGAAAUAGAGCUAUUACAUCUUUUUUCUAGUUAUAAAAAUAAAUGUGAAAUUCGGUAGUUUCAAUUUGGUUAAUUUAGAGUUUUUAUUUUAUAAUAAUUAUUUAUAUGCAUAAGAAAAUAAAAAUAAAAUAUUGAUAUUUUUUUAAUCUAUUGAUGUAUACAAUUAUAACUUUUAAUUAUUCAUAUUGUUUAGUUAUAUAGCUAUUUAGAAAUAAAUAUAUACAGUUAAAACAAAACAAAUUUUUUUUUUAGAAUAAUAUUUUAAAAUUCAUUUAAAAAUAAAAAUAAAAUACUUAGGAUAUUAGAUGAAAAGAUAUAUAAGAUAGUAUAAUUAAAUAGAUUUUUUGAAGAUGUUCUUAAAAUAACAUAAGUAAUUAUCUAAAUUAGAUAUAUAUACAUUAUCAUGGACAUGAAUCUCGAAGAAAGAAAAUCCUCAAUACAUUCUUGUAUCACUGUAAGGAACUAAAAAAUCAUUUAAAGAUGAUAUAAUAUUGAACUAGAAUGGCUAUUGCCAAAAACAAGAAGAUUAGAGAGUCUUGAAACAAGACUAAGGUCUAAAAAGGCAUUGACAAGAGUGAAAAAGGUUUCAUUCUUGCUUCCAUAUAUACUCUUAACUAGAAGCUAUGUGGCAAUGUCUUAUAGGACCUCCAAAACGUGUUGACUUUGCAAGACACGUAUCUUAACUUGCAAGCAAGUUUUUUAUAUGUGCACUAUAUAGUUAGCUUAUUCUACAAGCUAUUCAUACAUGAUUAACUUGUAGACAAAGUUUUUAACCUAUCAAUCAACUAUAAAUACAUAUAAAGUCAAAGUAGUAUUUAUAAAGCUUCUAAGAAGCUUUUCUAAAAGGUAUUAUAAAAUUAACCUACUUUUACUUACUUCUAUUUAAUUAUAUAAGUAUUUAUUAGAGUAUCUAUAUAUAUUCGUGACAUUAUCUUUCCUUCUAGGGACGAGUUCCAGGAGGAGCGGUCUUCAUAUGUUGAAAAAAACUAAGAUUCGGCAAAUUAUAUUUGCCACAUACUCUGAUCUUUGUUCCCUUUGAAGAUAGUUGAGAGGUCCUCUUAACCAUCGAUAGUAUCCCAUACCAAGGCAAAAAUACCACCCUAUUAUUUGGUCAUUAUUGAGGCCUUCAUAACUUCUUUCAAAUAAAACAUUUGAAACACCGUCAAGAAUUAUUCCUACCUCUAAUAAAAUCACCAAACAUUGAGAGUUUCUUCCAAGGUUGUGAUAUGAAACACGUUAUAUAUCGCCAUCUAUUUGAGGAAGGACAUGUCAUUCUUGAAUUUCUUCAUCUCGAUUUCAUCAUCUUCAAGAUUGUGACAAUUGUAAUGUCUGAUUUAAUAAGUCCACCAAUGAAGACUCUUCAGUUGAAUCUGCUGGUUCUUGGUUCUCCAUCUCUUUAAAGUCACAAAUAUAUAGAAACUACUAAGAAGGAAAGAAAGUAGAGUAUUAUCUUCCUUUGAUCUUAUUUCAUUUAUAGCAAAGAUUUGUUAUUCUUUAUCUUGAUUUUGAUGGAUGUCAUCGAUGAAAAGCUUCAAUUCUCUUUGUUGUAUUUGUAAGAUUCUUUGUUGGCUCCUAUGUGCAUUCACUAAUAUCAUAUCCAUAUCAAUAAACAAGAUAUUCCAACCUAUUUUGGUGUCGCCUUAAAUCUAAGACUUCUUCCACCUCGAACUUUUGAUUAUUAUCCACUUCUAUAGGAAGAACUGGCAUUUGUUUUUUUUCCAAGAUAUUUACUAUCUUAUAUGGCUCAAAAAGAGACAUGUGAAAUAUAGAGUGAAUCUUCAUAGAUUUCAAUAGAUAUAAUCGAUAAGUAACAGGAUUGACUUAUUUACUAAUAAGAAAAUACUCAAGCGUACAAUAAUUCAACAUAUCACAAGGACAAAUAGUCUUAACAUUGCGACAAAGUAAUCAUAUCUUAUCACUUACGUUGAAUUGUGGUCAUUCCUUGCAAUAGGCAUCUGCAUUAAUUUUUUGUCAUUCUUGAGCUCCUUUCAACUGUGCCUUUAUUGUUACAUGUGGCUCUAAUAAAUAAUUUUUCAAAUCUACUGGCUUAAGAUUAUCAACUUUUGAAAAGUCAAAAAUAUCAAGUUGUGGAUGAUAACCAUGAUUGGCAAAGAAACGUAUUUUUUGAGUAGAAGAAUGUACCAAAUUAUUAUAUGCAAACUUUACUAAUGAUAAAAGAAUUAUCCAAUCAUCUUGAUGACAGUUGAUAGUUCACUUCAAGUAUUGCUAUAAAUCUUGAUUUACCUAUUUUGUUUGCCUAUCAAUUUGAAGAUGAAAAGCCGAAGAGAGCUUUAUAUCCACCUUUAAAAUCUUGAAAAGGAUUCUCCAAAAUCUUAAUAUAAUUGAAUCCCCCCAUCUAAUAUAAUAUCUUUAGGUAAUCUGUGAUAGCGAUAAAUAUUGUUAAAAAAAAACUUAGCUAUUUUUUUUUUACCUAUGAUAAAUUUUGUAUAUAGUACAAAAUGUGCCAUUUUGGUAAAAUGAUCUACUACCACAAAUAUAGAAUCAUACAAACUUGAGACUGGAAGAUCCAUGAAAAAAUCCAUAGAAAAAAAAGACUAUAGUUGCUUUAGAAUAGGUAAUAGCUGAAGUAGUCUAUAAGGUUGAUAGCAAGGAGUUUUUGAUCUUGAACAAAUAUCAUAUGAUUGUACAAAGUCUUUGACUGCCUUCUAUAUUUGAAGCCACCAAAAAUCUCUCAAUAUUAGCUUCUAAAUCUUAUUGUAUUCAAAAUAUUUGGUUGCUAGAAAGUUAUGAUGAGUUUGAAGCACACGUAAACAUGCCUCAUCUUCUAGAAUAUAUAAUCGUCCCUCAAAAUAGAAUAGAUUGUUCUUCAACUCAAACUUGGAAAUAUCAUAAGACUUAAAAGAAUUAUUCUUCAUAUCAUGAAUAAGAGGAUUAGAAGACAUAUUUGAUAAAAUUUGCUUAACAAAUGUUGAAUCAAUAGUCAAUGUUGAUUUUAUUGCUUAAAGGUGAAAAUAUUUCAACUUCAAGAGAAUUAUUCUUUAUUGAUCAAAAGAUACAUCUCUUUCUUUUGGUAGAAGAUAAGAAUGUCUAAAAAGGGCAUCCAACAAACCUUGUUGUUUUUUGAGUCAAUAAGUGAUUUUGAAAUUAAAUCUUGAUAAGGACAUGCUUCAAUAAACUUGGUUACAAUUUAAAAUACAUAUUGACAUGAAAUACUCAAGGUUCUUGUGAUUUAUAUACACGAUGAUUGGAGUCAAGGUGCCUUUUAAAUAAUGAUGCCAUUCUUGAAAUAAAUCCACAAUUGUAAGGAAUUUAUUUUUAUAGAUUUCAAAAUUAAUCUUGACUGCUGAAAAUUUUCAAGAAUAAAAAGCUAUUGAAUGGAGUUUUCCAUCUACUCCCAUUUGUGAUAAUACUACACCGAAGACAAAGUUUGAUGUAUCUGUUUUGAUAAAAAAAAAUACCUUAGAAAAAUCAAUAUGAUAUAAAAUUGGUACAGAAAUAAACUCCUUUUUUAAAGCAUGGAACGAUGCUUUAACUUCUUUACUCCACUUAAAUUUGUCUUAAUAAGUCAAAUGUGUAAGUAGCACUAAAACUUGAGAAAAAUUCUUCAUGAAGAUUUAAUAAUAAUUGUUAGGGACAUAGUCCUUAGAACCUUCUAGAGACAAGUUUCUAGAACCUUCUAGAAGUAAAUCUUUGGAACCUUCUAGAAGCUUCCUAGUUAAUAGAAGUUGCUUGAGAAGCUUCCUAAAUAGGAGUAUAUAUUGGAAUCGAGGCUGAAGAGUUCUUCAGUCUCGACAACACAUCUCUUGGAGCUCUAGCUCACCUCUCUGGUGUUGUUCUUGUAUUCAUCUGAUUAAUCUAGUUCUUGUCAAUUCUUCUUGAAUUUCUUGUUAGAUCUCGAGUCUGUAUUUCUGUGUCUAUGACAGUUUGUUGAGACUGCACUCACCUCAAACAUCAGAGUUAGUUUCUUCUUCAUUAGAGUGCAGUCUACUCCUCUGCUUCGAAGUGUACUAGCAUUUUAGAGGUUGCGGAUUACCCUCCUUUAAAUUGAUACUUCUUUUAUUAUAAUAUUGGAAUCUUAUUCUUCUUAGAGAGAGUGGAUUACUCCUUUUCUUGAAGCUCUUAAGGUAUUUUAGAGGUUGCGGAGUACCCUCAUCUAAACCAAUAUUAUCUUUUUGUAGAGUUAUUUUUGUCCUUCUCUUAGAAUGGCUGGAGGCCAAGACAUUAGUAUGAUGGAAAGUUCGGAGUCCAAGUUGGAUGCUAUCAUGAAUGCCCUCGCUACAUUAUCACAAAGAACUGUAGAGAUUGAAGGAGUCGUGGCAAGGCUUCAUAAUGAUCGAGCAUCUGGGAUGGCACAAUCUAGGUUGCACCAGCCUCAAACUUCUACACUUGGAGAAGCAAUUUUACCUCAGGUUUGACAAGCAUCGCUGGUUCUACAACAUAAGGAGUCCCGAGUUAGCCUUCCGGACAAGUUUGAUGGUACGCAUUCCAAGUUUCGAGGAUUCGUCAAUCAAAUCAGGUUGAUAAUAGUUUUGUAACCCGAACGCUAUCCAAUGGAGGAGUCACAUGUUGGGCUUAUUAGAACCUUACUUACAGGGCAAGCUCUAUCAUGGUUUGUUCCUUUGUUUGAGAAACGAUCAUCCAUACUAAACAUUUUUGAAACCUUUUUGGAGGCAUUUGCGGAAGCAUUUGGUGAACAUGACAAGGUUCGAUGGGCUACAACAAAGAUUUGAUCACUACGACAAGGGAUGUGCUCUACAUCAGUCUAUGCAUCGAACUUCAUGCAAUUAGCAUGCGACAUCAAUUGGGAUGAAGAAGCAUUGAUGAAUCAAUUCUAUUGGAUUUUAAGGGAUGAUGUGAAGGAUUUGCUGUUAAUUCUUCCUGAUCCAUAAAUGCUCAACGAAGCUAUUAGCCAAGCUGUGAAGUGCGAUAAUCGCCUAUUCCAAUGUCACCAAGACCAAUGUUCAAGACAACAUAUGGUUUGCCACGUCCCAACUAUGUCGGCAAGCAGUGUGAAUUCACAUUCAGAGCUAGAAGACAUGCAAAUUGAUACGGUACGUGUCAAAUCUCUUAUCUUAGAAGAAAAAAAGCAGUGUAUGGAGGAAGAUCUAUGCUUGUAUUGCGAUGAAGAAGGUCACAAAGUUGGAAACUGCCUCAAGAAGCAAAAUUGACGUAUUGUCAGGACUAGGGGCGCAUUUGUUCAUGAAAACGAGGAUGCCUAACCACAAUAAGAAUCGUGCAGCUGGACAGUGAAAUAUCGCAAUAACACCUAGGUUCCUUUCUUUCCGCUCAACUUGCCUUUUGCUUUACAAUCGUUUUGCUUAUUGGCCCUCAAAAACUGAGAAUCUUAGCAUUAUUAGAUUCAGGAGUAUCUGCUUGUUUCUUAGACGAAGAAUUUGUGAAGUGUCAUAAGAUCCCUUUAGUACAAAAAUCCAAACCUGUUCACGUUGAGGUCAUAGAUGGACGACCUUUAUUGUCUGGUAGUGUCACCCAUGAAUCAGAAUCUAUAGAAGUGAUGUUUAAGGGCCAUAGUAGUCAUAUUAUUUUUAAUAUUAUUAGAACUCCAUCAAAUCCUGUUAUUCUUGGUCUUUCUUGGUUGGAAAAGCAUAACCCAUCCAUAGAUUGGAGGUUGCGGAAGAUGACCUUUCCCACAAAACCACCCAAGAGCAAGCCUAGUAGAAAACCCCGAAUAGAUAAAUCCUUAUUCAUUGGAGCAAGAGCGUUUAUAAGAUUGUCUAAGGAAGGCACACCGUUUGUCAUUUAUGUGGCUCCAACUACUGGGGAGAAGAUCUCGACCACAAGUAUACCUAAGCAAUAUAAGGAUUUUAAAGACGUGUUUCAAAAGAAGAAUGCCGACAUGCUACCGGAACACCGACCAUAUGAUUGCGCCAUAGACUUACAGGAAGGAGCACAACCGCCUUUUGGCCCAAUCUACAAUCUAUCGCAGACGGAGUUGGCGAAGUUGCGGAAGAACAUCGACGAGAAUCUAGCCAAAAACUUCAUCCGUCAUUCAAAAUUGUCAGCUCGAGCACCCAUCUUAUUUGUGAAGAAGAAAGAUGGCUCAUUGUGGAUGUACAUGGACUAUCAAGGCCUCAACAACGUAACAAAGAAGAAUCGUUAUCUAUUACCUUUGAUUUUUGGUCUCUUAGAACAACUUGGGCGUGCAAGGAUCUUUACAAAAAUUGAUCUAAGGAGAGCUCAAAACCUCGUACGAAUCAAAGAAGGAGAUGAGUAGAAGACAACAUUCCGUACAAGGUAUGGCCAUUUUGAAUAUAAUGUCAUGCCCUUUGGUCUUAUCAAUGCUCCAACGAUCUUUCAACAUAUGAUGAAUGACAUUUUCCAAGAGCACCUUGAUGAUUUUGUUAUCAUCUAUUUGGAUGAUAUUUUGAUAUUCUCCAAAAACGAGGAAGAGCAUGAAAAGCACGUUCGUUUGGUCUUGGAGAAACUACACGAGGGAGGAUUAUAUGCCAAGUUGGAGAAGUAUUUAUUUCACUAAAUAGAGAUGAAGUUUCUGGGGUUCGUUGCGACUACAGAAGGCUUGAAGAUAGACUGUCACGGCCAUAAUCAUGUAAGCUAAUAAUUACAUAUACAAAUAGAUAGAAGUAAAUAAAAGUAGGUAAAAGUAAGUUAAUUCUAUAAUAUUUAUUAUGAAAGCUUUUUAGAAGCUUCUUAGACGCUGCUUUGACUUCAUAGGUGUCUUUAAUUGACUUUUUGGAUUAGAAACGUGGUCAACAAGUUGGCCAUGUGCCACACAUGUUGUUAGCUUGAAGAUCAAGCUAACUAUGUGGCCCACAUGUAGAAAAACUUGCCUUGUAAGUCAAGGCAUGUGUCCUACAAAGUCAACACAUAUUGGAGGUCCUAUAGAAUGUUGCCACGUAGCCCCUAGUUAGAUAGUAUAUAUAGAGACAAGAGUGAAGGCUUCUUCACUCUUGUCAACUCCUUUCUUGCUUCUAGUCUAGUUUCAAGGGUCUCUAGUUUUCUUGUCUUUUGGCAAUAGUCAUUCCAGUUCCUCUUUCAAUAUAUAUACUUGUUUAUAUAUAUUUUGUUAUGUCUCUUUGAGUAAAGGCUCACUUGCUUGAAUUAUUUUUUCAUCGAGUUCUUGUCCUUGACAGAUUGACAAGAGUACACCUACAAUAUCAGAGCUUUGUCUAAUCUUGAUUAAGAGUGGAUUAUCUCUUUUUCUUGAUAAGAUAUAAGCGUAUUAGAAGUUGCGGAUUACCCUCUUCUAAACUGAUAUUGUCCUAAGUAUUUUCUUUGUCCGCAAGUCCUCUCUUCUAUUUGUCUUGAGCGAUAUUAGACAUCUUCUCUCUUCUAAGUGUUAUCAUGGCAGAACUUCUUGAAAUGAAGAGUGCAAUGGCACAAAUGCAAGAGCAAUUGAGGGAGUUAAUGCUUGCAAUGCAUCAACUCAAUUUACCACCACAAGGAGCAACAAGAUUGGCAGGAAGUGAAGAUAUAGAAAUGGUUGAAGCUACUUCAACAUCUGCACCAAUCCAUGUUCUUUCUCCUAUGGUGGAACGCCCUUCAAAUGUUAGAGAACCAAGAAUUGCCCUACCCGAGAAGCUUGAUGGCACCAGAUCCAAGUUUCGAGGAUUUAUCAAUCAAGUGCAACUUGUGAUUGAACUUCAACCCCAAAGCUAUCCAACUCCAAGAUCACAAGUUAGAUUCAUUGGUACGCUUCUUUCAGGUUCGGCACUAUCUUGGUUUUCAUCUUUUCUUGAACGACAAGAUCUAAUAUUGAAUAAUCUAGAGGCUUUUUUGGCGGAGUUUCGAUCCAUGUAUGGAGAACAUGAUGCAAUUCGUGUUGCAACCAAUAAGAUCCAUAUUUUAUGACAAAGCAAUCGAUUAGUAACAUUAUAUGCUUCACAAUUUUGACAACUUGCAAAUGAUAUCAAGUGGGAUGAUGUUGCACUUAUUAGCCAAUUUCUCUACGGAUUACAAUAUGAGGUAAAAAAAUUAAUGCUUAACUUACCUGAUCCUCAAACAUUGAGUCAAGCAAUUGACUUUGCUGUGAAGUGCGACAAUCGCCUUUUUGAAUUUUGAUCUGAGAACCGUACAAGUAGACCUCAACGUUACUAUAAUUCAAUGGCAACACCAACACCUCUUCAACACAUACAUUCGGAAGUAGAGGAUAUGCAAAUUGAUGUAGUACGUUUCAAACCUCUUACUGAGAAAGAAAAGACUCGUCGUCGUCAAGAAGGAUUAUGUUUAUAUUGUGGAGAACCAAAGCACACUGCUCAACAUUGUCCAAAGAAACGAUGCAAUCACAAAAUGAGGAGUAUGGCUCUGAAAGAAGAUAAUAUGUCGGAAAACGAGUUUGUCCAGCUACAAUAGGGACCGUGCGGCUGGAACCUUGCACAACUUUUAGUAAAGGUCCUAUUCUCUCCUCAGAGCCCUCUCCUUGUUUUACAUUAAAUGUUAUUUUAGGACCUAAACAUUACAAAGUCUCUGCCUUGUUAGAUUCAGGAGCCUCAGCGUGUUUUUUAGAUGAAGAACUUACUAAAAGACAUAGCAUAUCUUUAGUAAAGAAAACUAAACCUGUUCAUGUAGAAGUCAUAGAUGGUCGUCCAUUGUCUUCUGGAGAUAUUACUCACGAAACCCUUCCUAUAAAAGUAAUAAUCAAUGGUCAUAAUAGUUUUGUAGUAUUUAAUAUCAUUAGAUCUCCCUCUAAUCCAGUCAUUUUAGGUUUAUCGUGGUUAGAAAAAUACAACCCUCAAAUAGACUGGAUUUCCCGAACUCUUACUUUCUCUAAAAGUAUAACUAACAGUGUAGGUAAGCAAGUAGAGAGUCAUAAGUCCAGUUCAAUUAAACCCGUAUUUAUAGGUGCAAAAGCUUUCUUGCAUGCUGCUAUGAAAGAAUCACCAUACAUUAUUUAUGCUACACCCGUUUUUACUGGUGAAAAGACUUCAAGUGGCAUUCUAAGCCAAUAUCAAGAAUUUCAAGAUGUAUUUGAAAAAAAGAAUGUGGAUACACUCCCGAAACAUCGUCCCUAUGAUUGCUCAAUUGACCUUCAAGAAGGAGCACAACCGCCAUUCGGACCAAUCUAUAGUUUAUCACAAAAUUAGUUGGCUGAACUUAAGGAGUAUAUUGAAGAAAAUCUAGCCAAAAAUUUCAUACGCCAUUCUAAAUCUCCGACAAGAGCUCGAAUUCUAUUUGUGAAGAAAAAAGAUGGAUCAUUGUGGAUGUGUGUUGAUUAUCGAGGACUCAACAAGAUUACCAUCAAGAACAGGUAUCCACUACCUUUAAUAUCCGGACUUUUUGAUCAGCUGAAUCAAGCUAAGAUCUAUACAAAAAUAGAUCUUCGGGGAGCAUACAAUCUAGUACGCAUCAAAGAAGGAGAUGAAUGGAAGACUACGUUUCGAACUAGGUAUAGACAUUUUGAAUACAACGUCAUGCCUUUUGGACUUACAAAUGCACCAGCAGCUUUUCAACAUUUAAUGAAUGAUGUUUUUCGAGAGUUUUUGGACGAUUUUGUGGUAUGUUAUCUAGAUGACAUCUUGAUCUAUUCUAAGAAUCCAAAAGAACAUGAACUUCAUGUUCGUCAUGUGUUACAAAAAUUAAGAGAUGCAUGACUCUAUGCCAAGAUAGAAAAGUGUGUAUUCCACACUACUCAAGUCGAUUUCUUAGGUUACAUCAUUUCAAAUGAUGGACUUAUGAUGGAUCCUAAGAAAGUUCAAACUAUUACAGAUUUGAAGAUCCCCAAAACGGUAAGAGAUUUCCAAUGUUUUUUGGGAUUUGCCAACUACUAUCGGAUCUUCAUCAAAGACUUCUCUCGAGUUGCAGCUCCAUUUACACAUUUGACUUGUAAAGACAAACUCCAAUGGAAUCAAGAAGCGGAAGUUGCUUUUGAAUCUUUGAAGACAACGUUAGUUUCUGCACCAAUCUUGUAUCGUGUUGAUUUUUUCAAAGCAUUCUUUAUAGAAACAGAUGCAUUGGACUUUGCUCUGGGUGCGAUUUUAUUACAAAUGGGAACAAAUGACAAACUUCAUCUAGUAGCCUUUCAUUCAAGAAAAUUCUCAACAGCAGAAAUCAAUUAUGAAAUCCACAACAAAGAACUUCUUACAAUUAUGGAUUCUUUUCAAGAAUGGCAUCAUUAUCUAGAAGGCGCUUCUAGUCCAGUCACCAUGUAUACGGAUCACAAGAACCUCAAAUAUUUUAUGUCAACACGCGUAUUAAAUCGUUGCCAAGCUCGUUGGAGCAUGUCUUUAUCAAGAUUCGAGUUCAUCAUCACUUAUCAGCUAGAAAAACAACAAGGUUUAUCCGAUGCCUUGUCUAAACGUUCUUAUCUUGCACCAAAAGAAGGAGAUGCAGCUUUUGAGCUACAAAGAAUGGUUCUCUUGAAGCCGAAACAAUUUUAUCCUCGAGCAAUAAAAUCAACAUUGACUGUUGAUUUAACUUUCCUUAAGUAAGUCCAGUUCAGUAUGUCUUCAGAUCCUCUUGUUCAUGAUAUCAAGAACAAUUCUUCUAAAUCUCAUGAUCCAUCUAAAUUUGAAUUCAAGAAUAACCUACUCUAUUUCGAAAGAUGCCUAUAUGUUCCAGAAGGAGAAGUACGUUUAUGUGUUCUUCAAGCUUGUCACGACUUCCCAGUAGUAGGACAUUUCGGAUAUAAUAAGACUUUGGAACUGAUAUCUAGGGAUUUUUGGUGGCCUCAAAUGUGGAAGGCAGUUAAAGAUUUUGUACAAUCAUGUGAUAUUUGCUCAAGAUCGAAAACUCUUCGUCAUCGACCUUUUGGACUUCUUCAGCCAUUACCCAUUCCAGAACAACCAUGGUCUUCUGUUUCUAUGGACUUCUUCACGGAUCUUUGAAUCUCAGGUUCUUAUGACUCUAUAUUCGUGAUAGUGGAUCGUUUUACCAAGAUGGCACAUUUUGUACCAUGUAUAAAAUCUAUCACAGGUGAAGAAAUAGCUAAGCUCUUUCUUGACAAUAUCUAUCGCUAUCAUGGAUUACUCAAGGAUAUUAUAUUAGAUAGGAGAACUCAAUUUGUAUCAAGAUUUUGGCAUACUCUUUUCAAGAUUCUUAAAGUGGAUAUAAAACUAUCUUCGGCAUUCCAUCCUCAAACUGAUGGACAAACGGAGCGUGUUAAUUAAGUUUUGGAGCAAUAUUUAAGAUGUAUCAUUAAUUACUAAUAAGAUAAUUGGACAACUCUUUUGCCAUUGGCAGAGUUUGCUUACAAUAACACGGUACAUUCUUCUACAAAACAAACACCUUUCUUUGCUAAUUAUGGUUAUCAUCCACGACUUCAUACUUUUGACUUUUCAAAAGUUGAUAAUCCUACAGCGAAAGAUUUGGCAAUUCAUUUAUCAGAGCUACAUGCAACGAUGAAGGCGCAGUUAAAAGAGGCUCAAGAACAAGAAAAAGUCAAUGCGGAUGACUAUCGAAAGGAACAACCAUCAUUCAUUUUGGGUGAUAAGGUAUGGCUACUUCGUCGCAAUAUCAAGACCACUGGUCCUUGUGACAAGUUGGACUAUCAAAAGCUAGGACCAUUUUCUAUUUUUGCACAAAUCAAUCAAGUUGUAUAUCAUUUACAUCUAUCGAAGUCAAUGAAAAUCCAUCCAGUAUUCUACAUUGUUGUGUUGUAACACGAGUAUACUGUGAAAAUAUAAAGAAAGAGGACUUUUAUUAAUGUUCAGUUACCUCGAAUAUUAGGAGCAACGACCAAUUCCAGUGCAAAUACUGAGAGGCUAGGUUCAGUCACCCCGUUACACUCAGCCGAGGCAUACUGAAAUGCUCCAUUCGAUUCCAAUAACGGGAGUCAGCAGGAAGGAAAAGAACCAAUUCAAAGAUAGGUGAGCCUAGUUCAAAGAGCCAAUUGGAUCCAAUUUCAAGACAUCCAAUCCAAGUCAUAUUACGGGCCUUUUACCCAAUAUGAGACCUGAAUUGGUCGGGCAACCCAAUGCGAUCCAAUUGCGGGAACAUCCAGGUCUUACUACAGGUGUCUUAGCCAAUAUGAGACCUGAAUUGGUCGGGCGACUCAAUGUGGUCCCGAUUACGGGGGUUCGAUUCUGUUUCAGGCUGUCCUGUUCUCUAUGCCGUUUCAUGGAAUGUUGUUUUUGGUAAAAAGAUCUCUUAAAGGUAAAAACGGAGGAGAAAGCUCUGAUGGCAGGAGCCAAUUCCGGAUCCAAGACGGAAGAUUGAAGAAAUUCAGAGAUUAGGGUUUGAAAGAGGGGAGAAUUAGGGUUAAAAGAGAGAAUAGGUUAAAAAAUGAAAGGGGAGAGAAUGAGUUUUUGAAGGGGAGAGAAUAAAGUUUGUGAAGGGUCGAAGAGCUAGCUUCAUGCUCCGAGGCAGGAAAAAAAGAUAGAGAAUUGGGGUUUUUUUUUCUUCAUAGGGUUUCGGAAAGACUGAGGCAAUCGUUGCUGAAGUCAGUGUUGUACUAGUGAAUCAGGAUUUUAAUGAAGUGGGUGUGAUUACUCUUGACUGUUUUAUGAAAUCGAGUUAUGUCUAUGAUGAAGAAUUAAAAGAGUGUCUAUAGGAUUGAAUAUGUGGAGUGAAUGAAAUUUAUUGGAUUAAUCUAACGAGACAGUCAGUGGAUACAAGAUCGUGAGUAUAAGCGGUAUCGAAGAUUAGCAGUUUGGGUUAUUCGAGAUUCUCUGUAACGUCUAGAGACCUAUCGGUUGGGACAAAAAGGACUUCGACAAGCAGUCGAAGGACAUCCGUAUAGAUUUAUAGUAUAUUCUUGCAGUCGUUUAUAUUCCAAUAGUCAAAAACCGAUAGACUGCUUGAAUAUUAGCAAAUCUCCAUACUACCUUCUACAGCCAGACGCUCGGCACGUUCUUGAACAGGAAAGCACGUAAUACGAUAACGUGUCUCUUCUUGAAGCAUACAAGACAGUGGACAUACCAAGAAGAUAACAAGCUCCACCUCCUCCUAUAGAAGUGGACAAUAAUGAAGAGUUUGAAGUAGAAGAAGUCCUAGAUUAAGGCGACGCCAAAAUAAAUUAGAAUAUCUUGUCCAUUGGCACGGAUAUGGUAUUAGUGAACGCACAUGGGAGCCAAUAAAGAAUCUUGCAAUUGCAACAAAGGUGGUGGAGGCUUUUCAUCGACGACAUCCAUCAAAAUCAAGAUGAAAACCUUCUUCAUAAAAGAAACAAUAUCUAGGCAAGAUAACAAUCUACUUUCAAUUCUUGUUCAUAGCUUCAUUGUAGUAGUGACGCUCAGGAGAUGGAGAACCAACAAUCAGCAGAUUCAACUCAAGAGCCUUCAUUUGCUGACCUCCCGGACGAGACAUUACGAUUGUCACAACCUUCAAGAUGACGUAAUUGAGAUGAAGAUCUUCAAGAACGACAUGUUCUUCCUCGAAUAGAUGGCGAGAUAUAACGCGUUUGGUAUCACGAUUUGGGAAGGGACUCUCAAUGUUUGGUGAUUUUGCUAGAGGUAGGAACAACUCCUGAUGGUGUUUCAAAUAUUCUAUUCGAAGGAAGUUACGAAGGCCUCAACAAUGAUCAAAUAACUAGAUGGUCUUCCUGCCCUGGUAUAAGACACUAUCAAUGGUUGAGAGGUCCUAUCAAUCAUCUUCGAAGAGAACAAAGAUCAGAGUAUGUGGCGAAUAUAAUUUGUCACAUCAUAGAUUUUCUCAACAUAUGAUGACCGCUCUUCAUGGAACUCGUCUCUAGAAGGAGGAAUAAUGUCACGGCCACAAUCAUGUAAGCUAAUAAUUACAUAUACAAAUAGGUAGAAGUAAGUAAAAGUAAGUUAAUUCUAUAAUAUUUAAUACAAAAGCUUCUUAGAAGCUUCUUAGACACUGCUUUGACUUCAUAGGUGUCUUUAAUUGACUUUUUGGAUUAGAAACGUGGUCAACAAGUUGGCCAUGUGCCACACAUGUUGUUAGCUUGAAGAUCAAGCUAACUAUGUGGCACACACGUAGAAAAACUUGCCUUGUAAGUCAAGGCAUGUAUCCUACAAAGUCAACACAUAUUGGAGGUCCUAUAGAACGUCGCCACGUAGCCCCUAGUUAGAUAGUAUAUAUAGAGACAAGAGUGAAGGCUUCUUCACUCUUGUCAACUCCUUUCUUGCUUCUAGUCUAGUUUCAAGGGUCUCUAGUUUUCUUGUCUUUUGGCAAUAGCCAUUCCAGUUACUCUUUCAAUAUAUAUACUUGUUUAUAUAUAUUUUGUUACCUCUUUUUGAGUAAAGGCUCACUUGUCUGAAUUAUUUUUUCAUCGAGUUCUUGUCCUUCACAUAGACCCCAAGAAGGUGGAAGCAAUCGUGUCCUAUGAGGUUCCGAAGACGGUUAGAGACAUACAAUGCUUUCUUGGUUUUGCCAACUUCUAUCAGAUCUUCAUCAAGAAUUACUCUCAAGUUGCUGCUCCUCUCACUCGAUUGACAUGCAAGGAUAAGCUGGAAUGGGGACCUCUAGCAGAGAAGGCGUUUCAAGACUUGAAGACCGUAUUUACUACGGCUCCAAUCUUGGUACAUCCAGACUUUACAAAAGCCUUUUAUUUAAAUGUAGAAGGAUGUGAAAGAUUUUGUCUUCUCCUGCGACAUCUGUUCAAGAUCCAAGAAUCCUCGGUAUUGCCCUUAUAGACUCUUACAACCAUUGCCGAUUCCACGUCAACCAUGGUCUUCAAUUUCCAUAGACUUCAUCACAGACCUGCCAUCAUCAAAUUCAUUUGACAACAUCUUUGUCGUGGUAGAUCGGCUUACAAAGAUAGCAUACUUUGUCCCUUGCAAGAAGACAUCAUCCAGUGAAGUCACAGCAAGGCUCUUUCUCGAUAAUGUGUAUCAAUAUCAUGGACUACCAGAUGAUAUCAUAUCAGAUCGAGGAACCUAGUUCGUAUCAAAGUUUUGGAGAUCUCUCUUUGAGAUACUGAAGGUGGAUAUCAAGCUUUCUUCGACUUUUCAUCCUCAAACUGACGGCCAAAUGGAAUGGGUGAAUCAAGUCUUGGAACAGUACUUAUGAUGCAGCAUCAACUAUCAGCAAAACGAUUAGACCACAUAUCUGUCGCUAGCCGAGUUUGCAUAUAACAACACCCUCCAUGCGUCGACUCAAUACACACCAUUCUUUUCCAACUAUGAGUAUCAUCCGAAGCUUGAUUUAUUGAGUCCGUCAACAAAUAACAAUCCAGCAGCUGAAGGAUUUGCGAAAAAACUAUCAAAGCUUCAAAAUACGUUAAAGCUUCAAUUACAAUCCGCUCAAGAAUCCUACAAGGCGUCUGCAGAUAGAUUUCAGAAUCAAGCACCUACUUUGAAAAUUGGAGAUAAAGCAUGGCUUCUUUGAUGGAAUAUCAAGACCAAGUGAUCAUGUGAUAAGUUGGACUAUCAAAGAUUGGGACCAUUUAUCAUCCAGAAGCAAAUCAAUCCAGUGGCGUACCGUCUAGAAUUACCGGCUUCUAUGAAGGUACAUCGAGUCUUUCAUGUUUCUCUGUUGGAGCCUUAUCGAGAGUCAUCUUUUUCUGAAAGAGUGCAAUGUCCGCCAUCUAAUAUUGAGAUUGAAAACCACGAAGAAUAUGAGGUUGAAAAGAUGCUCGAUUCACGGCGAAGGUGGGGCAAGUUGGAGUAUCUUGUUCAUUGAUGCGGCUACGAUAUUAAUGAGCGAACGUGAGAGCCAGCUGAAAAUCUCGCCAAUACGCCACAAAAGGUACAGGAGUUUUAUCAACAACCUCUUCAUAAACCUAAGUCGGUUCGACGAUAGCUUCCUUCUGAAGCUUGCUCACCCAAGAAUAAAAGAAAAGGGGAGAACACCACCAAAAUUCGUAGUUGAUGUAGUUAUUUUUUCCAAGAUAAAAUAGAAUUUUUUCAGUAGCCAUAGUUUGAUCUUCUGAUAUGGAUAGCCAAGAGAUAGAUACUAUGCCAGUCAGAUUAUCUCAACCGACUAGCUCACGAAGGCGACCCCAAGAUGAAGAACCGCCUACACCAUGACGACGACAGAGGAUACCGAGUAACCGAUCACUAGUGAUUGUAUUUGAGUCCGAGCCUACUUACGAUGGUCAGCUAGAAGGCAUGUUUGCAGGACAAUUUCACAAUGAGGACACGGAAGUUCAUGCUUGGUCAGAAGUUGAAGGAGUGGGCCACUAUCGUUGGCUUCAAGGAUCGAUGAACCACUUGCCUCAUGAACAACAGUUGGAGUUCAUAGCAGACGUUAUGCGACAGAUCUUCAUUUUCUUGCGUUGGUACUGAUUAACAAUAAUAUUGCUUCUCACAGACCUCAAAGCUAAAGGAGGGGAUGAUGUUAGGGACAUAGUCCUUAGAACCUUCUAGAGACAAGUUUCUAGAACCUUCUAGAAGCAAGUCUCUGGAACCUUCUAGAAGCUUCUUAGUUGAUAGAAGUUGCUUUAGAAGCUUCCUAAAUAGGAGUAUAUAUUAGAAUCGAGGUUGAAGAGUUCUUCAGUCUCGACAACACAUCUCUUGGAGCUCUAGCUCACCUCUCUGGUGUUGUUCUUGUAUUCAUCUGAUUAAUCUAGUUCUUGCCAGUUCUUCUUGAACUUCUUGUUAGAUCUCGAGUCUGUAUUUCUGUGUCCGUGACAAUAAUUCAUAAAGCUCAAAAAACAUUACACAUCUCUUACUGUUCUUAGAAUCUUUCAAUCCAUGAUAAUUUGGACCUUCUUUGGAUCCAUCAUUAAUUCUUUAUUGGAAAUGAUGUAUCCUCGGAAGUCAACUUGAGUAGUGUGGAAUACACACUUUUUUAACUUUGCAUAUAAUCUUCUAUCUCUAAAUUUUUGUAAUACACAAUAAACAUGAACUUCAUGUUCAUCUAUGUUCUUAGAGUAGAUUAAGGUGUCAUCCAAAUAAGAGAUAAUAAAAUCAUCAAGAAAUCCACAAAAGACAUCAUUCAUUACAUGUUGAAAAGCAGUUGGUACAUUUGUGAGUCCAAAAGACAUGAAAUUAUAUUCAAAAUAUUCAUGCAUGUUUUAAAAUUUAGUUUUCUAUUCAUCUCCUUCUUUAAUAUAUACCAAAUUAUAUGUUUUUUGUAGAUCUAUUUUUAUAUAGAUCUUUGUUUAAUUCAAUUGAUCAAAAAGUCUUAAAAUCAAAGAUAGAAGAUACCUAUUCUUUAUGAUAAUCUUGUUGAGUCUUUGAUAAUCCACAUACAUUCAUAAAGCUCUAUCUUUUUUCUUCACAAAUAAGAUAGGGGUUCCAACUAGAGAUUUAAAAUGAUGUAUGAAAUUCUUAUCCAAAUUUUCAUCAAUGUACUCCUUGAGUACAACCAACUCAUUUAGUGAUAGGCUAUAGAUUGGUCCAAAUGAUGGUUGAGCUCCUUUGUGAUUUUCAAAAAUAUUCUAGAAGAAUAUGUGCAUUCUUUUUUUCAAAAACGUCUUGAAAAUCUUCAUAUUAACUAGGAAUAUCACUUGAUAUCUUAUCACCAUGAAAAAUGAGCAUGACAUAUAAAGCAAAAGAUAACCCUUCUUUUGUAGCAUGCACAAAAGCUCUCGUACCACCUAGUAAGGAUUUGCAUGUACUAGACUUAUAUAUUUUUAAUUGACUAAUGGAAUUUUGGAUUAAAUUAUCAAAAAAAUUAAAGUUACAAAAAAUCCAAUCCAUCUCAAGAUUAUACUUUUCUAACUAAGAUAAUUCUAAAAUAAUCAGAUUGGACAAAGAUCUUAUUAUAUUAAAUAAUACUAUAUUAUUAUGAUCUUUAAUUACUACAUCUAAAAGAAAAAUCUCAUGCAUAACAUCUCUAAAAGAUAGCAAACAACCAUUUAUAACUUCUACUUAUACAUGUUUAGUUUUUUUGACUAACAAUAUUUCUUAUUUUUUGAUAAAAUCUUUGUUUAUAAAACAUGUUGGGGCUCUUGAAUCUAACAAAGUUAAGACUUUGUAAUUUUUUAGUUCUAAAUAAACUUCUAACAUAAAAUAAGGGGAGGGAUUUGAGGAGAGAAUAGGACCUUUAUUAGAAAUUAUGCAAGAUUUUGAUCACACAAUUUCUAUUGUAGUUGAAAAAAUUUAUUUUCCAAUACCUCGUUUCUUUUGGCAACCAUACUUUUCAUUUUGUGAUUGCAUUGUUUCUUUGGACAAUGUUGAGUAGUGUAUUUAACUCCUCUAUAAUAUAAGCAUAAGCCUUCUUGACGUCAUUAAGUCUUUUCCUGCUCUAAGAUAGAUUUAAAACGUAUCGUAUCAAUUUGUAUUGGUUCUAGCCUCAAUAAAUAAGUUUUUGAAAACUUAAGAGUUAUCAUCAUUAUUUGAUUUAUUCUUCUCUAGCCAAGUCUUUAUUCUUGACAUCUUUCAAAUAAUUGAUUGUUGUAUGCAAUGGCUUGAGUGAUAAAUUGUUCUAAAGUUUAUACCUUUGAUAUUAUCAAUAACAAAUCUUUGAAAUUAUUCUUCAACCCAUAUCAAAAUUCAUUGAUAAGGUCUUGGUCAUUCCAAUCCAUGUCACAAGCUAGAUUUUUGAAUUCAGCAUCAUAUAUGGUAGUUGAUUGUGAUCCUUGCCAUAAAGAUAAGAGCUUGAUCUUUGCUAUUCUUUUUUAAUUACUUUCUCCAAAUAUGGUCGUAAAUACUUCUAAGAAUGAAUUUAAAUCACAAAGGAGUAACAAAUCUUUUUUCAUUAAAAAAGAAAACUAAGAGAGAUCACUUCUUGAUAGAAGUGUGCUUUUGAAUUUGACUUGAAUAAAUCCAUCUGGAUAUUAGAAAAGAUAUAAACUUAGAUAGAUCUUGAUUUGUUGCAAAAAUCCUUGAAAUUUUGAUCUUGUUCCAUAAAAAUUUUCAAGCAUAGUAAUCCUUGUCUUCGUCAUACUUAUAAAAGCAAAACUCCCUGGAUUUGGUUACAAGGUUGAUCUACUUGCUUCUUUCAAUUGCACAACUUACUGCUUCAGACUCUGAACUUCUUUCAUAGGCGUAGGUAUAGUACCUCCAUGAUUUAUAUUAGAAAUAUAUAAGAUUUCUACUCUUAUAGUAUUAACAAGCUCAUAAAGAUUUUUAAUAGUUGUAAAUCUAUUCUCAGUUCCACUGACAAUAGCAUCCAUAAACUUUUCUUCCAUAGACAAGUCAAACAAAUUCAAAAACAUUUAAUUAAAAGAGGGUAAUUUACAACCUAUAACACCAAAUGAAAAUUUCUACAAAGAAAGAUAAUCCAUUAUUUUUGAAGAAAAGAUUAGUAUUAGUAAAUAAGAUUUUUUAUUUUUUAAAGGUGGGCAAUCCACAACCUUCAAAAUACAACAAUAGAAGUGGGAUAAUUCACCCACUUCUAAAACAAGAUAAAAACAAUAAGUUAGAACUCUUAUCAAACUAUCAAGGAUAUGAAUCUUGAAGAAAGAAAAUCUUGAAUACACUCUUAUGUCACUGAAAUGAACUAAAAAAUCACUCAAAAAUGAUAUAAUAUUGAACUAGAAUGGCUAUUGCCAAAAAAAAGAAGAUUAAAAAGACUUAAAACAAGACUAAAGACUAAAAAGGCAUUGACAAGAGUGAAAAAGGCUUCAUUCUUGCCUCCUAUAUACUCUUAACUAGGAGCUACGUGGCAAUAUCUUAUAAGACCUCUAAAAAGUGUUGACUUUGCAAGACACGUAUCUUAACUUGUAAGGCAAGUUUUCUAUAUGUGUGCUACAUAAUUAGCUUCUUUCGCAAGCUAUCAAUACGUGAUUAACUUGUUGAUCAAGUUUCUAAUCUAUCAAUCAACUACAAAUACAUAUGAAGUCAAAGUAGCAUCUAUAAAGCUUCUAAAAAGCUUUUCUAAAAAGUAUUAUGAAAUUAACUUACUUUUACUUACUUCUAUUUAAUCAUUUAGAUAUUUACUAGAAUAUCUAUGUAUAUCCUUGACAUACAUAUGUACAUGCAUAUUGUAGCUCCUAUUGACAAAUCUCAUAAAACCUUUGCAAUAAUUAUAAAACACUAAUCUAUAAAUAUAAUAUAUUUAUAAGUUUAUUAAUUAAUUAAUUCUAUUUUAAUUUAAUCAUGUCUUAUUUAUACAUUAUACUUCAAACACUCUAUUAUUUUAUUUGAGGAAUAAAAUAAAAUAAUUUUUUACAUUUAGGAUACUACAAUAGUUUUUUAUUGCAUUAAUAUUAUUAAUAAUAGUGACAUUCCAAAAGGAAUCAAAUGACUUUUAUAAGUUUUGACUUCAAUAUUUAUUAAAUUCAACUUGUUGUGUAAAUAAAUAUUAUCAUACGUAACAGAUUGAAUACCAAAAAUUAAUAUCAAGUCUACAACCAAAUAAGAACAAUAUAACAAAUAUAUUCUCAAGUGAAAGAUAAAAUAUUUAAAUAUUACAAGUCAAGCUAUCUCUCAUACAAAUCCUACAAAAGAAGAAUCUAAGAGUAUAAGUAUGUAGAAAAAUCCCUAAACUUUAUUUAAUGGCUAAAUCAUAAUAUUCUAGCAAAACUCUACUAAAAAGACUUAUUUCUCUUAAAAACACUCACAAGACUUGACUUAACAAAGAAUGCCAAUUCAACUAAUAUAAACUUAGUUUAAUGUUUACUUUCUAAUUUUUUUUCCACAAAUCAAUAUAUAUAUAUAUAAUAGACUAUUUUUUUAAAAAAAAAUAUUAUAAUAUAUUUUAGGCUAUGCAUUUUUAAACGAAUUUCUAUUAAAAAAUUGAUAAAUAUCUUAUAGCCACAUAUAUUUUUUAGAUGCCACCAUAUUAUUAACAUAUUAUAUUUUAGUAGAUUUUAAAAUAUUUUUUUAAUUUCAAAUAUUUAGUCUUAUAUAGAAGAUCCAAAAAACAAUUACACACAAUUUUUUAAUUAUUUCUUAUAAUAAUUUUUAUAUUAUUGAUUUAAAAUCUAAAUAAAGUAGUUUUGAAAAAAAAUAAAAAAAUAAAAAAUAAUCAAUAAUCAUUUCAAAUAAAUAUAUAUAAUUUUUUGAUAUUAAUUUUAAAGAAUCAAUUAAAAAUCAUCUUUAUCAAAUAAAACAUAUAUUUUUAUUUUAUUAAUUUAGCUUUUUUAUGUAACUAUUAUUCCUUUUAUGUUAUAUUAUAUUUAUUUAAAUUAUAAUAUAUAUUAUUUAAUAUAUUCUUUGUAGAACUUCUUGUUUGAAAGAAUUUUAUGUUAUCCAAAAAAAAACAUUAAGAUUAAAAUAAAAUGUUAAAAUAAAGAAUACAAGUGGUGUAAUAGAUGCCUAUAUUGUUUUUAAAAAAAUUAAAAAAUCAAAAGAAAUAGAUAGAAUAUAUUAGAUAGCAAACAUCUUUUUUAAAAAGAUUUAAAGAAGUUUUUUAGUGUCAAAUUAGAUAUUUAGACUUUUAUUGAUUUUUCACAUGGGUAUUAAAACUGAUUUUAUAAUUUUCUUACUUUUAAAAAACCAUGUUAGAAGCAAUCUAUAACUUGAUGAUUGAGCUCCAAAUAUAAUAAAAAUAUAUAUUAUUUAAAUAGAAGUACAUAGACAAAUAUUUGGAAGAUAAAUUUUUUUUUAAAGAAGCUUCUAUGAAGUUUCUUGGAUGCACAUUAGAUAUUUUGACUUGUAUAGAUAAGCUAAGUAAUAAUUGAAACUAGUGCUAUAAGUAUCUCACCUUUAGAAAGAUACAUUGGAAGCAACCUAUAACUAUAAGUUUGGACCACAAGCCUAGUAGUCCUAAGAAAACUUCUAUAAGAUCUUCUAAUUUCUUAAUUAUCCAACCUAUGUAUGUUAGAUUAGAAUUAUUAAAAAUUUAUUCAAUAAGAUUUUUUCUUAAUUUUUAUAAUUUCUAGAAGAAUUUUCUUUAUUGAAUAAUUUAGAUCUAAUUUUAGAAAAAAAUCAGUUUAUAUAUAAUAAAUAUAAUGUAACUUGUACAUCAAUAAAAAAAUUCAAAUUUUAUAGCAAGAAAUAAAUUUUUAUUAACAUAAAUAUUAAAAUUUAUACAAUUAGCAAUUAAUAUCAAAUAAGAUAAUAUUCUAUUCAUCAAUCAAUUUCUUUACUAAUUAUAGAUUAAUAAUAAGAAGAAAUUAUUACUUUAUUUGCUUCAUCUUUAAAAUUUAAGUUAUUUAAUAAUAGAGAAAUAUCUUUAAAUUUUAAUUAUAAAUAGAGAAAAAUACAAGAUAUUUUUUUAUUAUGCAUUCAGAUUGUGUAAAGCUUUAUUAGUUCCAAAAAGCUAUAAAAACACUAUUUCUAAAAUGGUUGCAAUGAAUUUGUAAUCAUUUAAGUUAAUAUCAUAUUGGUGUAUUCAUUACCGUUGUUAAAUAAUAACAAAUACUUUAAUAUAAUACUUGGAAUUAAAGAAACAAUCAAGCCUAUUGAAAUGAUAAGAAAUGUGAGUUGACAAAACUUGAGAUAUGAUUUUUUAGACAUGUUAUUAUAGAUUUUAGCAUCAAACUUGAUAAAAAAAAAUAUAAAAGUAAUUUAAAAGUAGUAAUAACCAACUAUAUAUAAAAAUAAUUAUCAUAUAUAUAUAUAUAUAUAUAUAUAUAUAAUAUUUUAGUAAUUAUGAUUAAUUAAAUUUUAAAUAAUUAUGAUUUUAAAUAUUUAGACAAUUUAAGUUUAUAUUGUCAAAACCAUUGAUAUAUAUAUAUAUAUAUAUAUAUAUAUAUAUAUAUAUAUAUAUAUAUAUUUGUGUGUGUGUGUGUGUGUUAAAAUAAAACCUCCAAGAUUUAUAUAGAUGUAAGUAAAUUUGUUGUUGAAGAAAUAAUUAUGAUCAAUAAGAGAUGUAUUGCACAAUAAUAAUAAUAAUAAUAAUAAUAAUAAUAAUAAGUUUUUAAAUAACUAGAAAUUUUAUUUUAAAAUAUUAAAUAAAUAAGUUUUUUUUUUUGAAUAUAUUACUUAGAAAUAAAAUUACACUUAAGCAUACACAAGAAAAAUUUAUUUUUCAAACAAUCUAUCAAUAAAGAAAUUGAGGUGGUAAGAAAAACCAAUAUUUUUUAAUAUAAAAUUUCUUUAUGAAACAAAAAUGAGUAGUAUAGUUUUAAACACACUAAAUUGACAAUAAUUGUAUCAAAAAAUAAACUUUAUUCUGAAAUUUGGAUGAUAUCCAAAAUGAAAGAAACCUAAAUGUAUAUAUUUGAGAAGAUUUAAAAUUUUAAAUUUUAAAUUAUUAAAAAAUGUAAAGAUGUUUUGAUAAAUAAAAAUAUGGAACAAAAUUUAAAGAAUUCAGUUAAUCAAUGAUUCAUGAAAGUAUAAACAAAUUCAAGUUUACAUAUUCAUAUUGUUGGUGCUUAAAAUAAAUAAAAAUUAUCUAAUAGUAGCUUUAAAUAUAUAUAUAUAUAUAUAUAUAUAUAUUUUUAAUUUUAAAAUAUUAAUAUAAGACAUCAACUUCAUUAUAUUUUUUCUAAAAUAAAAAUAAAUAUCUUAUAAUAUCUAAUCAUAUUAUUUAAAUAUUAAAAUAUAAUAUAUUUUGAAUUUUAUUACAAUUCUCUUUAUGUAAAAAAAUAUAAUAACCUUUAUGCUUCAAAUCCUGUUAAAACACCUAAUGUGAUCCAAACCUUUUCAAUUGUUCUUCAAUUUAAAUGUCUUUAUAUAAAUUCAAAUGAAAUAUUUUUAGAAUUCUAUGCUCUUUCAAUUUUAGAACUAAUUCUUUAGACUAUUUUAUUUACAAACACAUUCAACAUUUUAGAGUAGUAUUUAAAUAAAUGAACUUAAAUAAAAAAAAUCUCAUAAACUAUUCCAUAACAAGAUGUAACCAUAAUUUUACAUUCAAUAAUACAAACAUGUGUAGACUUAUGCCCACUUGAAAUUCAACUAUUUUUGAAAAUGUUGAAGACUCAUUCAAUACUUAAUUUAAGUCAAAAUAAAUAAAAACAUGAAUACAUUGAAUCUAUUUGUAACAUUAUGACUUCUUUUUGUUUUAAAAUAUCUUAACUACACAUUUUAAUCAUUCAUUCAUCUCUAACUAUCACUAAUCCGAGUUGCAACAAAUCUUAACUACAUUUUUGAUAAACCUCAACACAAUUGCCACUAACCCUUAUUAUAACAAACCAUAACCACCACGUAACACAAAUCAUCAUAAAACCUAUUCAUCAAUAACACACAACAUUAUAUUGUUUCACACUUAGUGUAACACGAACAAGGGUUUGUUAAGCUAAUUUCACAAGUGACACUAAUCUAGCGGAAUGUGGUAGAAGUGAAUGACAGAAUUAAUAACAACUGUUAAUCAGUGGGUGUUGAUUCUGUUCGGUGCUGCCGAGCAAAGGCACUUUGCAAGCUUUGUUUAUUUGUUUGUUUGUUUGUGUGUUUGUGGGAGUGUGUGUGUGUGGGUGGGUGUGUGUGUGGGUGUGGGCUACGGAGCCAAGAAAUCUUCCAUAGACGCGAGUCUGUGCUUCUUCAUCGACAGGAUCUGCGAGGAGGAGUUGCUUCAUGUGGGUUCGCGGAGGAAUUUGACCUGCGGGCGGCCGUUGCGAGGAAGUUAUUAUGGUUAUUCCAGUCGCGAGCUUCGCCUCCUCGGAAGAUUGGCUACAUUUGAGUUGUAGUGGCGGUGAACUGCGACCUUGUGGUUGUUGGCCUUUGUGGGCGUCUUCAUGCUCUUCGCAAGCUCGCGAUUGCCUUGGUACUCCUCCUGUGCCACAAUUACUCAUCGUACCCCUCUUCUCCAAAAUUUUGUUGAAAUACCAUACCUACAGUUGGAGACUCCUGGUAUGUAAUUGGUCUUGCAUGAGAGGGAUGAAGAUGCGGGAAGCCUCUGAGGAGUAGGAUUUGUGCGUGUAACGUUUUAUGUGCACGUGAUUUGGCGGUUUUCGGAGCUUGAGAGGCAUAACAGGAGCAUACGAAGAGAAAAUUGUGUGUUAGAGUAUCUGUUAAUAAUGGCUGCAGUUUGUGGGUGGCACAUUGCUUGCUCCCAUUUGUUUCCUUUGUGACGUGAUGUUAUAUCAGAAUUAGCGAUGGCUACUGUAGAGGUGGAGAGCAGAAUGACAUGACAAUAAGUGGUGCAAAGAAAGUUGCUUAAGUCAUCAUGGCUUUUACAGCAUACAGGAACAGGGAUUCGAGAAUUGUUCAAGCUUUUCAGCUCCAUCAAAGAAACAUUAAUUUUAGGAGGGAAGGCGAAGCUCCUUCCAUCUGCCAUGAAACCAUCAAUCCUUGCCAUUUUUCUCGUCGUGUCCCCAACAAACUCCUCUUCUAGGCUGAAAUCUGUUGAUUCUCUCAAGUUACUGAACCGCAGCUUCUUGCUGUUACCAUUCUAAAUCUUCCAUUUCUGAGAAUAGUUGACCCACACCCUAAUUCCGUCUCCAGUCACCCUCAGUCUACCAGAUCGUCGCAAAUUUUCAAGUUUACCAAAUUCGCACAAUAUAGCUGAGGCCGUAAUAACAUUAUUCGAAACAUGGGACCUAAAAGUUGAUGAACACAGCUACAGCAACUGUUGAUUCAAUCUUCACUUAAAAGGUGCUAUAUUUCUGACUAUCCGUCUUCACUAAGUUGCAAUCUGCAAGAAUAAUAGCUUCCAUGUAUGUGUUUAAGUGUGAAUUCUGAGUUCAUAUGAAAGUAAUGCUUGCAUUUUUACGUUGCGAAAACUCAAAGACUGUAGAUCUCAACUUCAUGUGCAUUGUUUUCAGCAAUUAAGCAACAAAUUUUGAUAUUCGAUUCAAUAGCGUUGCAAUCAUGAAUCAGGUAUGAUUUGAUCCAGUGAAGUUAUUUUGUAAAUAGGUUCUUUUUGCUGAGCAAUUGAUUGAUGUGGACAGGAAUUAUGCUUGAUCAUGCUUACAUCUUUAGAUAUUUUCUGUUCGAUCCCAGGUAACGAGGUCUUCCAAUCUGCGUGUAGCGGAGGCCGAAAUGAUGACAAAAUCGUUACAACAGGAGAAUGACAUUCUACGUUUUCAGCUCAAUGACCUCAUCAACCGUGAGAAAAACCAAGUGUGUACUUUGUCUUGAAACACAGAUCAAGUUAAAAAUUUCCAAGUAUUCCUUGUAAUAUAAAUUUCCAUUCACUUAUUGGAAAGUACCACCAAAACUCAUUUACUUUUUGAUUUGCAUCUCACCAAUAGAGACUCGAGCUACAAAGGCUGCGGGCACAUCGAGAUGUAGAAGUGUCUGCUCUGGUGAAUGCAUCCACACAACAGUUGAAAGGAGAGGUGGAGCGAUUAAAGGGGUUGUUAGAGCCUACAUCCUCGAGCCUUUCUCAAGCCCUCGCAGAGAAGGACAAGAUUGUCAAUGAGAAGGAGCAACUCUUGGCCGAGGUUGAGAGAAUGAGGAAAACAACUGAAGACGACGAAAAUACGCAUGGUGGACGGGUGCAAAUCCUCGAAACCAUCAUCGCCAAGAGCCAGGCUAUGACUAGCACCAUCUUGCAGAGUGUGGAAGCGUUCCAAAGACAUGUGCUACCAAAUUUCAAAGUCGUCAACGGUCAGAUCAACAAAUCAAGCAAAGCAAAUGACCCGGAUGGACCAAACAAACUCCUAGACGAGGUGCACAUCUAAGCGCAGCAAUAUUUACCGUGGUGUUUCGUUUCUGGAUUCAAACUCGAGAAACUGUUAAAUGCUAACAUUUUUACUGGUCACAUGUUCUAAACUUCCUUCUCGAAAGGCAUGGAUUCGCAGUUGCAAAAGUUGGAGGCUGGGAUUGCAUUGCUUCGUGUAAUCGUGGAUGCAAAGAACGACACUCUUGUUCUUAUCCGUGGCAAGGUUAGUAACCAGUCAUUCAUUCCUGUGAUCGUGGCCUUAAUCCAUUUGUAUGCGUCUGCCACAGCCCCAGCCAAUUCUGGCAGAUAUUCCUUGGAGUGCUCUGAAAAACUAACCCGAGCAGCUCCUAUACUGAUAUCAUACAUUUCGCACAGUUGAAACAAGAGAAUGAGGAGCUUAGAGCUGAGUUGGCAAAGGCAACAGAAUCGCCUUCGAUUCAGCACGAGGCAGCACCCACUCAACAAGAAGCAUCCCGUGACCAUGAGAGUCACGUUGAAAAGGAUCUCCUAAGGCAUGAGAUUCACGCGUUACAGGUACGAUUCCGUAUCUCUACGUCAUCUAUUAACUAGGAUUGGCACAUGAUCAGUUAUUGUCGUGCAGCAUGGUCACAAUACCCCAAGCAUAUUGAAAUUACAUUGGCAAAUGACUCUGCAACAGGACCUAUAUUCUACAAAAUUUAAGCAGAUGCAGGCGAUGUUGAAGGCAUAUCAACAAGCGGAGACUACUCAACAGGCUAGCUAUAAUGAAAUUCGACGAGAGUGCCAGUCGUUACAAGCACGGCUAGCGACUGUUGAAGCAUCGCGUUGUCAACUCGAAGAAAAUCUUAAGGAUGAAACCUCGGCCCGUUCUCAACUUGUAACAAACAUAUAUCACAUGCGAAAGGUUUGUGCUCUUGCACAUCUGAUAAUUACUCUUAAUUAGAGAUAUUGCAUUUGUUUCAGGGAAACAUCUAAACCUGUUUGAUGGUCUUAAUGGCUGCAGGAAAACGAGGCAUUAAAGUCGGAACUCGAAAUGGUGAAAGUGAAUCAGAAGGUGACCUAUUCUUGUCGCAUGUUACUACAUCCAACUUUCCUCUUAUGAUCAUCUAGGGAAUAUAGAUUUUCUUAGUUGAGGUCGAUUCUGAAAGGUUGGCAGUCUGAGGGAAUAAUUUGCAUUCGCAGUUCUUCAGAGGGCACGCAAGGAAAGGCCGACUUCCUAUGGAUAAGAUGGAUUUGGUAAAUACUGUGAAUCAGUUGCUGUUGGAGAAUAGCAAAUUGAGGAAUGAUAAUGUGACGCUCGAGGAAGACGUGAAGACACAACGACGAUCGAAUGUGCUUGAGAGGGUCAAAAGUGUUGUCACAGCUCGAGAUGUGGCCUUGUGUGCAAGCAACAAGGUAACCAAUUUCGCACUUCUAAGAUAUGAAUCUUAACGUCCCCUCUAGGAAUACAAAUAUGAAAGUUGAGACCACAAGCCUUCAGAUCUGACCAACGUCUAUCUUGUAGGUGGGAGACUCGGAAUUGGCAAGCAAGCUAGCUAGGGUCCGGCUACAACAAUUUGGUGGCCAGGGUUCACUCGCACAACUUGCAUUCAUGAAUGGAAACGCUGGUUUGAGCCCGACCAUGAGCCCCCAUUUGCUAGGUGAAACUUUAGGAUUUGCCGGCUGGAGUUCACCAAGUGCAGAGGCCACAGCAACUACAAAGCCCACAAAGAUGGGUGAUAUUUAUAAUUCGGGACACGCAGACAUUGCUCAGCAUGGUGGCCUGAGAGAACGUGGAAGUUUAAGUAGGUAGUAUCUUACUUUGAGUAUACAUGACAACCCAACCAAGUCACGCUCAUUGGCAAAAUCAAUUCAACGUUACGACUGGUGUAAUCUCUUACGCUGUGGUGUGCAAGGAAGAAAUCGAAAUACUUCACUGAAAGACUUACACGGAAGGCCAUGACAUCUAAGCGUUGUUAAAUUGCUACUGCGGGGUUGGAAAUUGUGAAAUUCUCAGUUGUAUAAUAGCAGGCUUCUACACUGGGAGAAUAUACCAAUGUUGAGGUCUUUGGUAAUUUUGUGGUUGAGCCUUGGAAGAAGCGAAGAGAUGUGAAUGCUAAAGCCUUCUCGUUUCAAGUUUUGUAAGGUUGGGUCCAGUAAGAAUUGAACAGGACUACAAAUUGUGGAGAAUUUGUUGAAGGUAUUGAAGACUCUGAAUGUCUUCUUCCUUUUGAACCUACUAAGAGAGUAGAGCAUGUAUCGACUUCUAGCAGAAAUAAACUUCUGUAUCUUGCGAAAUGACAACAAAGCAGAUCUCCUUAUAAUGAAUGAUACUUUCCAGGUUUGUAUGCAAGCUGGUGUAUGAUUCGUGGAUCGUUUACGUGAGUCUUUCAGGACACCUGCAGAGUUUUGUUUUGGAAAUGAACACGAUUAAUGAAAAUAUGGAGUAAAAAUUGGAACUAGGUAAUGUACAAGCAGAAUUUUUUAAAAAAAUUGACAUAUGUAUGGCUUAUUUACUCUUCUAAUAGUUGGAUACCCGUACUCAUAUUUAUUUUUUUGAUCAUGUUUUUCUACCAACGUCUUGAUAAGAAUUACUUUUGUAUAUUCAGAAUUUGUGUAAUUACAAUUUAUGUAUUUUUAUUUUAUCUUUUUACCAAAGUAGAUAUUGUUCUCACAUAAUACUUGCAUUUCUUUUGUGUAGUUCACACUCCUUAAAUAAAAUAAAAAUACUGGAUAAAAAAUUGUACUACUAAAAUAAAUCUUUACUCCACUUAAUACAUACUAAUAGCACUAGUUAUAAGAUACUAUUUACAAAGCUAAACUAUUAUAUUAUUUGAAGCAACUACACUUUUUAUGUAUUAGAUUAAAUUAUUAAUCCACAUCAAUUUUACAUUUAGUUUAUUUAGAUGAUAUUAUUUAGAAUUUGUGCAUCAUUAGAUGACAUCAAAAAUUUGGUGUUAUAAUGUUGUUAAAUAAUCAAUUCAUUAAGUAAAAACCAAAUGUCUUGUGCUAUGCUUACAUUAUAAAUACCUAAAUCUUUCUCAAUUUCUAAUACUAAAUAAUGUCUUGCACUUUUUAAUAUUAUAAUAUUUUUUUUGUUGUUUUCUAGUAGUUAAUCUUACAAACCAAGGAAUAAGACUAUGAGUAAAAUCACUAUUACAAUAGAUCAUUUUAAACUUUACAUAUGUAUUGUUAUUUUUAUGGUUUAUCCUCUUAUAGUAGCACAUUUAAAUUCCAUACUAAUUUAUGAGUAAAGAAAGACUAAAGAUGAUACAUUAUAAAACAAAAAAAAUACACUUUUAUGUAUAAUCACAUACAUAUUUUUUUUCAAUUUUAAGUCAACAUGAGAAAUUAAACAUGUCUUUUUCUUUCCUUCUUAAAAUCUUUCAAAAGCUGCACAUGUUGAGGCAUAUCAUAAGUCACUUUGCGAUAACAAAUUCUUUUGAUUGCAAGCCUUUUAAUAUGUUAACAAUUAAAAACUUUGUGCAUAAAGAAAGCCAAGCACUCUCAAUGGUAGAAAGCUACUAAACUAAUGAGAAUAAAUACAAUUCUUGAACUUCAUCAUGAAAAAACAUACUUUUACAAUACCUUUUUAAUACCAUUCAACCAGAUGUCUUACCUCCCAUGCUUCCCCAGCCCUGGUUAUCCCUUUGCACCAGGUGAUGUAAUCGGAGGGAGAAUUGUGAUUGAUUUCUAAAUCAAAAAUAUUCAAGCUGUGGGAGUUUGAUCAUAAUCCAUCAUGAUAUCAUCUUUGGCUUUGAUAAUAUUAGGUAGACUAAAAGUGACCAUUGUGAAAAAUGUUUCUUCAAUGUAUCCUUUAUGGUUUCCACCAACAUGCCGUUCUGGCACAGCUUUGCAGUCUGCCCAUGUCAGAGCAGCUGGUUUGAAUAGCUGCUCAUGCCAAAAUCCUCCGAGAUGUACAGUAUCUUCAGAAGAUUGGCUAAAAUGGAAGAUUAAAAGUCUCAAGGUAUGAAGUUGUAUUUAACCCAGAAGAAUAUGUCGAACUUGAUCCACAAUAAGGUUGCGCAUCCUUGCGCAUGUCAAGGAAAAUUCUUCUCUAUCCACAAGCAGGAAACGGUAGAUCUCCCAACGUUUUUCAUUGUAAUCAUGCCUUCCAAUAUCAGCCUGAAAUGCGGUGAGGAUUUUCAGGAUUAAAGCAAGAAACUAAGAACGGCAUUUAUAAUUUUGCAGUACAUAUAUAGGCACUCGCAAUUCUGACUUGGAAGAGAAAUGAACAAUAGUUUUAGGAGUAAUGGAUAGAAAGAGGCACUACGUGUAUCAAAUGUCGAUGAACUUGAAUUGGGUAUUUGAAAGUUGGUUAAAAUGAGCAUACCUUAAAUAUACAUAUGUCCAGCAUUUUCAGAGCUAGGGUAACGUCGUAUAAAACCCGAGGUCGACCCCUUCCGCACUUUUCAAUAGGAGUGGCAACAAGUAACUCUGUGUCAGGUCCUCUCGUCCCCACCUUAAUUCGCACAGGAUGCCCAACUUCCUCUUCCACGCACUGAGCUAGACUUUUCUGGUCUUGCACAUUGGUAAUCCUCUGUCCACUUGGACCCAGCACGAAAAGACUGAUCUCAGAGUUGCCAUUCUCCAACAUGCCAAUACGCCCAUGUGCCACCUGUAUACAUUAGCAAGUGAACCUGGUCUUAAAAAAAAAAAAAAAAAAACAGUCAAAUCCAAAUAUAGUAUAUAUGAGGACUAGUGCAUGUGAGACCAUGCCCAUCUCAACAGCAAAAGCUCUGGAAUAAGUUACUAAUUCCUUCCUUUUCUAGUGUGGCACUCGCCUGAUGUUUAUCUCAUCCAUUAACAUGACUGCAAUUCAAAUAGAAGAUUCAAGAAAUAACUAAAUAAAAAUGCUACCUCAAAAGUCAAAGAAUUUAGAAAGAAAUCAGAAAAGUAACUGAAUUUGAAGCACGAACCUUCAAACUGAAGUCCUUCACGGUGCGGAGGCAGUCGUACAGUAAACUUUUCCGGCUCUUACAAGUAAGUUGAACCAAACUGUGAACAGGGCUGGUGCUAUUCUCGACAGUAACAACGACUUCAUUAGCAUGAUGCUCACUUCUAGAGUUAAUUUUCUCACUUUUUGUAUUUCCUUUUUCGAAUGUUGCCGGAUCUUCGUAAAAUAUAUCUUUGGUGAUUGUGGCAGGCAGAGGGAAGCAAGUCAGACCCCCACACUCAGAUCCAGCAAGACUAAUCUCACAAAGUGAACAUGGCUCUCCCAAAAAUUCUUUCAGCUGAUUUGUUACUUCCUCCGCCCUUUUCUUCCACGGCUGCUUGUUUCUGCCGCAAAAUGCAAGACUGAAUACAUGAAACCAUCAAAGUUGAAAACCACGAGUACAAUUAUUCAAGAGAAUUUGGGAUGACUAGGGUAUCCGUUCCAUUUGAGAGUACAGAGACGCAGUGAAUGUGAAAACCAGCAUCACUCUAGGCCCUUGUAAACAUUGUAAUCGAUUGCAUCAGAUAUAAUCAGUGGUCAAGACACCGCAAAUUACUAGGAAUAGGAAAAGUACCUAUUGUCUGUGACAAAAAACAAAUCAACAGCUCUCCCAUCAGGGCUGGUUGAUACUUUGAUUUUGUGUAUAGUUAACUCCAUUUCCCACAACUUUUGUGCAACAUCUGAAGAACCAGUCAUAUCAUAUUAAAAAAAUUGAGACAACCAACCACUAUACCCAAAAUGAGGAGUUCAAAGUCGGUUGAGAAGAAAAACUAAAUAGAAACUGCCAAGUGUUGAGCAAAUCUAAAAUACUAAAAGAGCCAAGUCGCAAUAAUCAUGUUCCUGUAAAAUAGGAAGAAAAUCCUAGAACCACCCGUUAACAGCACACAUUGAGAGAAAAGAAUGAAAAAAUUACCAUGGAGGAGGCCUGUCCGAUCGGACGAGCAGACUUGCAGCAGCAGGACCCUCUUGGCUUCCGGCACAGGGGGAGACACAGGAGUUAAUAUAGAAGCCAGAGCAGACGGGCAUACAUCUUCCAACCGUUGUUUCAACAAUGACCAACGCACUGUUGAAGGACGCGAUCUGGGUGUCACCCACAGAGCUACAAAACACCAGCGUCCAUCGGUCGACAUAUCUGCGACACGAAGUCCUCCAUAAAAGACCAUGUCGAAUGUGAAGUACAUCUUAAAGAGACAAAGUUAAGAGAAGUUACACGCGCAGCGUACACAUCAACUUUUUCCAUUAACAUGACCUGGAAAGGAAACGAUCGAAUAUAUACGUACCCCCUUUCGUAACGCUUAGGCCAAACUCAAAUACGAUUCGGGCGAGAUCGCAACCAAGUCCCACUUUAUCAGGACAAUUGAUAGUUAUCUCACUCGGAUCCCCAGGGUUCCUGCCCCUACGCACGACCACAUAUUCAUCGGUGUAGACCCCCAUUCCGCCUCUGAAAUUGCCGCUCUCCACAAGUGUUGUACUCCAACCUCUCCCUCGUCUGUUGGCACCAAUGGCACUUAUAAAUUGAAUGAUAUGUACAAAGUGACCACAAGGAUGAGCGUAUAAUUAACAACCUCCAUACAACAUAUACAAAAUUGCAGUCCCAACAAUCAUUUUGAGCGUAGGCGAGAGUCAUAACAUAUCUCAGAAAUUGGACACGAAUCUAAGAUAUAGAGAGUGGUGACCACUGCUUGAACUUAAAAAAAGUAGUGGCACGUACACCUUCACGCCCCUUAAAAUCCGAAAGCAAUCUGAAGCUAGUAGUGUCAACUUUUCCUUUCAGAAAUAUUUCUGGCUCUAAAGCUAUGUGCAUGUUCAAUUACCAGUGAAGCUUGCGGUGGUCAAAUAAAUUCUGUGAUUCUCGUACCCUAAAACGGCUGAUAUGCCUAUGUCUAAUUAUGAAAUCUAAGCGACACAGUUGAAAUCCUGUAUUUUUGUAAUAUUAUAUCAAAGCUAACAUCAUGAAUUCACAUUUCUAGAUCGCAACACUCAUGAAUACUAAAUACGAGCCGUGUGAAGCUUGAACCCCCGAUAAAUAUACGAUUUCCUACCAAAUCCGAGAAUGACUAACGUUACAACAGAGAAUAAAUUAAAAAAAAAACAUUUAAGGUCCAAUUUCUAAGGUGCCCCUGUCAAGAGCAGCAAUUGAACAAGAAACGUUUCCAGAGGUCUCGUUCUCUUCUUGACCUGUGUCUAAGCUCUUCAGAGAGACACGCGUAAAUGUCAGACAAUGACAAGGAACUCAACAAUUUUAAGAAAAUAUUAACAAAAACAACCCUACAUAUUCUCAUUGCUUUUUUAUCGUUUCCAAACCAAUCAACAUCAAUUCCGGACGCAAUUCCCUCCUCCCAAACCUCAACACACACACCCCAAGUCAUUGGUAACUGAAACUAACAGGCACUCAACCUUACCUGAACUCACGAACGCUCCCAGCAACCGUUUCGCGCCCCCAACAACACAGCACAGAACCCAAGCCUGCUGCACACCCUCCGCGGCUGGCACCUCUCCCGAGCUGCAACAAUCCCAGACUCCACCUCAAUCUCGUCCCAUGCUCCUCCACCCCGCGAUCGUCUCAGCCACGCUCUCACACUCCCGUCUCCCCAUGCCAUGUCCACUUCUACACUCAACUGCUAAUUCCCGCUACACCUUUUCCCUUUCCCACAUUCCUCGAAUCCCUGUACUCCCCUCUUUCAGAAACCCAACUCAGAACACAUCUCUGCCACAAAAAAACAGCCGGCAACGCCUCCCGUCACGCACAGCCACGAGAUGAUACGCCACCCUUCACCCUCCGAUUGUGCUAACAAAGCCGCUAAUCUCAAAGGUAACGAAGCCUGGAAGCAAAAGCAGCAGCAGCAGGCUUCAUGAGGAGGAGGAGGAGCAGUGGACGAUCUCGUUUCAUUGAUCCAGAAAUCGUUUCCAUCUGGAUCCGAGCUUGGUUCAUGACAGAUUCGUGUGGAGCUUGGAAUUGCAAGCAAAUCGGAAUGCGUGGGAUCGAGAUAAUUCUGGCCCGCCCAACAACACAGCCAAUGCGUCUUCCAUUUUGAGUUGGGUUGGGUUAGCUUGGAACGGGCUGGGUCGGGCCGGUUCCCGCAGGGUGACGCGCGCAGGCGUCCGGUGCCGCCAGAUGCCGAGGUAAUUGCGUUUGGCGGGAAGCACGCGUGGAGGAACUGCCAUUGUGCUCAGGUCAUCUUCCACGUGGCUCGGCAAUGCUGACCCGUCUUGUUGGGAUGGGUGACGUGGAGGGGUUGCACUGGACAGCUGUCCUCCUUCAGCAUGAUGCCACACAAUUCUGGUGUCUUUUUAUGAAAUGAAUUCCCUCAAUUACAACCAUUAGUAAUAUUUCACACAAAUGAAGAAUUUUAAAUUUUAAAUUUUGAAUUAAAAAAAAGUGAUCAUGCUAUUUGAACCUUUCUGUAUGUCUGCAUGUGUGCAUGUUUAUAUAUAUACAUACAUACACAUACAUAUAUCUGUAAAAUUUUAGCUUGGUAAAGAAAAUAUCAAUAAAGUAGCUUAGAAAAAAUAGAAGCUAAGAUUUAGAGGUAUGCAAUGUUGAAUAAUAAAAUAAAUAAGAAAAAAAGGUUUUUAAUUUACACUUGCCUCAAAUUCUCUAAGACUUAUCACAUUUGUAGUUUUCAUUAGAAAGUUGUGUAUCAACAAAAGUUUUGAUAAAUAAGAAUACAAUGGUAAAACAACCAUUUUGAAAAUAAUAAACACUAAUGAGAUAAUAAUUAUUUUAUAAAAUUUCAAAAUAAAAUAAAAAAUAAAUAAAUUUAUUAAAACACACAAUAGAAUAGUAUGACAAUAAAAAUGCUUGCUUGUCUUAUAUAAAAUGUUUUUAAAAUAUUUGUUUCUAAAAUUAAAUUUUCAGAUUUUGUGAUAAUAUUAUAUCCUCUUCUAAAUGAAAAGAGAUGUGCUAUGGAAAUUCUCUAGUAUACUAAGGUGGAAAUCAUAAAAUAAUAAUACAAUUAUUCUACUAUCAUUAUAAACAUGAUAUUAAUUUUAAUAAUAAAACUUAAAUUUAAUAUUAAAAAAAACAAGACCAGAAGUAGACUUUAAAUCAUUCUUCAUAGAACUAUCUAUAGAAAUUUUAUAGAUCCUUUUAUUCUAUAAUACUAAAAUAACUCUUAGAUAUAUUUUUACUCUUUAUGAAAAUGCCUAGUAUGCUUUAAAAUUUAGUUACAGAAUUCUUUGAGGGCUAGUAUUUAUAUGCAAUUACUUUACAGACAUCUACACGUUGCACAAAAAUUAGUUAUUAAAAUAGGAUAUAUUUUGUAGCAAUGUGUCUUUAUAAAUAUUCAACAUUUUCAAAGAUUUUAUUGCAACAGAUCAAUAAAAACUAAAGUGAUUCAUAACGUUUUUUUUCUUCCAUUUUAAUAUCAAGAUUUUAUGAAAUAGUAAAUUUUAAUAUAUAUAUAUAUAUAUAUAUAUGUAUAUAUAUAAACAUAUUUCUUUCUUUCUUUCUUUCUUUCUGUUAAUACUUAAAAAUUCAAGAAUGUGACCACGAGUUGUUUUGUUUUGAUUUUGUUUGUUUUGUUUUGUUUGUUUGUUUGUUUGUUUGUUUGUUUGUUUUGUUUUGUUUUGUUUUUUUUUUUUUUUUUUUUUUUUUACUUUUUUCUUACUUCAACAAUUUUUUCAUGAAGAGAAAUUUCUCAUAUCCAUCUUUACAAAACAUUAUACAUAUCCUUAUUAACAACUUUCUUAAAGUUCUUUUACAACUUCUUAAAAGAUAGAAGUUUUUUUAACAUUACAUAUAAUGUAAUGUCUAAAGAACUUGGUUCUUUGAAGAUAUACAUAUUGAAAUUUUUAUAUAAAUACUCUAUUAAUUUUAUUUAUUUAUUUAUAUUAUAAAUUUAAUGGAUUAUGUAUAAAAUAUCUUAGAUUGCAAAAAUCUUAAACUUCUAUUUAGUAUUGUAAAUCUACAUAGUAAUUAUAAUAAGACUUGGAUUUAUUACAAUCUAAGAUUGUUUAUGAGGUAUUGAACAACUCAAUUUUAAAAUGGAAUAUUCAUACUUAUAAUUGAUAUGUAGAAGAUAGAAUGUUUAUAUGUGCCAUUAAAGUAUAAUUACUUUGAGUUACUAUUUUAUAAAGUAAAUAUUUUCAAAUGUAAUCCCAAUUAUAUCAAAAGAGUAAAAUAAAAUAAUCAAUAAUAUAUAAGUCAAAUAAGGUAGACUUUUUACAUGACAAAGAAUUGAUUACAAUAAAGGUGGUAAAAUUAAAACAUUAUAAAAAAUACAUUAUAAAAAUAAAUAUAUUUAAAUUAUAUAUAUAUAUAUAUAUAUAUUGUUUUUUUGUUUUUUUCUUGCAUUUAAUUUUUUCUUGCAAUGUGAUUUUGGAUAUAUUUUUAAUAUUAAAAAUUAUAAUAUUAGUAACUUUAUUUUUUAAUUGAUAAUUUAAAAUUUUAUAUACAAUUAAAAAAAAUCUUAAAUUCACACUUUAGAAUUUUAUAAAAACUAUUUUAUUUAAAUUAUAUUUAAUUUCUUAGUGUUUCUAUGUUUUUUAAUGUAUCAAUAUCAGAUAACAUUAAAAUCACAAUAAUUAAAAAAAUAAAUAUUCAUUAAUUAUCAAUUUAACUAUUUUAUAUGUUUUAAGUUAUUUAUUAUUUAUAUAUGAUUUAAAAUUAUGGUUUAAACCACAUCUAAUUUAUUAAUUUAUAUAUAUAUAUAUAUAUAUAUAUAAUGUUAUUAUUAUUAUUAUUAUUAUUAUCAUUUUUUAUAAUUGAGUAUAGUUUUUCAUCUAAGUUAUAUUACUGAAAAAAUUCAAAGUUAAAGAAGUAUCUACUGCACAUCAUCAUCUUGCACUUCUAUAACAAAAAAUAUCUAGUCUAAAAUAUAUACCUUAUCAUUAAAAGGUGGACAAAUCAUUUACAUCACUCUUUGUUGUUGUCAUUGUUGUCAUUGUUGUUGUUGUUGUUUAUUUAUUUAUUUAUUUAUUUUGAAUAUUUCUGAAAGAAAAGAAAUCAUAAAUCUUUGUAUGCAUUAUGAACCUAUAUAGUAGACUUAAACUAAGAAUAUACUUUAAAACUAUUUCUGCCAUUUAAAUUAUUUUAAAAAUCUUAGCAGUAAUUUUAAUGAUUAUUCUUUUAAACACUAUGUGACAAUUAAAUUUGGCAUUAAUAUAUAAUUGUGUUUUGACAUCUAUCAAGUAUUAUACGAAUUUUCUAACUUUAUCUAUGUUAUUUUAUUUAUUAUUUUUUAUUUUUUAUAGUUUAUUUUUUUCCAAAAAAUAGGAUUUAAAUAUAAUAAUAUAAUAUCAUGUAAAACUAUAUUUGCUAUUUUAUGUAGGUCACUUAAAAAAUAUUUCAAAAAUACUAUUGAAUUAUAUCUAAAUUAUGCUAAUUUUAUUUUUAUAUAAUAAUGUGUUAAAACACUUCAUAAGAUUAUCUAGGAAAAAAUAAAAUUGAUAAAAUUGAUCAAUUAGUAUUUGUCUUCUUUUUUUCUUCUUUCUUUUUUUAAUAUCUGCAAUCACACAUUAAAGUUAUAGAAUAAAACUGCUAUUAUUUUAAAAUAAAAAUAAAAACACACAUACACAAAUUUUAGAAAAAAGUUAUAGUAUAUAAUCAAAAUUUUUAUAACUAAAAGAAGUUUGUUUAUACUAUAAAAAUAAUAAUAAAGGAAUAAGUUCAAUAUGAUUGAACUUUGUUAUGUAUUUUUUAUAACAUAUAAAUUUAGGUAAGCUAAUAUAGUUUUUAAUAUGUAAGUCCCAAUGCAUGACUUAAACAUAACAAUGUUUAUACAAAUUAUCACUGCAUUUCUUGAAGUCAUUUUUUUAAAUCUAUAAUUCCAAUGUGUAUAUAUAUAUAUAUAUAUAUAUAUAGAUAUAUAACUUUGCUUAAUAGGAAUUGUAUAAAUUAUGCAGGCAAAAUUAGUUAAGAGAUGUAAAUUUACAAUGUAGGAACAACCUCCAAAAAGAAAAUGUUUCUUAAAUUACUCUUCAAAUUUUGUCAUAAUAUUGUAUAGUUUUCUGAAUAUAAAAGAAGACAUACAUUUCAAAAAAUUAGAUUAACCAUUAUUAUUAUUAUUAUUAUUAUUUCUUGGAACAUUAGAGGAGUCUUCGUCUGUGUUGUAACAUGCAUGAGAACAGAUAUUUCACAGCUGGAAUUUAAACCAUUAAACAGCCCCUUCUUUCGUUGUUUAAUUUAGUCGUGGACACAAAAUAAGAAUUCAACACACACUGCAUGAGUUUUGAAACAGAGGGGGGUGGUGAAGCGGGAUAUUCGCCUCAGGAAUGGAGGCGUGGCGCAGCCCACAUUUGAAUGAAUCGUAUCAACCACAACGCCGCCAUUCCUGCCGAGCACCCUUCCUGCCUUUCUCCUUCUCUCACACAAUCAAUCUGCGCCAUCGCAUUUCCGCCCCUUCAUGGCGCCCAGUGUACUAAUCCUGCCACUAAGCGCUGCUACCCACUUACUUGCUCCUUUUCUUUCUUUGGAUGCUAUGGUCCCGUGAUUAUGCUACUUUUUGUAAUCCUAGUAAAAGCGCCUGCCGCGGCAUGCGUACAUCCGGUCUGACAACAUGCGUAAAUGGUGCGGGUAGUCAACGUGGGAUUCAGGUUGGUAUAACAGUGAUGACUGCAACCGUCGUCACGUUUCCUCGGGUGAUGGGGUCCACAUGUUUGAAGCAGACUGUGAGGUGGGAAGUGAUUGUCUAGAAUGGCCACAUGACGAAUUGCUGGGUGAGGUGUGAAGAGGGCGUUAUGUCGAAAUGUGUGUCAGAUCCAACUGUGAAGAUUCUAAACAGGUUGGAGUGAAAGAUGUGUGGGCAUUCCGCAGUUAGAUCUACUUGCUGCUGACAAGGGCUCAAGUCUCACGCGAUAAGUCAUCAGAAGCGGGAUGUUGGAAGAAAGUAGUAGACACUGCAGAAAAAUGCUUGUCCUCGUGUUUACUGGGCAGAUUAAAAGAAUUUUUAGGGCACACCUGGCAUGGCGAGUUUCCAUGCCGGCUCUAGCACACCUCCAGUGUACAAGCGCUACCCACUCGUCAUCGCUGCUGGAACAGGCACGAACAAGCCCAGCCUGAUGGACAAAAAAUAUCUGUGUUCCGUCUCAUGUACUAUACAACUCGAGGGCCGUGGGGUUGGGUUCCUGAUACUGCCAUUGCAGCAAUGCCCAAAGAAUUUUUAAAAAUCAAUCUGUUCUGUACUACCCUCUAGCUAUCUGGAAUUGUACCCCGACCAUAUUGUACCAGAUGACGUGAUCGAAUUCUUCUUUACACGCACUUCUUGAGACCUUAGAGGAGGCCGAAGAGAUUAGAGACGAGAAUGUAGCACACCAAGAUCCCCAUGCCAAAAGCUCCACCACGAGUCCGAAUAGCUCCACUUGACAAUGGAAAGCCCUGCGGCAUUGCGCAUUCCUCGCCGUUGAACCAGACCUUCUCUGGGAAGUAGUCGCGUUCACGCAUGUUCGGAGUAAGUUUCUUAGUGAAGGAGAACACGGACUGCAACUUCCCUGCGGAUCGGUUCGUAGCAGCCAUCAAAUAAUUCAAGCCUUCUAGGCCCGUGACCAUAAUGCUGGUGUUGUCGGGGGCCGUUCCAUUCAUGAUAGUCAUUUGCGUGGCAUUAAAGGAGUACGCUUGCUGGAAUCCGUCGUAAGCACCCGUCAUUUGAAGAACGGUGAACCAAUCGGGGUACGUCGUGUCCGACCAAUCGAAGAGCGUCAUCCUGGAACUCCACCCGCCAGUGAAAUUAGACACGACGUGCCAGUUGAUGGCGACACCACAAUAGUCCUGGCAAGGAAGAGGAUUCGGAAUGUUCUUGUUGUGAUUUAUGUCGGCCCAUGCGAGGAUCUGCCUUGUUCGAUUCUCUGGGUGCAUUGUGAUGGCACUGUACGGGAGCAACAUAGCGGAGGCUUUGGGGUUGCAAGCUGGUUGAGGAUUCGCAGGACAGCCGCAGGCGCAAGUGCGGCACGGGACGAUGGAAUCAUUGGUGUAUUUCGAGAAGGAGACGCAGCACUUAGGAGGGGGCUUAUUUGCAGUCUCAUUGCACGUCACCUGCUCCGAGGAUCACCAAUUUACAUCAACAUACAGAAUGAACAAUCACACUUUAUCCUAAAUCGAAAACCACACAAACGAAAAUACCAAAUACAACUAGCGCAAAUUUCACCUGCCAAGUCUUGAAGGCAGUGGUCUCGUGGAGCACAUAAGGAUCCGGGUAAGCUGUAGGCUUGAUUCGGCGUGGCACACCACACUUGAACCUUCCGUCUGCAAUCCUCCAGUUGCCGGGAGGGAUGAUGUGAUUCAGCUGAUUGCUCAUGGGAGGAACCUUAAACACGUUCAUAAGAAAGGCGGACUUAGAUUUCUUCUCAUCAAGCAACGCUGGCCAAAGGGUUCCGUUUCUGCAGCAAUAUUCGAUCCUACCAACUUGAGUGUCGUUGUAUUUUUCCAUCGGAAGGUCAAUUAUCUCGGGGCUCACGGAGCAGCUAAGAACCGUGUUCAUGUCCGGAUCGGUGUAAGUUUUCCCUGCAAUUCCGUUCAAGCAUACCUCCCUGUCGGCUUCUCGAGUUGUAGCACCCAUCAUCUUCGUUAUGAACUCGUUUUCUUGCCACGUGAAGGAAAUGUUCCAGAAGUCCAGACGCGCAAUUGGACUGUCAUUCGAGAUAGUUACCUGCGAGUGUGGAUCGCAUUGAACUCAUUUAGCCCAAAUGCAGCCACUGUACUCUGAGCAGACGUCAUAUUAGUCUAAUAAGAUAAGCACAAUGACUCGUGUUUAGCACUUACAUGUGCCAAGUAGCUGCCGGGAUAAGCCUGAGUGACAUCGUAGGUGAUGGUGAUAUUCCCCGUCUCAGGAGGCAAGAAGAAUUCGUCGUCAGUCAAGGUUAUGUUCCGGUUUGGCUCUGAGCAGCAUGUGUGCAUAGUAUUAUCUGCAAAUUGAACUCCCAGUUAGCCACCUCAUCUGGAUCCUAAUUCCGCUGUUAACUGACAGCACGCGAGAUCGGUACAUAAUGAGAGGUUCUACCAGAACUAAUGAAAGCUUCUGAAAAAACCACUCACUUCCGUAGAGCAAUGCCUUGCUGCAGUUGUAUCCUUUCUGAGUGAUGUUAAUGCUCCGCGGCAUCGGAUUUAACUUUACCCCGAACUCCGUCCCUUUGAUGAUGAAAGAUUUCUGAACCUGAGUCAUGUCCCCAGCUGUCUCGAUAGCGUUUUUCAACACUCCAGCGGGAAUUUGCGUGAGGAUGGUACCGUUAGAGACGUCGACUGGCAUUAGGCGCCCGUCUUCCAACACUAUUCCUUCGGCAUCUACAAUAAUCUACCCCAUGCACGAUACGUGAGGACGUGAACAGCGAUGAGAGCACCAAUAAACUGUAACACUCAAAAUAACGAAAACUAUGAAGUCUGAAAAGAUCUACAAAAAACUGGGUUUUAUCAGUGGGUGCAUAAUUCUCACCUCGUGGUUCUGGAAAUCAAUUCCAAUCGCCCAGCCUUCCACUGUCGAGUACCCCAUGUUCGUGAUCGUGACGGCGGACUCGAAUCUGUAAGGUUGGAGCCAGGGAGUAUCAUUGAGGAAAGGGUAGAUCUUCACCGCGUACAUGUUCGUGUACACAAUAUCAACGCCAUCACAAGGGGGCCACAGAGGCGCAGGCUCUGGGGCGGGUGCGAAAGAAACAGGCGCAAGGGGAGCGAUCACUGGAGCUACCGCUGGAGCCUUAAUAAUGGGAUUCUCAGGGAAACCUUGUCCCUUCACAGAUGUCGUGGAAAUAGCCACGAGAGCGAUUAUCAACAAUGCCCUAGAUAUCUUAAACCCUCUCAUGGCUACCACCUACGUUAUCACGACUGAGAUACAAGUGGACUUGCUUGAUGUGAAAGACAAGCAAGGUGCUUCAUACAAUCGGACUACCUAUUCAAACAUGUCCAGAUCCUAAGCAAAGUCUUCAGCAGCUGCAGAACCGUAGCUGAUUUCUCGAACCUUAACCUCGGAGCUAAAUCCAAAACCAAGCUUUCAUCUGCGAAACACAAUGCGAGCCCUCAUUCCACUAGGUCCUCUGAAUUCCAAAACCUGAGAGCUCAACCCCUGGUCUAAAACCUCUAGAACUACACAUUGAGGGGGCAGUGUCGAAAGACUCUUCCACAACGCGGCAGAAGCAACACGCACACACACAGCCUGGUUGAUGAGGCUUGCAAUGCUUCAGCCCAUCCAGGAGUGAGAUGAAGAACCACUACUAGAAGUGUGAGAUCUAGAGUGGGAAAGAGGGAGGGAGCCCCGUCGACUUAGGGACGGCGGCCUCGGGGCAACCACUGCUGUGCUGAUAAUGGCGACCAGUGCCCGCACUGAAAAACUAAACUGGUCUAGAGGCGCAUGUGACUCUACCCCCUAGGACGCCGCUCACACUCUUGACGAGAGGCUUCCCGCGCAACACUUUCAGCGAGCCCGUCGCUCUGCAGGCGACAAUCACCUCUGCUUCACUCCAAAAGCGUCGAUUGCCCAUGUUUAUUCGGUGUGUAAAUAUUCUGCGCAUACUCGACGAAGAAUUCCAGAUUGACUCGGUUUGGCUCGUAUUGGCCCAGAGCUUCAGACGUUGGGGUCGGGUCUGGGGUGCAGCAAAUUGGCAGCUACGAGCAACUCCUAAAUUGAGAAAAUAAACAGCUACUUGUGACGAUCUACACCCAGGUUUAGUCUGCAAGUUUUUCCUCCUGCGAUGUGUCCCGUCCAAGCGAAGGACUAAUUCACAUCUCGUCCUGCAAGGAAAGUCGAUCUGGAAAAAAGAGUCUGAGUGAAAGUGGGAUGGUAACCCUCAAAACGAAAUGAAUGCAAUCUAAAGAAAAAAAUUAAAAAUUAAAAAUAAAACAAAACGAAAAAGCAAAACAAAAACAAAACAGAUAAAUAAUGCGAAUAGCCUAUAGCAUCCCUGUUUGAAUAGCACGUCUAAAUUAGUUAUUGUCGGCUCGAGAGCGAUGUUUAAUUAUACUGAUUUUUAUUUUAUAUUUUAUAUUUCUCUUUGAAGUGUUGUCAUGCAGAAAAAUCAGCACAUGUUCUCAGAUUUUGUUUUCUAGUUUUUUUCUCAGCGCAAAUCAGAAGCACACAUGAGACAACCAUUUGCUUUCUACCAACCAUUUGUUGCAAAUUAUAGUAUUCUGCUGUGGUUUUUGUCCAUUGUUACUACGCUUGCAUCAGCAAGAACAGUAACGACUGUGGAUGAAUAGAAGGAAUUAGUUUUGGCUGACGAGCGUCCUCUUCCCAUACCUGAACUUUCCUGGGUUGCCAAAUUUAUCAACUGCAAGAUCGAUUAAUAGCUCGCAAUAUGAGGGGGACUCCUGGUGACUCGCAGCCGAGCUCCGAUACCACGAGGCACCAUGAGCAACAGCUAGCCAAGUAACAUCGCAGCCCCUCCGCUGCUGGAAAAAUAAUAAUAAUAAUAAUAAUAAUAAAAUAAUCCAAUCCGUGUACUGGAAAAUUUUCUAUAUUAUACAAAGGUAUUUCUGGGCUCGUGCAUUUGAUCAUUGUGAUAUUGGACUGUUUGACAGAACAAUAACUUGAAUUCUACAAAGGCAUUCAUGUUGUUAUUAUUAGUCCAGAGGCGUGAUGUGCGUUGCCCUUCCACAUCUUUCUCAACCUGAGAAUCUUCAUCCCUCAGGAAAGUUUUACGUGUUUUUCACUUCCUUCGAGCAACUUCGUUUACUUUUUACUUUGCGAUAUCUCUUUUGCAACGAGAUUGUCGCAGAUUGUAAUCUUGAAGCCGGGUGGUGAAUAUUUCAUCGUUGGCCAGAAUUUGCUGAUCCCUCAAGGCUGGAAGAUCCUUCAGAGUUUCACAAUCCUCUUAUUUACUUCACCCAGAUCUAACCACCUGCAACACCGGAAGCGUCGAAGAUGUGCACUUAAGGAGAAGUAGAAGUGGAAGCUGCCACUUAUCCAGCAGUGGCAUCCUAAUCGCAUUGUUCCAUCAGCUCCACCAACUUCGUUUUUUUUAGACAUUCACGGUUCGAGGCAUUCAGAACCGCGCUGCUGAAUUCGAUAUGGUGGUUCGAGAAGCGCGGGGGCAGAUCGCUUGCUGGAGCUAAUAUUGUCCUCCAAAUCAGUAGGUUGCCUUCGCAAUUCCCAUGUUCAGAGAUCCUCGCAAUGCUUCUUACUCCAGCUUCAGGUUCUGCAGCAUAUUACCUGCUCACCAAAUCUCAUAAAAAUCCUGAGAAUCGUGUUGGAAACGAGGUAUUAUCCAAUUUAUGACUGCAACCACAUGCUCGGGGAAACAACGCUCCGUCAAAGUUCACUUCUUAAGCAAGCAACUUUGGGAUCAGAUUUAGGUUGAAGCAAGCAGGUUAAUAUGAGGCCCUUCAAAUUGUCACGUUGUCAUCUUUAGUCAUGAAAAUACAUGAUUCUGUGCUGGUUUUGCCGAGACUGUUAAUGAGAGUUUUCAUUUCUACACAAGAAUUAAAAAAAUAAAAAUAAAAAUAAAAAUGUGGGGAAUGUCAUAGUAAUAUACAAUGAUUUAUAAACCAAGUGCAAUAUAUCUAGAUUAUUGCUUCGGGUUCAGAACGAGCAUGUGGCUUGUGGGAAUGAGAAUGAAAAAGAAUGAAAAAGCAGCACAAAAAGUGCUGAGUUUCCUUUGUCUAAAUGGUGUGAUGCCUCCUGGAUCCAAAAAGGCCACUGAAUUCUCACUUUUUCCAAAGUAUAUAUAUCUGUUUUGUUGCUGUUCUGUCCUGGGAUCAUCACAAAAAAUCGUAACAGAGAACUCGCGUUUUUGUCUGCGAAUUAUCUGGAAGCUCACGCGGCAAAAGCUCCGAUGCCAUGCACUGGAUCUGAUUAGGAGAGCUCGCCUGCAAGUCAAUCGCGGCUCUGUUUGUCAUUCUUUUGCUUGAGAUGACGUAAAAGCAAACCAACACCCAUCUCUCACCAAAGGAAACCAUACAAAAAAAAAAAAAAAAAAAAAAAAAAAAACUCUUGGUACUUACGGAUCGCGACUGUCUACCUAGAGCUCGUACACAGCGUCGCCGAGCGUGUUGCAUCCACAAGCAACUUCAUUUUACAAAAUACCAGACGAAGAAGAAGAAGAAGAAGAAGAAGAUGUUUACAUUUGGCUGAGGUGAACAAUUUUUGUAUUCAUUUUUCAAAUAGUUGUUUACAGAAAGAACGAGCUUUGUGUCCACCCCAGUCUUUUUCACAAGCUUUUGUACGUUUUCUGAAAUAUAUCUUCUUCCUUCACAACUUGCACAAUUUUCUUAGUCAUGUUCACAACAAACCAAGAUUCUUAAUGUUUAUUUACUUGUUAUUGAAACAAUGAAAACAAGUGGACCAAUUCACUUGCAGUGGAAUAUUGAUAAGAAGGAAUUGAUGAAGGAUUUCCUAGGAAGAUGCAACCACCCACCAUUUUGGUUGGGUUCAUGAGGAAGGAAGAUGCAACCACCAUUCACUUUAUUUAGCAAGUUCAUUUUUUUUAUACUAUAAAUGCCUUUUAAAACACUUAUCAAUAUUGGACUUCAUGCGUACUGAAUAUUAAAUCUAUAUUCAUUUGUUUGACAAUCAAAGAAUGUGGUAUUUACAAACAUGUUAUUAGAACGGUACUGUAAAUACUUAAUAUAUAUAUAUAUAUAUAUAUAUAUAUAUUAGUUUUGUGUUUACUUGAUCUUGUCAUUCUUUGAUUUCUAGUUUUUAUUUUGGAUAAUGUUGGUGACCUGUAAUUGAUAGAUUUACAAAAUUUUAUGUAAGUGUUUUAAUGAUGGUUUUCAUCCGAAUUACUAGAAGAUUGAAAGCGAAACCCACAUUAUUAAAUAAUCAGCAUUUGUAACGUACAAGAUUUUAGUGAGUUUUAGAAUUUCAUCAGUUUCCAUCAUCUAUUGAAGUCACUGCACACACAUAUUUUCAAAACUUAUUAAUUUAUUUUUCUCUCUUCUCUAUUGCACACUUACAAUUAUAAAACCACAUUUAUUUUUAUUUUUUCCUUUAAUUUAUUAAAAUUUGAAAAAUGAUUACAAAUUAUCAUAAAUUAUAUAUGAAUAUUUAUUGAAUAUUUGAAGUAAAAUUUACUUAAAUAAGCACAUAGAAAAGGUUUAUUUCCAUAAAAUUCAAGAAUGUUGUUUUAAUACUCAAGAGGCAAACAUUAGUGGAAAAUAAUACCAAAUGUUAAUCCAAUUUGACAAUUCAAUAAGAUUUAUUAUUAUUUUAAGCUAUUUAUACAUUGAAUCCUUGUGUCAUUGUGUGGUUUAUCCUUAGGCACCAUCAGUGAAUAUCUGAUUGAUUGCUGUAAUUGUUGUGCUAUAAGUAUUCAAAAUUGUUGUUUUUCUCCCUUUUUUUUUUUUUUUUUUUUUUUUUUCUUCCUUAAACUUGAAGUGGAUUCAAUAAAGAUGGAGGUAUUUUGGUGUGCCACAUUUUUGUAGUUGAUACUAAUCAAGGAGUGAAUGCUAUGGAUUUGAUUGACUUCAAAUUAGAAACCACCAAAUAGCCUAUAUAUACAGUAAAUAUAUACACCUAUUGAAGUUGAGCAAUGAUCAGUAUUGUGAUUAAAGUUAAUUAUAAAUACUUGGAUGGCUAACUUCAAAUGGAAUUAAUAAAUUACGUCAAUUAGAGAGUAUAUUUAUAAGAGUGAUGUGCAACUUUGAUUUUUUUAUUAAUAAAUUAUCACUGUUUCUUUAGCACUGCUUUAUCAAUGAAAAAUGAACAUCUUAAAAUUGACCACAAGAGCUCAAAUUGUAUUCAUCACUUCUGUUUUUUACGUGUGAAAAAAUCUUGUGAGAAUAUUGGUACAGAAAAUUUCAAACUUCAAAUAAAUCAGUGAAAGAGGUUAAGACUAUAAAAAUGAUUUGUCAAAUAAAAUAUUACUAUUACUAUUUUAAUAAUUAUUUAAAGCAUAGCAAAAUAAUAUGAUAGAAUAAGAAUAAUAUUAAGAAUUGGAUAGUGGAAUAGACCGCAGAAAUGUAGAAAAGAACUAGCAGGAUUAAUAAAGGCAUGAGACUAACUGGAAGAAAAAACUGAGAUUAAUCAUGCGGCUAAUUUGCAAAGAUCAAACUCUAACAUGUCCAUUACUUUUUUCCCUUUGAAGUUUAGUAAAAGACACAAAAAACUAUAAUGUGCCAAAGAUUUAAUAAAAUUACAUUCUAUGCAUUUUAAACCAAAUCCACAAAUAUACCACAAAUACGAAUACUACAAAAUUAAUCAUAAAUUAUACCAAAAAAAUUACAAAAUUAGAUUUGAAAAAAAAUACAAAACUUAAUUAAAUUGAAUAUCGGAACACACAUGCUUGGUAAAUCUAGUGUAGGCAUCCUUUUCAGCAUCAAACGUGCUAUUUUGAAAUUUUUAUUCUAAGAAAAAAAAAAUAUAAAACUCAAUUUACUACCAAUCUAUUUUGUUUAGAUAUUCACACCAAGUUUUAUUUUUUUUCUAACUUUCCUUGAUUACAAUGAAAGGUUUCUAAAAGCAAUAUUGAAAAUAACUACAAUGCUUUAAGGAUAAUAUUAAGAUGUGCUUGACUUCAACAUGAUUUUUUUUUUUUUUUUUUUUUUUUUUCUUUAUUGCUUUUGGUUUCUUACUAAUAUUGUUAUUAUGUAGAGAAUUGACACAUAAACAAUGUGAGCAUGUCAUGGCUUUGGAUGGGCUAAAACUACAUUCAUAGUGGAUAUGGUUUUUGUAAAGCAUCACUAUAUAAUAAUAUUUUAGAAGGCUUGUCAUAAGGUGCAAUAUGGUUUGUGGAGGUCCAAUUGCUGCAAAAAAUAGUCAGAUUUAUAUGUUCCUCUUGCAAAAAUCUUGCUAUGGGACCAACCAAAUUUAUGGUUUGUCUUGACACUUUACAAGUUCUAAAUAGCAUCAAAAUCUUGCACAUAUGGUAUUGCUCUAACAAACUCAAUUAAUAAAUAGAUCAUUUUACUUUGAUAAUUUUAGUAUGUUUCUUUUCUUUUCAGUAAAUAAGGGAUAAUUCAACUGAUUCUAUUGCUUUACAAAAGACCAUCUAAUUUGGAAUUGAUAUAUAUAUAUAUAUAUAGAUAGAUAAUUUUAUUUUUGAAUGAUAUCAUAUAUAUAUAUAUAUAUAUAUAUAUAUUUUUUUAAAUUUUAAAUCUGUGAUUUGUAUCUGAAAGACAUAAUUUAGAAUCAUAAAUUCAACUUCAGUCAAAAUCUAAUAUGAUUUCCUACAAUCAUAUAUAUACAUACAUACAUACAGACACUUAUUGAUUUUUUUUGCAGUUCUAAAUUACAAAUUAACAGCAUUAUAUUUUUGCCAAUGGAUUGUUUUAUUGUGAUUUAAUGUCAAAUUAGUCUAAAACCAAAAUGUAACUUUUAUUUUUAUUAAAUAGAUUUAAAAUAUCUUUAUUGAAUUAUAUUUAGUUAUUUUUCUAACCAUAGGAGUGUGUUUUUAAUUAAUUUAAUUUAAUUCAAUUUUUUUAGUGUGUUAAUGUAAGCACACAAGUAAAAAUCAUUCAUUAUGAUAUAAACCCACAAUUUACACAUUGUCAUACACAAUUACCCUGUAUUUUUAAAUGAUCUUUGUAACAAGAAAUUAAUUGAUGUGAUAUAUGUGUGUGUAUAUAUAUAUGUAUGUAUGUAUAACUGACAUAUAAUAUUGUAGUGAAUACAAAAAAAUAAAAUAGACAUGCUAAAUUGUUUUUAGAAAAAAUUUAUAUCUUUAUUGAUUUUUUGUGAUGAAAUCUCAGAAGUAUUGCCAAAUUUUAUUAAUUUCUCCAAAUUUUACCUCUAUCAUAGCUUAUUCUCUAUAUUUUCAUUAAAAAAAAGGUUAAUAAUUUUUUAAUGUAUAUAAUAUAUCUAUGAAAUUUGAAGAAAAUUUGAAUAAAUUUUAAGAGUAUUCAGAAUAGGUUUUUAGAGAUGUUAUAUAUAAUUUUGGCAGUCUUUGAAAUUAUUUCUAAAAUAAUAUUAUAUAUUUGUGUGUGUAUAUAUAUAUAUAUAUAUAUAUAUAUAUAAAUCAUUUGAAAUGAAAAUAACUAAUUUCUUAUCUAACAUGUGGUAAAAGCUUUAGAAAUUCAAAUGUCCAAUGAAUUAUUUCCAUAGGUUUAUAUUAACUAAUAAUGCUUGUUAAAUAUUAAUCAGCAGUUCUCUUUUUGAUAAGUACAGAUUUUUGUUCUCUCUUGUUUUCUUUUAAUGGUAGUUGUCUUUUUAACAACAUUUUUUUUAAUAAUAUAAUAUUUAUUGAAAAAAAUAUUUAUAAAGUGAUUAAGGUUUAUAAUCAUUUUACAAAGUUCAAGUAUAUAUUUUCAUUUUCAAUUCAAAAUUUAUUGAGCAUUGUAUAUUUUUUGAUAUUUCAAAUAAUAAUAUUAUUUUUAAUAACUUAAUGCAUAUUCUUUUAAACUAUUUUGUCAUUAAAAGUAAAAUAGUUUUAUAAAUUUUUCAAGAUAUAUUUUUAAAAUAAUAUAAUCAUUAAUUUUUAAGUCCAUAUUUUAAUAUUAAUAUCUUCAAUAUUCUUAUAUUUGCGUAUUUGAAAUUAUCUCUUCUUUUUAUUUUUUUAUUUUAUAAAACCAUAAUAAUAAUAAAAUAUAUUUUUAUUUGAAUUUUUAUUUAUAAAUUAUAAAUCUAAAUUAUAUUUUAUUUUAAAAAAUAUUAAAUAUAUAUUUUUAAUUUUAUAUAAUAAAAUCUAUCAAAAUGCUUACUAUCAACACUUAAAGUUGGAUAUGCACUUAGGUAGGUUAUUUAGUUUUAGAGGGUAGGCAAAGUAUAUCAAAAAAUUCCAUUAGGGGACUUUUUUUCCGUAAUUAAAAGCAUACAUGUAAGUUUCUUUGCAUGUGGCUUAUCUAUAGCAAAAAAAAUCAGCUUUUUUGGCUUCUUGUCUUGCAUGCACUAGUAACUCUCUACAGUAAACUUGUCUUGAGCUGCAACAUUUCAUGUCAGAUGCCUCCAGAAUUCUAAGAGAUUCUAUAACCUUCUAAUUUCUUUGAUCUACUAACAUCUAGAUUUAAGUCACAUAAUUUGUAAUAAAAACAAUCAAAAUCACUUUGUGACAACUUGUUUGAAGACAUUAUAAUAUGCCUUUGAAAAGAAUAUAAACAACAAUGUUAGAUAAGGUUUUCAUUGCCCUUUGUCAAUUCAAAAAAGGAAAUUCCAACUUAAUGCAUCGUUAACUCAUGGAUUGAUUGAAGAACAUUUAUAAGACCAAAGUCACUCAAAUAACCAUAUUUAGGACCUUCAAGCAUUCAACAAAGCUACUUGAAAAGACUAACAAUGCAAAUUUAGAUAACAAGAGAUAAAGAACUAUUAAAUAUCAGUUAAUUAAAUCAAUACAUAUAGAAUGAUUUCAUCUAAAUUAGAAAUGUGUCAACAUUGGUGUUUGGUCAAAGAAAAAAUAACUAUCAUUCUUUAUUGACUAUAUUUUGGACAUAAAAUGUUUGUAUUCUCUAAUAGAUGGCUAGAGGCAUUCAAAAAUGCUACAAAAUCUAAUCUUUCUAUUAUUUUGAAGAGAGUGAGUUAAUCAACAUAAACAUUAUUACAAAUUCUUUUCUUUUGAUUUGUGGAAUCAUCAACAAGUUCAAAUAAAGAGACAUUUAUAAUAUAGAUAAAAUUGGCCUUUUUUAUUGCAAGUAAAUUAUUUUAUACUAUGUUCUUUGUAAUUAAAUUAUUUUAUACUAUGUUCUUUGUAAUUCAAUUAUUUUAUAUUAUGUUUUGAUGCCAAUAAGCUUUCCAAAGGCUAAUUGCUAGCUUUACUUUAUGUCUAAGCAAAACAUUCUUUGACUAACAAACAAUUUGAAAGAAAAAAAAAUAAAGCAAAGAAAGAAUUACAUUGAUUCAAUUUUGUAAUAGAAAUGAUAUUGAUAAGCUUCUUUUUAGGAUUAUUAGAAAUUUUUAGAUGUUGAGAUAUUUCAAGAAUAUCAAUCAAAUCAAUCUUAGUUGCAUAUACAAGAGUAAUAUUAAGGCUUAGAUGAUUUAUACAAAAUGACACAAAACCUUUUACAUGUGCAUGAUAAACUAAGAAGUUAUUAUUAUUUUGAAUAAAAAAAACAUGUAUAUUCAAGUGGCAAAAUUUUCUAAUUAUAUUUAAUUCUAAAAUACCAUAAUAUAUUAUUGCUAUCAGUAUGUCACCUCUAAGAUUUAACCUUGUGAUGUUGUUGUGAUGUAAUACAACUAUAUAACAAAAAUAUAAUCAAAAUUAAAUUUUUAAUUAAUAUCUAAUUAUCUUAAUUCAAUUAUGAUUUAAGAUAUUUAAAUAUGAUUUUUAUAAAAGCCUCUUAGUUUAUUUUCUUAUCUUAAUAGUUAUUAGGUUAGAUGUUGAUUAGUAAGUUUACCUUCUAGGCUGUAGAGACUCUUUUACUACCUUAGAAAGACAAUAAAUUAGUAAAAAUAGGUUAAAAAAAUAAAUAAUUAGCCUGGUUGAUACUAGGAUAAAUUUGAAAGUAGGUUUGGGCUAAAAAAACCCCUAAGAUAGUUUAGAUUGAUACUCGGGGGUCAAUUGUUUGUGAGACAAGGUCGAAAUCAGAUUUCUAGCCACUAAAACGACAACUUAGGGCAAAAUAGGGAGGUAUUUGAAGAUUAGAGGUUAGGAUUCAAGAGUUAGCAUGAAGUUUAUUCUAGAGAUGUAAGGCUUGUUUUGGUAGGAUUUGUUGAAGCUUUGCAAUUAUUGUUCAAAGUCAGGGUUUGUAUUAGCAACUGUUAGGGACAUAUUCCUUAGAACUUUCUAGAGAGAAGUUUCUAGAACCUUCUUGAAAACAAGCCUCUGGAACCUUCUAGAAGAGAAGCCUCUGGAACCUUUUAGAGAGAAGUUUCUAGAAGCUUCUAGAAAGGAAGUCUCUGGAACCUUCUAGAAGAGAAGUUUCUAGAAGCUUCUAAAAAGGAAUCCCCUGGAACUUUCUAGAAGCUUCCUAGUUAAUAGAAGUAGCUCGAGAAGUUUCUAGAACCUUCUAAAAAGGAAGCCUCUAGAACCUUCUAGAAGCUUCCUAGUUAAUAGAAGUAGCUCGAGAAGCUUCCUAAGUAGGAGUAUAUAUAGGAAUCGAGGCUGAAGAGUUCUUCAGUCUCGACAACACAUCUCUUGGAGUUCUACCUCACCUUUCUGGUGUUGUUCUUGUACUCAUCUGUUUAAUCUAGUUCUGCCACUUCUUCUUGAACUUCUUAUUAGAUUUCAAGUCUGUAUUUUGUGUCCGUGAUAGUUUGUCGAGACUACACUAACUUGAGAUAUCAGAGCUAGUUCUUUCUUAGUAGAGUGUGGAUUAUCCCUCUACUUGAAGGUAUACUAGCAUUUUUUAGAGGUUGCGGAUUACCCUCCUCUAAACUGAUACUUCUUCUGUUACAAUAUUAGAGUCUUAUUCUUCUUGGAGAGAGUGGAUUACCCCUCUUCUUGAAAUUCUUAAGGCAUUUUAUAGGUUGUGGAUUACCCUCCUAUAAACCAAUAUUGCCUCUUAUAGGGUCAUUUUUGUCCUUCUUUUAGAAUGGCCGGAGGUCAAGACAUUAGUAUGACAGAAAGUUCGGAGUCUAAGUUAAAUGCUAUUAUGAAUGCCCUCGCUACGUUAUCACAAAGAACUGCAGAGAUUGAAGGAGUGGUGGCAAGGCUUCAUAAUGAUGGAGUAUCUGGAAUAGCACAAUCUAAACUACACCAGCCUCAAAUUUCGGCACUUGGAGAAACAACUUUACCUCAGGUUCGACAAGAACCACUAGUUCUACAACAUAAGGAGCCUCGAGUUAGCCUUCCAGAUAAGUUUGAUGGAACACGUUCCAAGUUUCAAGGAUUCAUUAAUCAAAUCAGGUUGAUAACAGUUUUACAACUCGAACGAUAUCCAACGGAGGAGUCACGUGUUGGGCUUGUUGGAACCUUACUUACGGGACAAGCUCUAUCAUGGUUUGCUCCUUUGUUUGAGAAACGAUCAUCCAUAUUAAACAACUUCGAAACCUUUUUGGAAGCAUUUGCGGAAGCAUUUGGUGAACACGAUAAGGUUCAAUGGGCUACAACAAAGAUCCGGUCGCUACGACAAGGGAUGCGUUCUACAUCAGUCUAUGCUUCGGAUUUCAGGCAAUUAGUAUGCGACAUCAAUUGGGAUGAAGAAGCGUUGAUGAGUCAAUUCUAUUGGGGUUUAAGAGAUGAUGUGAAGGAUUUGCUGUUAACUCUUCCUGAUCCACAAAUGCUUAAUGAAGCCAUUAGCCAAGCUGUGAAGUGCGAUAAUCGCAUAUUCCAACGUCGCCAAGACCAACGCUCAAGAAAACAUACAAUUUACCAUGCUCCAACUAUGUCGGCAAGUGGUGUGAAUUCGCAUUCAGAGGUGGAAGACAUGCAAAUUGAUGCGAUACGUAUCAAAUCUCUUACUAUAGAAGAAAAAAAGCGACGUAUGGAGGAAAAUUUAUGCUUGUAUUGCGGUGGAGAAGGCCACAAAGUCGGAAACUGCCCCAAAAAGCAAAAUCAAGGCAUAGUCAAGACUAGGGGAGUAUUUGUUCAGGAAAACGAGGAUGCCCAGCCACAGUAGGAACCGUGCGGCUGGACAAUGAAAUAUCCCAACAACGAUCAGGUUCCUUUCUUUCUGCCCAACCUACACUUUGUUUUACAAUCUCUCUGUUUAUCCGCCCUCAAAAACUGAGAACCUUAGCACUACUAGACUCAGGAGCAUCUGCUUGUUUUUUAGACGAAGAAUUUGCAAAGCGUCAUAAGAUCCCUUUAGUACAAAAAUCAAAACUUGUUCAUGUUGAGGUCAUAGAUGGGCGACCUUUAUUGUUUGGUAGCAUCACCCAUGAAUCAAAACCUAUAGAAGUAACGUUUAAAGACCAUAGUAGUCAUAUUAUUUUUAAUAUUAUUAGAACCCCAUCAAAUCCUAUUAUUCUUGGUCUUUCUUGGUUGGAAAAACAUAAUCCAUUGAUAGAUUGGAGGUUGCGGAAGAUGACUUUUCCCACAAAACCACCCAAGAAAAAACCUAGUAAAAAACCUCGAAAAAAGAAAUCCUUAUUCAUUGGAGCAAGAGCGUUUAUAAGAUCAUCUAAGGAAGGCACUCCAUUUGUCAUUUAUGCGGCUCCAACUACUGAGGAGAAGAUCUCAACAGCAAGUAUACCGGAGCAAUAUAAGGAUUUUGAAGACGUGUUUCAAAAGAAGAACGCCGACAUACUACCGGAACACUGACCAUAUGAUUGUGCCAUAGAUUUGCAAGAAGGAGCACAACCACCUUUUGGCCCAAUCUACAAUCUAUCGCAAACAGAGUUGGCAGAGUUGCGAAAGUACAUCGACGAGAAUCUAGCCAAGAACUUCAUUCGUCAUUCAAAAUCAUCAGCUGGAGCAUCCAUCUUAUUUGUGAAGAAGAAAGAUGGAUCAUUACGGAUGUGUGUGGACUAUCGAGGCCUCAACAAGGUAACAAAGAAAAAUCGUUACCCAUUACACUUGAUUUCUAGUCUCUUAGAACAACUUGGACGUGCGAAGAUCUUUACAAAAAUUGAUCUAAGGGGAGCUUAUAAUCUCGUACGAAUCAAGGAAGGAGAUGAGUGGAAGACAGCAUUCCGUACAAGGUAUAGUCAUUUCGAAUAUAAUGUCAUGCCUUUUGGUCUUACCAAUGCUCCAGCGGUUUUCCAACAUAUAAUAAAUGACAUCUUUCGAGAACACCUCGACGAUUUUGUUGUCAUCUACUUGGACGAUAUUCUAAUAUUCUCUAAAAACGAGGAAGAGCAUGAGGAGCAUGUUCGUUUGGUCUUGGAGAAACUAUGCAAGCGAGGACUAUAUGCCAAAUUAGAAAAGUGUUUAUUUCACCAGACGGAGAUGGAAUUUUUGAGGUUCAUUGCGACUACAGAAGGUUUGAAGAUGGACCCCAAGAAAGUAGAAGCAAUCAUGUCUUGGGAGGUUCCGAAGACGGUUAGGGACGUACAAUGCUUUCUUGAUUUUGCUAACUUCUAUCGGAUCUUCAUCAAGAAUUAUUCUCAAGUUGUUGCUCCUCUCACUCGAUUAACAUACAAGGAUAAGUUGGAAUGGGGACCUUUGGCGGAGAAGGCGUUUCAAGAUUUGAAGACAGCAUUUAUUACAGCUCUAAUUUUGCUACAUCCAGACUUUACAAAGGCCUUCUAUUUAGAAACUGAUGCUUCAGAUUUUGCUUUGGGAGCUGUGCUUUCACAAAUGAGUGAAGAUAAGAAGUUGCAUCCAAUAACAUUCUAUUCUCGGAAGUUCUCUACUGCUGAAAUCAAUUAUGAGAUCCACGAUAAGGAACUUCUUGCUAUAGUGGAUUCUUUCAAAGAUUGGCGUUACUUUCUUGAAGGAGUUGUACAUCUAGUAACCGUAUAUACGGAUCACAAGAAUUUGGAGUAUUUCAUGACGGCUCGAGUUUUAAAUCGGCGUCAAGCUCGGUGGAAUAUGUCGCUAUCUAGAUUCCAUUUUGUUAUCACUUAUCGACCUAGAAGAUAGCAAGGACUAUCCGAUGUUUUAUCAAGGAGAUCGUAUCUUGCACCAAAGGUUGGAGAAGCAGCGUUUGAUCAACAAUGUACAACAUUAUUGAAGCCAGAGAGAUUUCAACUUUGUGCUACUAUUGUAUCAUUUGAUGCUGACUUCCUAAACCAGGUACAUGCUAUGACCAUUAAAGAUUCAGUAGCCAUUGAUAUCAAGCAACGUACCUAUGACGACAAGUUCAAGGUGGAGGGAGAUCUUUUAUACUUUGAAGAGCGAUUGUACAUUCAAAAAGGACUAGCACGACUCCGAGUUCUUCAAUCUCGCCAUGAUUUUCCAGCUGCGGGACAUUUUGGAUUCAACAAGACCUUGGAGCUUAUUUCCCGAGAUUUUUGGUGGCCCCAAAUGUGGAAGGAUGUGAAAGAUUUUGUCCUCUCUUGUGACAUUUGUUCAAGAUCUAAGAAUCCUCGACAUCGCCCUUAUGGACUUCUACAGCCAUUGUCAAUUCCACGUCGACCAUGGUCUUCAAUUUCUAUGGACUUCAUCACGGACUUUCCAUCAUCAAACUCAUUUGACAGCAUCUUUGUCAUGGUAGAUCGGCUUACGAAGAUGGCACACUUUGUUCCUUGUAAGAAGACAUCAUCCAGUGAAGUCAAAGCAAGACUCUUUCUCGAUAAUGUGUAUCGAUAUCAUGGACUACCAAAUGAUAUCAUAUCAGAUCGAGGUACCCAGUUCGUGUCAAAGUUUUGGAGAUCUCUGUUUGGAAUAUUGAAGGUGGAUAUCAAGCUUUCUUCAGCUUUUCAUCCUCAAACUGAUGGCCAAACGGAACGGGUGAACCAAGUCUUGGAGCAGUACUUAUGAUGCAGCAUCAACUAUCAGCAAGACGAUUGGACUGCAUAUCUACCACUAGCCGAGUUUGCAUAUAACAACACCCUCCAUGCGUUGACUCAACAAACACCAUUCUUUUCCAACUAUGGGUAUCAUCCGAAGCUUGAUUUAUUGAGUCCGUCAACAAAUAACAAUCCAGCAGCUGAAGGAUUUGCGAAGCAACUAUCAGAGCUUCAAACUAUGUUGAAGCUUCAAUUACAAUCCACUCAAGAAUCCUAUAAGACGUGUGCAGAUAGAUUUCGGAAUCCAGCACCUACUUUCAAAGUUGGAGACAAAGCGUGGCUUCUUCGAUGAAAUAUCAAGACCAAGCGACCAUGUGAUAAGUUGGACUAUCGAAGAUUGGGACCAUUUAUCAUCGAGAAGCAAAUUAAUCCAGUGGCAUACCGGCUGGAGUUAUCGGCUUCUAUGAAGGUACAUCCAGUCUUUCAUGUUUCUCUGUUGGAAUCUUAUCCAGAGUCAUCUUUUCCUGGAAGAGUGCAAUAUCCGCCACCUAGUAUUGAAAUCGAGAACCAUGAAGAAUACGAGGUUGAAAAGGUAUUGGAUUCACGGCGAAGAUGGGGAAAGUUAGAAUAUCUUGUUCAUUGGUGCGACUAUGACAUUAAUGAGCGAACGUGGGAGCCAGCUGAAAAUCUUGCGAAUGCGCCACAAAAGGUACAGGAGUUUCAUCAACGACAUCCCGAUAAACCUAAAUCAAUUCGAUGAUAGCUUCUUUCUGAAGCUUGUUCUCCCAACAAUAUAAGAAAAGGGGAGAGCACCAGCAAAAUUCAUAGUUGAUGUAGUUAUUUUCUCCAAGAUAGAUCGUAGUUUGGUCUUUUGAUAUGGAUAGCCAAGAGAUAGAUACUAUGCCAGUCAGAGUAUCGCAACUGAGUAGCUCACGAAGGCGACCCCGAGAUGAAGAACUAUAUGUACCAUGACAACGACGGAGGAUACUGAGUAAUCGAUCACUAGUGAUCGUAUUUGAGAUCGAGCCUACUUACGAUGGUCAACCAGAAGGCGUGUUUGUAGGACAAUUUCAUAAUGAGGACACUGAAGUUCAUACUUGGUCAGAAGUCGAAGGCGUGGGCCACUACCGUUGGCUUCAAGGGUCGAUGAACCACUUGCCUCGUGAACAACAGUUGGAGUUCAUAGCAGAAGUUAUGCGACAGAUCUUCAUUUUCUUGCGUUGGUAUUGAUCAACAAUAUUGCUUCUCAGAGACCUCGAAGCUAAAGGAGGGGAUGAUGUUAGGGACAUAUUCCUUAGAACUUUCUAGAGAGAAGUUUCUAGAACCUUCUAGAAAACAAGCCUCUGGAACCUUCUAGAAGAGAAGCCUCUGGAACCUUUUAGAGAGAAGUUUCUAGAAGCUUCUAGAAAGGAAGUCUCUGGAACCUUCUAGAAGAGAAGUUUCUAGAAUCUUCUAGAAAAGAAUCCCCUGAAACUUUCUAGAAGCUUCCUAGUUAAUAGAAGUAGCUCGAGAAGUUUCUAGAACCUUCUAGAAAGGAAGCCUCUGGAACCUUCUAGAAGCUUCCUAGUUAAUAGAAGUAGCUCGAGAAGCUUCCUAAGUAGGAGUAUAUAUAGGGAUCGAGGCUGAAGAGUUCUUCAGUCUCGACAACACAUCUCUUGGAGUUCUAGCUGUCAAGGACAAGAACUCGAUGAAAGCUAAAGAGUAAGUGAGACUUUUUUCAAAAAGAAAUAGGACAAAAUAGAAAUAUGUAUAUUAAGAAAGAAACUGGAAUGGCUAUUGCCAAAAUACAAGAAAACUAGAGACCCUUGAAACUAGACUAGAAGCAAGAAAGGAGUUGACAAGAGUGAAGAGGGCUUCACUCUUGCCUCUAUAUAUACUAUCUAACUAGAAGCCACGUGGCGAUGUUCUAUAAGACCUCCAAUAUAUGUUGACUUUCUAGGCCACAUGCCUUUGCUUGCAAGGCAAGUUUUCUAUGGAUGGACCACGUAGUUAGCUUGUUCUUUAAGCUUCCAACAUGCGUGGCACAUGGCUAACUUGUUGACCAAGUUUCUAACCUAAAAGUCAACUAUAGACUCCUAUAAAGUCAAAGCAGCGUCUAUGAAGCUUCUAAGAAGCUUCUCUAGAAGAUAUUACACAAUUAACCUACUUUUACAUACUUUUAUCUAUUCAUAUAGGUAAUUAUAUGUAUGUCCGUGACAUUAUCCCUCCUUCUAGGGACGAGUUCCACGAGGAGCGGUGAUUAUAUAUUGAGAAAAUCUAAUAUGCGGCGAAUUGUAUUUGCUACAUACUCUGAUCUUUGUUCUCUUCAAAGAUAGUUGAUGGAUCCUCUUAGCCAUCGAUAGUGUCCCAUUCCAGGGCGAGAAGACCACCCUGUUAUUUGAUCACUGUUGAGGCCUUCAUAACUUCCUCAAUCUUGUCUCUUUUAUAAGAGAGGUUUUCAUCUUGGUUUUGAUGGAUGUCGUUGAUGAAAAACUUUGACUUUAGCUGAUGCAUUUGCUAGAUUCCUGGAUGGCUCCCAUGUGCGCUCACUAAUAUCAUAUCCGCACCAAUGAACAAGAUAUUCCAGCUUAUUUCGGCGCCGCCUUGAGUCUAAUAUCUCUUCUACCUCAAAUUCUUCAUUAUUAUCUACUUCUAUAGGAGGCGGUGGCAUUUGUCUUCUUCCUUGUAUAUCCACUGUCUUAUAUGGUGCAAGAAGAGACACGUGGAAUACAGGAUGGAUCUUCAUUGACUCCGGUAGAUGUAACCGAUAUGCAACUGAGUUGAUCUGUUCAGAAACAGAAAAGGGGCCAAGCCUACGAUAGUCCAAUUUGUCACAAGGUCGAGUGGUCUUGAUAUUGCGACGAAGUAGCCAUACCUUAUCACCCACGUUGAAUUGUGGUUGCUCUUUACGAUAUACAUCUGCAUUUAUCUUUUGUCGUUCUUGAGCUUUCUUCAACUGCGCCUUCAUUAUUGCAUGUAACUCUGACAACCGAUUUGCCAUAUCUUCUGCUGCAGGAUUAUCAACUUUUGAAAAAUCAAAAGUAUCAAGUCGUGGAUGAUAGCCAUAAUUGGCAAAGAAAGGUGUUUGUUGCGUGGAGGAAUGUACCGUAUUAUUAUAAGCAAACUCUGCCAAUGGCAGAAGGUUUGUCCAAUCAUCUUGUUGGUAGUUGAUGGUACACCUUAAAUACUGUUCCAAGACUUGGUUUACGCGCUCUGUUUGUCCAUCAGUUUGAGGAUGGAAAGCUGAAGAUAGCUUUAUGUCCACUUUUAAAAUCUUGAAAAGAGUCCUCCAAAAUCUCGACACAAAUUGAGUUCCCCUAUCCGAUAUGAUAUCUUUAGGCAAUCCAUGAUAGCGAUAGAUAUUAUCAAUGAAAAGCUUAGCUGUUUCUUCACCUGUGAUAGAUUUUGUACAUGGCAUAAAAUGUGCCAUCUUGGUGAAACGAUCUACUAUCACAAAUAUAGAAUCAUAAGAUCUUGAGUUUGGAAGAUCUGUGAUGAAAUCCAUAGAAACAGAAGACCAUGGUUGUUCUGGUAUAGGUAAUGGCUGAAGAAGUCCGUAAGGUCGAUGUCGAGGAAUUUUUGAUCUUGAACAAAUAUCACAUGAUUGUACAAAGUCUUUGACUGACUUCCACAUUUGUGGCCACCAAAAAUCUCUUGAUAUGAGUUCCAAAGUCUUAUUAUAUCCAAAGUGCCCUGCUGCUGGAAAGUCAUGACGUGCUUGAAGAACACGCAAACGUGCUUUUCCUUCUGGAACAUAUAGGCGUCCUUCAAAAUAUAAUAGAUUAUUCUUGAACUCGAACUUAGAAGAAUCAUGAGACUUGGAAGAAUUAUUCUCGAUAUCAUGAACAAGAGGGUCUGAGGACAUACUGGACUGGAUUUGCUUGAGAAAAGUUGAAUCAACAGUCAGUGUUGAUUUCACUGCUCGGAGAUGAAAUUGCUCCGGUUUCAAGAGGACCGUUCUUUGUUGCUCAAAAGCUGCAUCUCCUUCUUUUGGUGCAAAAUAAGAACGUCUAGACAGGGCAUCGGACAAACCUUGUUGUUUUCUUGGCCGAUAAGUGAUAAUGAAGUCGAAUCUUGACAAAGACAUACUCCAACGAGCUUGACGACGAUUCAACACGCAUGCUGACAUGAAAUACUCGAGGUUCUUGUGAUCUGUAUACAUAGUGACUGGACUAGAAGCACCUUCUAGAUAAUGACGCCAUUCUUGAAAAGAAUCCACGAUUGCAAGAAGUUCUUUAUCGUGGAUCUUAUAAUUGAUCUCGGCUGCUGAGAAUUUUCUUGAAUGAAAAGCUAUCGGAUGAAGUUUGUCAUCUGUUCCCAUUUGUGAUAAAACUGCACCCAAGGCAAAAUCCGAUGCGUCUGUUUCCAUAAAAAAUACCUUGGAAAAGUCAACACGAUAUAAGACUGGUGCAGAGACAAACGAUGUCUUCAAGGCUUUAAAUGCUGCUUCCGCUUCUUGAUUCCAUUGGAAUUUAUCUUUACUAGUCAAGCGUGUAAGUGGAGCUGCAACUCGUGAGAAGUCUUUGAUGAAGAUCCGAUAGUAAUUGGUAAAUCCCAAGACACAUUGGACAUCUCUUACAGUCUUUGGAAUCUUCCAAUCCAUGAUUGUUUGGACUUUCUUAGAAUCCAUUAUAAGACCAUCAUUUGAAAUGAUGUAUCCUAAAAAGUCAACUUGAGUAGUGUGAAAUACACACUUUUCUAUCUUGGCGUACAAUCCUGCAUCUCUAAGUUUUUGCAAUACUUGACGAACAUGUAUUUCAUGUUCUUCAACAUUCUUAGAAUAAAUCAGGAUAUCGUCUAGGUAGCAGACGACAAAAUUGUCUAAGAAUUCACGAAAUACAUCAUUCAUGAGAUGUUGAAAAGCAGCUGGUGCAUUCGUGAGUCCAAAAGGCAUGACAUUGUAUUCAAAGUGUCCGUACCUGGUUCGAAACGCAGUCUUCCAUUCAUCUCCUUCUUUGAUCCGUACUAGAUUAUAUGCUCCUCUUAGAUCUAUUUUUGUAUAGAUCUUAGCUUGAUUUAACUGGUCAAGGAGUCCUGAUAUCAAAGGUAAUGGAUACCUGUUCUUGAUUGUGAUCUUGUUGAGUCCUCGAUAGUCAACACACAUUCGUAAAGAUCCAUCUUUUUUCUUUACGAAUAGAAUUGGAGCUCCUGCUGGAGAUUUUGAAUGGCGUAUGAAAUUCUUCGCUAAAUUCUCGUCAAUAUAUGUCUUGAGUUCAGCCAACUCAUCUUGCGAUAAACUGUAAAUUGGUCCAAAUGGUGGCUGAGUUCCUUCCUUGAGAUCGAUUGAACAAUCGUAUGGGCGAUGCUCAGGAAGAAUAUCUGCAUUCUUUUUCUCAAAAACGUCUUGAUAAUCUUGAUAUUGACUUGGAAUGCCACUUGAAGUCUUUACGCUUUCAGAAAUAGGUGCAGCAUAAAUAGCAAAAGUUGAUCCUUCUUUUGCUGCGUGUAUAAAUGCUUUUGCACCUAUAGGUGCAAGUUUUACUAUACUAGACUCAUGGUUUUUUACUUGGUUAAUAGAACUAUUACUAAUGCUCUGAGGAAAAUCAAGUUUACGAGAAAUCCAAUCUAUUCGAGGAUUAUACUUUUCUAACCAUGAUAAGCCUAAAAUUACUGGAUUAGAGGGAGAUCUAAUUAUAUUAAAAAUUACGCAACUACUAUGACCAUUUAUUACUACAUCUACAGGAAGUGUUUCGUGAGUUACAUCUCCAGAAGACAACGGACGACCAUCUAUGACUUCUACGUGUACAGGUUUAGUUUUUUGUAUUAAUGAUAUUCUAUGACAUCUAGCAAAUUCUUCAUCUAAAAAACAAGAUGAGGCUCCUGAAUCUACCAAGGCAGAGGCUUUGUAAUUAUUAGGUCCUAAACGCACAUCUAUUAUAAAACAAGGAGAUGGUUCUGAGGAGAGGAUAGGACCUUUAAUAGAAGUUGUACAAGAUUCCAGCCGCACGGUCCCUAUUGUAGCUGGACGUACUCGUUUUCCGACAUACUGUCUUCUUUGACAGCCGUACUCCUCAUUUUGUAAUUACGUCGCUUCUUUGGACAAUGUUGAGCAGUGUGCUUAGGUUCUCCACAAUAUAAGCACAAUCCUUCUUGUCGACGACGAGACUUUUCUUGCUCAGUAAGAGGUUUGAAACGUACCGCAUCAAUUUGCAUAUCCUCUACUUCUGAAGGUAUGUGUUGAGGAGACGUCGGUGUUGCCAUUGAAUUGUAGUAACGUUGAGGCCCACUUGUGCGACUCUCGGAUCGAAAUUCAAAAAGUCGAUUGUCGCACUUCACAGCAAAGUCAAUUGCUUGACUCAAUGUUUGAGGAUCAGGUAAAUUAAGCAUCAAUUUCUUUACCUCAUAUUGUAAUCCGUAGAGAAAUUGACUCACAAGUGCGGCAUCAUCCCACUUGAUAUUAGUUGCAAGUUGUUGAAAUUGCAAAGCAUAUAAUGUUAUUGAUCGAUUGCCUUGUCACAAAAUACGGAUCUUGUUGGUUGCAACACGAAUUGCAUCAUGUUCUCCAAACAUGGAUCGAAACUCCGCCAAAAAAGCCUCCAGAUUAUCCAAUAUUGGAUCUCGUCGUUCAAGAAAAGAUGAAAACCAUGACAAUGCUGAACCUGAAAGAAGUGUACCAAUGAAUCUUACUUGUGACCCUGGAGUUGGAUAGCUCUGGGGUUGAAGUUCAAUCACUAGUUGGACCUGAUUGAUGAAUCCUCGAAACUUGGAUCUGGUACCAUCAAACUUCUCGGGCAAGGCAACUCUCGGUUCUCUAACACUCGAAGGGUGUUCCAUUCUGGGAGAAGGGACAUGGUUUGGUGCAGAUGUUGAAGCAGCCCCAAUCAUCUCUAUAUCUUCACUUCCUACCAUUCUUGUUGCUCCUUGUGGUGGUAAAUUGAGUUGAUGCAUCGCAAGCAUUAACUCCCUCAAUUGUUCUUGCAUCUGUGCCAUUGCACUCUUCAUUUCAACAAGCUCUGCCAUAGUAGCACUUAGAAAAGAGAAGAUGUCUAAUAACGCUCAAAACAAAUAGAAGAGAGGAAUUGAUAACAAAGAAAAUACUAAGAACAAUAUCAGUUUAAAAGAGGGUAAUCCGCAACUUCUAAUGCGCUUAUGUCUUAUCAAGAAAAAGGGGUAAUCCACUCUUAAUCAAGAAAAGACAAAGCUCUGAUAUUGUAAGUGUACUCUUGUCAAUCUGUCAAGGACAAGAACUCGAUGAAAGCUAAAGAGUAAGUGAGACUUUUCUCAAAAAGAAAUAGGAAAAAAUAGAAAUAUGUAUAUUAAGAAAGAAACUGGAAUGGCUAUUGCCAAAAUACAAGAAAACUAGAGACCCUUGAAACUAGACUAGAAGCAAGAAAGGAGUUGACAAGAGUGAAGAGGGCUUCACUCUUGCCUCUAUAUAUACUAUCUAACUAGAAGCCACGUGGCGAUGUUCUAUAAGACCUCCAAUAUAUGUUGACUUUCUAGGCCACAUGCCUUUGCUUGCAAGGCAAGUUUUCUAUGGAUGGACCACGUAGUUAGCUUGUUCUUUAAGCUUCCAACAUGCGUGGCACAUGGCUAACUUGUUGACCAAGUUUCUAACCUAAAAGUCAACUAUAGACUCCUAUAAAGUCAAAGCAGCGUCUAUGAAGCUUCUAAGAAGCUUCUCUAGAAGAUAUUACACAAUUAACCUACUUUUACAUACUUUUAUCUAUUCAUAUAGGUAAUUAUAUGUAUGUCCGUGACACUAGCUCACCUUUCUGGUGUUGUUCUUGUACUCAUCUGUUUAAUCUAGUUCUGCCACUUCUUCUUGAACUUCUUGUUAGAUUUCAAGUCUGUAUUUUGUGUCGGUGACAGCAACUUGGAAUUUAUGCAAUACAAUUAGAGCUAGCAUUCUUAGUAAGUUUGUAAAAUUGGUAUCACAUCUAUAAUUCAAAAUUUGACAAUACUUAGUUAAUUGGGUGUACUAAGUAUGUAUAAAAAUUUGUGAAAAUCUAAAAGUAUUGUUAGGAGAUAUCUGGAUUUGUGUACAAGAAGGUAUUAGAAGUUGGUAGUUUUAGAUUGGGUAGAAUUUUUAUCAUAUGUAAAGAUCUACUAGUUAGAUCAAGAUGAAAUUUGGCAUGGUGUUAGAAGACUUGAAGAUCAAGAUACACACCAAUUUUGAGUUGAAGUUAAUGAUAAAAGGAAGAGAAUCAUUACUAGAACAUUUGCAUCAACUUUAAAGUUAGCAACCAAGUUACAUUAGUGUGGUUUUUGGACGUUUUCUCACGAUUUCUAAAUUGAAUUGGAGUAAAUUCUCUUUGAGCACAUAAAAAACUUAUAGUGGCAUUUGUGUGAAAAUUUUUGCUCUAAGUAAAUGAUUAGAUAAGGAGCUACAGCUUGCUAUAACUUACUAAUUAAGAUUAAGGUUUGCAAAGAAAAUUUAAAAUUACCUAAUUAUGAAAGUGACAAGGUAAUUGGAGUUUAUGUAUGCUUGAGAUUAUUAAGAAGAGUAUUUUUGAAGUUUUUGAAUUAGAUUUAAGGACUUUUGAAUUAAAUUUCAAAUUACAUUCUUCUUAUAAGGGUGAAACAUAUUAGGAUUCUUGGAUACUUGUAAAACACAAUCCUACCUUCUACAACCAAAUGCCCAUUGCAUUUCCAAAUAGGACGACAUGUAAUAUGAAAAUAUUGGAAUUAUUUAUAAUUUAGAGGCCUACUAUAGCAAUUGCUUCAAUGAUCUUCUCAUCUAACUUUUAAGAACAAUUAUCAAAAUUUUAAAAAUAUCAAUAUUUAAGAUGCUAUUUACAUGGUUGUGCUAGACUAGACUUACAAUAUGAACAAAAAGUCAUUCACAAUUGCUUUUAUUUCUACCAAAUUUGCAUAGUGGGAGCUUGAUAGCUUGUAAUUAUAGAAGAACUACUUAAUAAUUAAGAUAUUAUUUAGAACUUAGAGUCUCAAAUUCACUAAUUUUAUUAUAAUAAUCUAAUAAAUAUCUACUAUAUAUUGAAUUAUUUAAAGAAACAAGUUAUCACCUAGGCUUAGUGAACAUUAUCAAUGAAAAUCUUCUAUAAUUAAAUAUAAUUAUUAAUAAUGGAGUUGAUGAUGAUUUCUAAGAAUCUAUUAAGAUCAUAGCUUUUGAGGCUCUCAAGUUGAUUUAAUCUUUAAAAAUUUCUAGUUUUAAUAAAACAAGAAACUUGUGGAAUUUAUAUUUUUCAUCUUAAAGAUAAAAAAAUAAGAUAAGUAUACUCAAGACAAAUUAAUUGGUAUAAAAGCUAAUUUUAUAUUUUUUUUUUCCAUCAUAUAUAGGAAUUAAAGUUAAAAAUAUCCAUAGAUAUUAUAUAUCAAUUCUAAAGAUAUUUUUAUAUGUAAAUGCAUCAUACUAUACUUUAAAAUCUACACAUUAUUUAUUUAUUCAAUUUAAAGGGAUAUCAACAAAAUUAAGUAAUAAUUAAUUAUGAAGUUUUAUUCAUUCUAAGUAUGUGCCUAAGAUUAAAACUAGAUGCCAAUAUAUAAUAGGUAGCAUAAAUUUAAAUAGGUUCUAUUAUUUUUUAAUUUUUUUAAUUUUAAAUUUAUUUAAAAAAAUUUAUAAAAUAUCAAUGAUUUUAUAAACUUCCAAAAAUUUCAAUACUUUAAAUGGAAAAAAUUAAAGAUAAUUAUUAUUUUAUAUAAUUUAAAGAUAAAUCAAAAUAUAAAAUCAAAUAUCUAUAAAUAUUUUUUUAUUUAUAAAUUAAAAUAGUAUCUAGCACAAAAAUAGAACGAAUUCCAUAGAAUUAGUAUGAUAGGGUGAUAUAAUUUUUAUUGUUUUCAAGGUAGACUCACGAAUGUAGCUUGGGAUGUAUAGUAAAGUUUUAUCUUUAUAACACUAUACUUGCAUUAAUACACAAGAUUAAUAUAAGAUUAAUUCAAGAUUAGAUUUUUUUUUUUUUUUUUAAUAUGAUAAUAUAUGUCAAUAUAUGAAAAGAGGCAUUGAUAAGAAAAGAACAUCACAUAUAAAGGCAAUAGUUAGAGCAUAUAACAAAAAUAUAAAUCUCUUAAUGGACCUUGAUAAUAAAAAAUAAGAUACUUAUUAUAUACCAAUAUUCUUUGAUUUUAAGAUUAGUUGCACUUAACUAAAUUUUAUCUAUGUGAGUCAUUGAUAAUUGGAUUUUUUCAAAGUUAUGAUUGUUUUUUGAUAUACAUGAACCAUCUUAAAGCUAUAAUAAACGAAAAUAUAGUUUGAAAUGAAAUAACAAAAAUUAUCAAAAUAUUAUUAUGACAUACUUUGUGGAAAGAAAAAAAAAAUAUAGUAUCUAAAUAUGAAAAAAUGAUCUUAAAAAAUAAUAGAAGGUAUUAUUUAUAGAAGCAAGAAUCUUGGUAGAAGAUAUUUAUAUUUAAAAAUAUCUUUUGAGGAAGAUAGUUAUUAAAUUGAAUUACUAUCACCACACAUAUUGGAACUUGAUUUUUAUACUUUUUAGUGUUGGAAUUCAAACUUUUAUUCUUAUUUAAUUUGGAAUUUAGAUGCUUUUUCUUACUUGAAUUCAUUCAAUAUUCUAAAGUGGAUUGUGCUUAAAAAAUUAUUAAAAGAAUUUAAUUUAAUUUCUUUAAAAAUUACUGUAUAGUUAGAAUUUUUUUGAAUCAUGGUUUAGAUAACACCAACUGUCAAAAAUUGGGGAUUCUAAUCAUGAUUCAAUAAAUUAUCUUCAAUACAAUAGAUACUAGAUGUAUUGUUACAUAAGACAUAUAAUAUUAGAAUUUUCUAUUAAUAGAAUCUUAAUAAGAAUUGAAUGAUUAAUGAUAUACUAAAGAUAAUAUACCAUAGAUCAAAAGGCAAUAAAGAGUAAUCUAAAUACCUCCAAUAAAUAUAUGUUGCAACAUAAAAAAAUAUCUUUUUCAAUCUUCCUUAGUAUUUGGAUCAAUUAUCUUUUUUUAAGUUUGGAUAUAUAAAUUAUAAUGCAUAUACUUGCAACUAUUUUAAAACUCCAUAGGAUAAUUCUAAAUUGAAUCUUUUCUAUGUUGAAGAUAAACUACAUUGGAUCUUUUUAGAGAAGGAGGCAUUAGUCUAUGAAGAUACCAAUUUAAAAUAAAAAAUUCUAUUUUUUUUUUAUUUUUUUGUACUAAUUAAUUAUAAUUCAAGUUUACAAUUGCACAAUAUAGAAUAUCUUUGUAAGCUUUUUACUACAAGACAUCUAUAUAGUAAGUCAACUUCAAUGUUUGAUAUCCAAACUAAAGUUGCUUCUUUUCAACCUGUUAAAUCUGAAUUUUGUCCUAUCUAUGCUAAUCUAAAGCUACACGUGGAUAUAAUUUCCUUUGUCUAGAUACCAACACUACUAGGAUCUAUACCUUGACUAUGAAGUAUUAUUAAUAUUAGACCUAUUAAUCUAAGGCAUAGGAGUGUCUUCCUCUAAAGAUUGAGAUUACAAAAUACUACCAUCUCUAGUAACAAUGAUACUUGAAUUUAGAAUAUUUUUUUAUAGCAAUGAAGUCAAAAUUGAUUGUGUGAUAAGAAAUUAGUAUGAAUAAUUGAAAGUAGUGGAUGUAAAAAUAUAAUUUUUGUAUUAAGCAUAGAAUAGAUAAUGAUAAAGCUUAAAUUCAUAACAUAGUAAAAAAAGAUUAGAUUUAAGCAUAAAUAAGAAAAUUAAAUAUAUAAAAGAAAUAAGAUAAAAAAAUAAAAUUUAAAUUGUGUAAAAAUAAUAAAGAUUAUAAAAAAUUAGGACAAGAAAUUGGCAUAAGUUAACAAGCCAUAUUAGACUAAUUUGAAACUUGGUUGGAUUAUCAAAAUAGAUAUUUAGAUAGUUAAGCAAAGUAUAGUAUUAAAAAUUCAUUACAAAUACAAUACUUAAAUAGAAUAAAAUUCUAAAAAUUUGAAGAAAUAAAACAAAAGAAAUUUACUUUAAAUCUCAAAAAAAGAACUACAAUAAGGCACAAGAAUAAAACCAAAAAGCUCAAGUUGAGUCAUAAGGAGUACAUUGUCAAGAUUGACUAUCUUUUCAAUCUUUGCUCUUAUAUAUAUACAUAUAUAUAUAUAUAUAUUAAUGCAAGGAAGAUUUUUGACAAGUUUUUUUUGAUGCUUAGAGGUGAAGCAAGCCUCCUAGAACCUCUACAAUCAAAUAAGAGUUUUUAGAAUAUUCUAAAAAAAUUAAAAAGCUUUUUAGAAUCUACUAGAAUUUAUUUGGAAUAUUUGGAAAUCAUUGAAAAAGUUUUAGAAACUUCUAGGAUUUAAUAGAAUAUUCUUUUAUUAUUUAUUUGUGAUAGUAGUAAUCUUAGGUGGCAUGAAUUUAUUAAAGCAUCUAAUAUGACAUAAUAUAGAAUUAUAUCUAGAUCAAUAAUAGAUAAUUAAUCAAAAAACUAUAGAUAUAGGAGAAAUUAGAAUUAAAGCAUUAUUUGAAUCAGAUGGCAAGCAAAAGAGAUAUACAAUAUCAACGUAUGUUUGAAAUUUCACCUUUAAUCUUUCAUCCUAAUGACACAAAGUACAUAAAGAAGAAUUAUGCAAUAAUUUUAAGAAGAGCUAUUAGAAGAAUAUAAACCAUAAAUUAGACCAAAUUAUUCUUUAGCACUUUGAUAUAAGCAACAAUAAAUAUAAAUAAGAAUUUCAUAUUUUUUAUUUUUUAUUAAUAUCAUUUGUACUAAGCUAUAAAAUUACUUAUCCUUAUAGAAAAUUAAAAAUAAAUAUGAAAGAAGAUAGCAUGGCAAUUCUAAAAAGCCAAUAUGUACAGUAAUAAAGAGGAGGAUAUAUAUUUAAAAGAUAAUCAAAUUAUGUUCAAGGUCAAAUUAAUGCAAUGGUCAAUGCAAGCUCUAUAAUGAAUAAGGAUAGAAACCGUUAUAUCUUCUAAAUUGAAAAAAUAGACAAGACAAUUCUAUUUGAAUAUAUCACGGGUGGCUUAAGCUAAUUUAUUUGAUGCUAUUCAAGUUAUCUUAAACUACCUCAAAGAUAAUUAUUUUUAAUUAUUUGAAAUUAUAAUUGAAGUGGCCAUAUUAAUUGACAUACUUGAAGAGAUGACCAAAAUUAUUGAAUUAUUUACAAAAGCAAUGGAGACCUCAAAAAGAGUAAUUGUAGUAAAUCUAUAUGUAAAGGCGUUUGAAAAAAAAUCUUAGCAGUCUAAAGAAGAAAUAUAAUGUGCAAACCUUUGGAUUAAUAUCUAAGCAACCUUAACCAAUGUUCAGGCAAAUUAAGUUAAAGAAUUGCCUAAGUUUUAUUUAAUCUAUUUGAAAUUGGUAACCAAAGCCUAACUUUAGAACCAAACUAUAGACCAAUAAGAAUCCAUAUUAGUAAAUAAAAUGAUUAUAAUAGUUAUUAAUUUUGUAAGCAAAGCUACUAAUAUAUAAGAAAUCUUAUAGGAAUUAGCAAAAAUGGUGGUAAAAACUAUUCUUUUGAUUCCUUCUUCUAUUAAGAUAUAAGAACAGAAAGACCUAUAUUUCUUUUAUAAGAUAUUACUAUGUAACAAUGAAGAUACUAUUUUUUUAAAAUAAGCAAUAAAAUAAUGAUAGAUGCAAAAGAUAAUAAAGAGGUUUAUGGCUCUAUUCUAUUUUUGGAUGAUUAUUUAUUAUUAUUAAGAAUGAUAUUGGCUUAAAGAAUUUGAUUUUGUAAGUUUUUAAGAAAAAAAGUUUAAUCCCUAUCAAAAAUGCAAGUUUUGACUUUGUUAGGAAAAAUAUGUUGGAAUCUUAAGAAAAAUAAUUAUCAAAUUUGAGCAUAUUGUAGACAAGAAGAAUCUUUAAGACCACAAAAAGAUCACUUAUGAGAAUUAAAAGCGUUAAAAGAACCCAGUAACUAUUAGAAAAUGUGAGUGGAUCUUAACAAAGUAUAAUGAAGCUAUUAGAUUAGUAAUUAGUAUAGCCAUCAAAUCAAUAUUUAUUUUAAAAACAAUAUUGUGGUGUUAUGUAAAAAUCAGCUUCAAAAUGCAUUAAGCAUCUGAAUAUAGAAGGAUUUAAUUUUAUCUUAAAGUUGGAUUUAUAAUCCAAAAAACAACACAAUCUUGAACAAUUUAAAUAAGCUUCUAAUUAUGCUUAAAAUAUUUUUUUAAUCUUUAAAAAAAUCUUUAAGAAAUAUUAUCAAUCUUUAAUUAAUUUUAAAUAAAUCUUAAAAAUUCUUUAAAAACCUUGAUUAAAUUCUAAAGAAAUUAUAAUCAAUCUUAAAGAAAUCAUAAAGAGAUCAUAAAUAAAUCUUAAAAAAAAACUUUAAAAAAUCAAAAAGUAGUCAUAAUUAAUUAUAAAAAAGUCAUAAAAAUCUAAAUAAAUUAUAAAGAAAUUAUAUAGGAAUUAGAAAUAAAUAUUAAAUAAAUCCUAGUAAAUUAUAAUUAAAUCCUAAUAAAUCUUAAAUAAAUCUUAAUUAAAAUUUAAAAAAUCUUUAAAAAUUUUAAUCAAAAUUUAAUCAAAUUUUAAGUAAAUCCUAAUAAAUCACAAUCAAAUCUUAAUCAAAAUUUAAAUAAAUCCUAAAAAAUCCUCAUAAUAUCCUAAAUAAACUCUAUAUCAAAUUUAAAACCUAAAUAAUUAUUAAUUUAAUUAUUGACUUCAUAUUUUAAUUAAUAAAUAUUAAAAAGCUUAUAAUAGUAAUAAAAUUUAAUAGAAUAUUAUUUUUAUUAAGUUGUAUAUAGCUUUAUAUAUUUAUAUAUUUAAAAAUAAUAAUAUAAUAAAUUGUUUUGGAUUUUUUUUGUUUCUUUAAGAUCCAAAAGAUUUUUUAAGUUUUGGUCCAAUUAGCUAUAUAUAAAGUUUUAGAAAAAAUGAUGAUGUGUAUUACAAAACUUAGAAGAUUUAAAAAAAAUAACUUAUAUAAAAAUUAGCUUCUUUCAAAUGUAAGAAGUUUUCAAAUCAAAAAUUAAUUUUUAAUUAGAAAGAUAUAUGGUUUAAAAUAAGAAUAUAAUAUAAUUUAUACUAAUUUAGCUUACUUGGCAUAAAGACAUUGUUGUAAAUAAAAAGAGAGAAAAAAUUAAGAUUAGAAUUUCAGUUUUUUGCCUUUUAUAUUUCUGGAUAGAUUUUGGAAUUUGAUGACUAUACUCUUAUAUGAAUAAUUAUUAGCUCUAGAUUAUAGAAACACACAUAUAUCUAUAUACAUGUGUGUAUGUUUUAUGAUAAGAUCUAUUUCGAAUGAAACUCCUUCUAAAAUUCAAAAGAUUUAGAAUUAUUUAAUCUUAUGAGUUAGAGAUGUUAAUGUUUUGGCAAAAGCCAAAAUCAUGAUUUUUUUGAAGACUAGUGUAGGGCAUUGGUUAGAAUAAGUGAUGGUUUGUUUGUGUUUUGACACAAAUGGAGUGGAGUCAGCCUAUCUUAAGUCCUAUAUUAUUGUGCAAAUUUAAUUAUAUAAAAAUAGAAAAAUAUUUAUAUAUUAUUUUAUUUUAGUAAUGUCAUAGUAAAUGCAUUCAUUUAGUUGUAUAGAAUAUUAAAAAUUUAUCUAAAUUUAUUCUUUUUAAGAUAGAAUGUUGUUGGUCAAAGCUAUACCAUCUUCUAAUAAACAUGAAUUUAUAUUUGAACCUAUCUUUUAAUUUUCUUUAUUUUUUUUUUACCAUAAAAGCCUUCUAUACUAAAUUAAGUUUAUCCAUACAAGAUUUUGUAUAUAUUGUUUGUAUUGAUUUUUUAAAUAUAGAUUCUUUUUAGCACCUGUGUUAAUAUUCAAUAACACAAAGUUCACAUUUGUAUCUCUCACUUCAGGUUCAACAAUGUUAGCAGUGAAUCGCAUAAAGCCACCAUGGUCUCCAGCAUACUAGCUGGCAUCAAGGACACGUUUCUAUGCAACAGGCACGAGGUGAAACUGGAAUGAAUGUCAAUCACAGGUAUUCUUAGUUAGGCAUGGAGUGAAAGAAACUAUCAUCAUCAAAGCAUUUCAGAUACGAACCCUGCAUUUUCUUGAGGAUAGAAUAAGAACACAAUUCUACGUCACUCAACAAAGAGUACCGAACACAAAAGGAUAAGAAAAGUAUACUUGUGGGGUUUUUCUUGUCUGCAAUCACAUCAAUCCACCAUUCAGAACCAACAAAGAAGUGAUGGUAAAAACAACUUUACUCAUCACAAAGUCAGUUGCAUAGUGUUCAUCCAGGACUUGCUGUGCAGCUCAUAUUCCAUGAAGCCUUUUUGAAGAAUUGCUACAGGAAGAAGGAAAAUUCCUCACAUGUGUCGUUCACUAAGUGCCCAAUUCAGUGAACUAUGCGCUCCGCAACCAUCUUGCCUCAACUUGACACAAUGACCAUCCCAUUCUGAAGCAAACAGAAGCCCACAAGUUUUCAAGGAGCCAGCAAAUAUCAUGACUGAACUCCAGAUGCUUUGUGUAGAAAACAUGAGAAAAGAGUUCAACUGAAAUCCACUUUUGUUUGUAGAUCAGCACUGCCUUGUUUCCUUUCCAUAUUGGGUUCUAUAGUAGUCAAAAUACGCUGCAUUUUGGCAAAAGCAUGCAUCCAUAGAGGAUCGAAAAUUCCAACAUCAAACUAACAUGAACAAUAUGUACUGAUGCAACUCUUGCUAUGUGUGCCAGUUCAACCUGUAACAUUCUGAAUCAAUAGACUUUGGUGAAUGGCCAAUUGAUUUGGAUACUGGAUAGCUCUAUAAAUGUGGUACAAUAAUAAAUCUUCUAUUGUCCUAUAAAGAUUUUUAUGCUUUACUGUUUUUAAUGCUAUACUUUUAAUUUUUUUAUUUAGUUGAAAAUUUAUUGAUUAUCUAAACCAAUUUAAAUAUAGAAUCUGAAUUUUCAUUUAUUCUAAAUUGAUUGAAUUUUUUUUUUUUUUUCUUUUGUUGUCUGAAAUUAAGAUGAUCAAAAUCAACAUAGUAAAAGAUAGAAGGUAACUUACCAAAAUAAUGUUUUGUACAAAGAAGAUUUUAGUAGUAGAUUCUACUUUCAAUUUGUAAUGUGUCUUGUCUAAAUUAUAAAAACUAGCUUUACAUUUUUGGUUUAUAUAUUUUUUUAUCCAUACAUUUAAGAGUUAAAUGUAUGAAUAAUUUAACUAUUAUUUUUUUUUUUGAUUUAAAGACAUUUUUGUUUAAAUUUAUAAUCCAAAAAUAUUAAUCUAUUUUUCUGUAUUGAUAUUAAAUUAUGAUUAAAAAAAGACUAUCUCUUUUUGUAGAAAUUUGAUAUGGUAUUAGAAAUUUUAUAUUACCUACUUUUGAUUUGACUUUUAUUCUUGUUAUUAAUGUAUAUUUAAAGUUUAUAUCAACUUAGAUAGAAGAAAAAUAAUCCAUAGAUAUUAUAUUAAGAAAUAGCAAUAAUAAAUUUGCAAUCAUUGAAAAUUUUCAUAAUUUUUUAAAAUCUUGAAAUAAAAAUCUUAUACAUUAGCAAUUUUAAUUAUAAAAGAAUUAUUAUUAUUUCUAUAAAAAAAUCCAUAAUAAAUUUUAAUAUGUAUAUAAAGAGGUUUUGUAAUUUAAAGAGGCAAGUAAAAGUAGACCAACUUUAUAGGUGAUUAUAAAAAUCUUGCUACUACAAGUGUAAAAGAACCAAAAUUAAUUAUGGUAGAGAUUUUUUAAUAGAAUAAUAUUGAAAUUUUAAGUAUUUCUACAAUAUGUUAAGUUCUUGCAAUUACACCCUUUUAAAUACCAUGAUAGUAUUAUUCAAGUAGUAUUUAUAAACAUACUUCUUUUUAGAAGUAUUACUUUUAUUUAUUAUAUAUAUAUAUAUAUAUAUAUAUAUUUUAAAUAUGACUUUUCUAUAAUAUUAAACCAUUUUUAGAAGCAUUUGUAGAUAUAUUUAUAUUAUUAAUUUGAAAAAACUAACUUUAAAAGUGUAGUAAAAAAUAUUAUUUUGAUUGCCACAACAAAGGCCACAUUCAAAUGUAAUAUAUGCUAUAAAAUUUUAAUAACUUUUUUACAAUGUAGAUUGGAGCAAUGAUCCUAUUAUUUAAUUUUAAAUAAUAUCAAAGAUCUAUAAUUAAGAAGAUUAAGAAUAUGUUUAUUAAAAAUAAUUAAAUACAAAAUACAUCACAUCAAAAUUGAUAAUUUUAUCCAAAUAUUAUAUCAAUAUAAUUAUUCAUCUAUUUAUUUAAUUAUUUUUCUAAAUUUAUUUCUAUAUCCUUUCUAUCCUUCUAUCCAAAAUUCAUCCAUAAUAACUAGUUAAUGGACUUACAACAUUAUCCAAGUAAGAACUAAAAACAUUUGAUACUUCUAAAUCUAUUGUUGCACCCAUCCUCACAAAGUAACAUACCACGGCUAAUCUUGAGCUUUAAAUUGAACCAAUUAGUUUUGUUAGAAAGAAAACUUAAUAUACAUCUACAUAAAAAAAAUACUUUAAAUUUGGCAGUAUAUUCUAAAAAAUGCUUUCAAAGUUGAUUCUCUAAUUUGAUAAGAUAGAAUAUAUCUUUCUAUUAAAUUAAGCAUUGCAAUUUAGUUCUUAAUUGCCUUUUGGUAAACCUAUACUUCUAAAAAUCUUGACUUUAAAUGGAACAUUUUUCCAAAAAUUGAGUCUUCCAAUUGCCUUCAUCAUUCUAAUUUUUUCCUCCAAAGUUGUAUCUUCCCUUGAUUCUUUAUACUUCAUGAUAGCAGAACCUUUGCUACAAGAAUUAACACUAUGUUCUAGCUUCAAUAUGAUCUAUGAUUAUUUUUUAAAAAACCAAACUUCUUAAAUUCUAUAAAAAAUCAAAAUUUGUUGCUUUCAUACUUGCAAGCAAUGAAAAGAAGCCUUCAAAAAUGUAGCUACUAAACUAUGAAGGUGAUAUACCACAUUUUACUAAAUUUAAGGUUUUUUCAUUAACUAAAUUCUUAGAUUUUAUAUUUAAUAAAUUCUAAAAGAAUUACUGUUAGAAACUAAAUUUUCUUCUAUUAAUUUAAAAAUUACAAGAUUUUUUUUUAAAAUGGCCAAAAUUACUUACAAAAUAUAGUAAAAAAUUGGCAUCGUUUUGCAUCAAAGAUAAAAAUUACAAAAAAAUCUAAAUCUAAAAAUAAACUCUUAUAUCAAGGGAAGAUACAACUUUGGAGGAAUUUUUAAUAAUUAAAAAAAUAUAUAGAAUCAUUAAAAAUUAUUAAAAAUUCUAUAUAUUUUUUUAAUUAUAAAUUAUUAAAAAGUCUUAGACUAAGAUAGAAUACAAGACAUUGAAUAGAAUAAGAAAGGCCUCACUCUUCUUUUUAUAAAUACUAUCUACAAAAGAAUUAUGUAGCAAUGUCUUGUAGGUUAUAUAACAAAUGUUAACUUAUAAGACACAUAUUUAAUUUGUAAUAUAAGUGAAUAAAUAUAUAAUGUGUGGCCAACUUGUUGCUUAAGUUGUAAAUUUAUCAAUCACUUAUUAACACAUGAAAAGUCUAUGCAUCUUUUAAGAAUUUUUUACAAUAAGAUGUUGAUAAUUUGAGUUACUUCAACUUUAUUUUAUUUAAUUCUAUUUUUAUACUAAUAAAUUUGGCUAUCUAAUAUAUAUUUUGUUUUUUAGAAGGAAGUUCUACAAAGAGCUAUAUCAUUGCUUCAUAAGUUGAUGAAGUCUAAGAUCCAUUGAACAAUAUACUUUGAUCUUUAUUUUUUCCCAUAAAAGUGGUUGAUAGGUCUUUUUAAUCAUUGAUGAUAUUUCAUAAUAAGAAAAAAAAAUCAUUAAAAAAUAUAUUUUUUAUUCCAUCAAGAAUAAUAUUCAUAUUCAAUAAUAUCACUAAGUUAUUGAAAGUCCAAAAUUGUGAUAUGGAAGACAUUGUAUUUCACCAUCUAUUCAAAAACAAAUUGUCUCUUUUGAGGAUCUUCAUUUCAAUUGCAAUAUCAUUCAAGUUAAGAUAAUCUAAAAGCUUCAUCUAAUAAUUUUACAAAUGAUAAUUCUUGAGAUGAAUUUAUUUAUUGUUGGUAUUCCAUACUUGCAAAGAAGCUUUACAAGUUUGAUUCUUAAACUUGUUUGCCUUUGAUUUAUACCAUCUUGUUGUCAAUGAUUAGGCUUUGAUUUUGAUGAAUGUCUUUAAUAUAAAGCAAAAAGAAGUUAUAAUAUAUUUCUAAUAUUUUUAAAUGACUUUUAUGUACAUUCAUUAAUAUCAUAUAUGCAACAAUGUAAGAAAUAUUCUAAUUUAUUUUGAUGAUUCUUUAAAUCCAAGGCCUCUUCUACUUCAAAGUUUUGGUUGUUAUCUAUUUUAAUAUGAGAUAGUAGUAAUUUUUUCUUUCUAAUAUAUUAAUAUUUAUAUAAGAUUCAAUAAGAAACACAUAGAAUACAUGGUAGAUCUUCAUUGAUAGUGGUAAUUAUAAUUAGCAUACUACUAAAUUAAUUUAUUAGAUUGAUAAAAAAAAAUGUGCCAAGCCUUUAAUAUUAAUCUUGUCAUAAGAUUGAUUAAUCUUAAAUUAUUACUAAAUAAAAAUAUCUAAUCACCAACUUUAAAUAAAGUUUAUUUUUUAUAAAAAAUAUUAUAUUUUAGCUUCUUUUAAGUCUAUCUUUAUAGUUAUAUAAAGCUUUUUUAUUCUACUUGCUAAAUCUUCUUCUACUAAAUCUUCAACUUUUAAAAAAUUAAAAGGAAAAAAUUAUAGAUAAUAUUUAUAAUUAAUAAAAAAUAAAUUUUAUUGAAUAAAAAUAUAUAUUAAAUUAUUAUAUAAAACUCUAUUCAUCACAAGAGAUUUUUUCAAUUGUCUUAGUUGUUGUUAAUGGUAUAUAAUAAAAACUAUUAUAAUAUUUCAUUCAUAAAUUCUAUUUGUUUAUCAAUUUGAGGUUAAAAAGCUAAAGAUAAUUUAAUUUAAAUUUUUAAUAUAUUAAAGAGUGUCUUUUAAAAUCUUGAUAUGAAUGAAGCCCACAAUUAAAUAUAAAGUCACUUAGAAGUCAAUGAUAUUGAUAAACAUUAUCUAGAAAGAUCUUGGCUAUUUCUUCAUUGAUAAGUGUUUUUCAACAUUGUACAAAAUGUGCUAUUUUAAUAAAAAUAAUCUAACAUUAAAAAAAUAAAAUCAUAAAAAUUUUAAAUUAAAAAAUCCAUAAUGAAAUCUAUUCAAAAAAAUGAUAAAGAUUGUUUUAAGAUUUGACAAAGUCAAGUCUUAUCUAUUCUAUUUUAAAAAAUAAAUUAGAAGUUAAUUGAGUAAGUAUUAAAGACAUAAAUUAUUAAAAAAAAUCUAUAAAAGUAAUAUUCUCUUAUAACAUUUAAAGAGAGAAAGUAGACAAAUUAAAGAUAGAUAUAAGAUAGAAAAUAGAAUGGCUAUUAUCAAAUAUAAAAAUACUAGAGGUUCUUAAAAUAAGACCAAAAAUAAAAAAGACAUUGAUAACAAUGAAAAAGGCUUCAUUCUUGCCUCUAUAUAUACAAUCUAAUUAAGAGGCUAUGUAAAAAAUACUAUAGUUUAUAUAAUACAUGUCUAACUUGCAAGAAAAAUUUUCAACAUAUGCACAACAUGGCCAAUUCAUAUAACAAGUGAUUAACAUGUGCAAUAUGUGACCAACUUAUAAAGUAAGUAAUUAACAUGAGUAAUAUGUGACCAACUUGUAAAGUAAGUAAUUAACAUGAGUAAUAUGUGAUCAACUUAUAUAGCAAGUAGUCAACAUAUGCAACACAUGGUCAACUUGUUGGCCAAAUUUUUAACAUAUCAAUUACCUAUCAAUACUUGAAAAAUCAAAUCUGCAUCUAUAAAGCUUUUCUAUAAUUUUAUUAUCAAAAUUUCUUUCUUUUAUUUAAUUCUAUCUAACUCAUAUAUAUAUAUAUAUAUAUAUAUAUAUAUAUAUGAUAGUAAAUAGAGUAGUAACUUAAUAAAUAUCUAAUAAUGGUUUAUAAAUCUUAAAAAAUAUUAUAUAUCAAAUAGAAUUUUUAUAAUUUUUUAAUCUAUAAUAUUUUAUAUUUUCUAAGAAACUAUAUAUAAAUCAUUAUCUUAAAAUAUAUUUUUUAUUUUAAUAUAUAAUCAUAUAUUUUUAAGUUUUUGUAGUAUAAAGCAAACAUGUUGUUCAUAUUUUUUAUAUUUUUAGAAUAAAUAUGAAUAUAUUAAAUAUAUAUAUAUAUAUAUAUAUAUAUAUAUAUAUAUAUAUAUGUAUAUAUAUAUAUAUGUAUAUAUAUAUAUAUGUAUAUAUUAUUUAAAUAUUUACAAAAUUUAUCAUUUAUUAAAGAUUAGAAAGCAAAAAAAGUAUUUAUAAAUCCAAAAGACAUGAUAUUAUAUUCAAAAUAGCCAUACUUAGUAUAAAAUUUAGUCUUCUAUUCAUCUCUUUUUUAAUACAUAGCAAAUUAUAAGAACUUUAUAAAUUUAUUUUAAUAUAGAUCUUAUCUUUACUUAAUUGAUCAAGGAGUCUUGAUUCUAAAGAUAAAAGAUAAUAAUUCUUAAUGGUUAGUUUGUUAAGUCCAAAAUAAUCUUUUUAUAUUUGUAAGGAUCUAUUAUUUCUCUUUACAAGAAGAUUUGUGCAAUUGUCGGAAUUUUUUAAUUUUUGAUAAAAUUCUUUAUAAUACUUUUAUUAAUAUAUUAUUUCAAAGCAGCAAGUUCAUUCUUUAAUAAGUUAUGAAUUGGUCUAAAUGGUAGUUGAGCUCUUUCCUGAAGAUCAAUUAUAUAAUCAUAAAGUUAGUAUUUUGCCAAUAUAUCAUUAUUAUUCUUUUCAAGCACAUCUUAAUAUUCUUUAUACUAUUCAAAGAUUUUAUUGCAAUCAUCAUUUGAAUGAUAACUUUAUGCUAAAAAAAUAAGAAAUGUGGUCCUAGCUUCAAUACCUUAAAUACAUGUCUUGACUUUCAUAAAUAAAGGUUAAAAUAUUUUUUUUACUAUUGAAACUUGAUCUUAAAGUAAUCUUUUGUAAAGUCCAAUUAAUAUUAAGAUUCUAUAAUUCAAACCAAGAAAUGUCAACUACUACUAGAUUUAAAGGAUAUUUAAAGAUGUUGAAGAAAAUGUUAGAUAUUUGAUCUCCCAAUUCUAUUUUUUAUAUUUUGGUUUCUUCUAUAACAUUUCUAAAUAUAAGUAGUCAUUCAUCUUUAAAUUCUACUAAUAUUGAUUGAAGCUUCUUUUAAAGUAUCAAUUCACGUUGUAAUACAGAAUAUUUAUUUAUAAAACAUGCAAAGACUCUUAUGUCUUAAAAUACUUAAAUUAAGAUUUAUGAUUUGAAGUUGUUAUAAUUAUAAAAUCUUUAAAAUAAAAUAUGAGAUUAUAUAUCCUAUUAAUAGAUUUAAAUUAAUAAAUCUAUUAAAAAUAUAUCAUAAGUUAUUUAAAUAUAACAUAUUAGGAUUUUAAAAUAUAUUUAUAUAUUUAUUUAUUAUAAUUUAAAAUAAUUUAUAAGUAACAAGAGUCUUAUUAAAAAUAAAGUUAUAAAAAUGGAGUAUUAUUAAGCCUUUGAAGAAAUUACUUAAAUUAAUUUAGUAAUUUCUUUUAUUAUUAAAUAUCAAUAUGUAAUUAUUAAAAAUAAUAUUUAUAUUAUUCUUUUAUUUAAAUAUAUUAAUUACAAAAGAAUUUAUAAAUCUUAUUUAAUAGGUAAUAAAAGCAUAAAAAAACCUUCUAUCUUUAUAAUUAUUCAUAUAGAAAAUUUUUAGGUGCUUUAAUUGAUAUUAUUACUAUAAAAAAUUACCAAUUUAUAAAAAAGUAACUUUAAUUUUAUUUCAUAAUUAUAAAAAAAUUAUAAAAAAAAUUAAUAAUUUUUUAGAAUUUAUUUUAAAAUAUUUUAAAAAUAUUUUUGAAACUUUUGAAGAAUUUUUAGAGCAUUUUUUAAGAUUGUGCUAAAAAAAUUGACAUUUGAGAGGCUAUUAUACAAAAAUGGAAUAAGAUUUAUAUACUAAUUGGAUAUUUUUAAAUAAUAUGGUAAAGUUAAAAAUGUAAAAAUAUUAGUUAUACUAGUAGGAAAUAAGAAGACCAAUAGCUAAUGUGGUUCUUAUAAAAAAGAAGUGCAUAAGUUCCAUAUAGAUUUUGAUACUUUAGAUAUAGGUAGUAAGAUAAGACUAAGGUCCAUGGCCUCCCUUGAAUAUCAAUAUACACUAUUUAUGAAUAUUGGUAAAAUUCAAACUCUAAAUCUUUUAAAGAAUUUAUUAUUGAAAGAAAAAUUAUUUACUUAAAUUUUUAUUAAUUAUAUUUUAUUUUAAAACUAUUAUAACUUAUUCAUAGUAAUAAAUAUUUACAUGUUUUUUAUGCUAUUAUAAAGAUUAAAAAAAUCUUAAAAUAUUAAUUUUAUUUUUAUUUUUUAUUGGAUGAAAAUCUAGUGAAUAAGUUGUGAUUAGUUUUUUUUUACAAAAUUUCUUGAUUAUACUUAUUUCACUUGUAUUGUAUUAUUCUUAUUAUUUAUUUAUUUUCACUUCAUAUAUCCAAAUGUAAUUUUUUUCUAACUGAGAUCAUUUUAUAAUUUGAUUUGAAGAUGAAGUUUAUCUUUACAAGGAUUUGGUGAUAGUAUGCAACUUGUAUUUAAUGGUAUAGAGUUGUCGAAUUGCAAGAUACUUACUAAAUAUAUAUUUUAUUAUUUUUUACUUUUUUAUUCUUAAAUUUAUGUUUCUUAUUUUGAAUCCUAUUAAUUUGGUAUAAUAGUAUUAUCUCUUAUGAUCAGCUUUUAUAUAAUAUAAAUAUAAAUUUUCAUGAUGGUAUAUGUGUUUUUUUUUAGUGUUAAUUGCUUUAAUUAAUUUUUAUCAAUUUAUAUAAGUUCUAGCCUUUAUGAAUAAGUUUUUAAAAAAAAAUUAGAAAUUAUUGUUGUAACUUGCUUUGUUCCUCUUCAACUAAAUCUUUAUUCUGGGUACUUUUCAAAGAAUCAAUUAUUGUGCGCAAUGGCUUGAGUAAUAAACUAUUUUAAUAAGUUUUUUUUUUGCAUAUUUAUUAAUAAACAUAUCUGAAUAUAUUUUAUUUCAUAUUAAAAUUAAUUACUAUAGAAUUUAUCAUUCUAAUCCAUAUUACAAACAAGGUUUUAGAAUUUAGCAAGAUAAAUUGUACUUAAUUAUAAUCUUUAUUUUAAAAACUAUAGUUUUAUUUUUUCUAUUUUUUUCAAAUUUCUCUAAUCUAAUAUAGUAAUAAAUAAUUCUAAUAAUGAAUUUAGAUCAUGUAAGAGUUAUAAAUCAUUUUCUACUAAAUUUGUAAAACUAAAAAUAAACACUAUUAGAUAAGAGUGCAAUUUAAAUAGACCUUGAUUUGUUGUAGAAAUCUUUGAAAUUUUUAUUUUAUUCCAUCAAACUCCUCUAGCAUACUAAUCUUUAUUUCCUUCAUAAUAAAAGCAAAAAAACUUUUUGAAGCUACUUGUUAGGUUGAUCUACUUACUUAUUUCAAUUGCAUAAUUCUUUGGCAUAGACAUUUGACUUAAUCAUUGACUUCUUUCAUAUGCAUAAGAAUAGUAAUUUUAUUAUUAGCAUUAGUUAUAUGUUAAAAAAUUUAUUUUUAAAGUAUUGAAAAAUUCAUAAAAUUAUAAAAUAGUUACAAAUCUAUUUUCACUUCUACCAAAUGUAAUAUAUAUAUAUAUAUAUAUAUACACAUAUAUAUAAUAGAUAGCUUUAAAAAAUCCACAAGUUAAAGUAUAAAAGGAUAAUUGAUAAUCUCUAAUAUCUUUGUUAUUUGUAUUAAAUAAUACAAUAAUAAUAAUCACGUCCACAAUGUUCCAAUUGAUUGUAAAUGUGAGUCCUUUAUGAGUCAAAAAAUGAGCUAUAAGGAUAUUUUUGAAAUUCAUCUAGUUGAAGAGCUACUUUUUUGAGGCAUCUAAAAAGGCAUUUUACUCUGCCUAUACUUUACCAUGCUAUGACUUCAUAUAUGUUGUGAUAUUAUCUAUGCAAAAAAAAAAAAAAAAAAAAUGUUUUCACAUUCAUUGUUUAUUUUUGCUUACGCCUUGUAAAUUUGACCUCUUUACGAAUGAGAUUCUUACAAAACAAGCAUUGCGUUGAUAGAACUUGAUUGAUUUUCUCAUUUUGUAAAUUUGGCACAAGGCCAAACUUCAUCCCUAUAGAGGAUUUUCAGGGGGUUUGCAAUUCCUUCACUAUGGUGAAUUUGAUGUGCAUAUCUUGACAUAAUUGUUGUGACUACAUAUCAAUAUUCUUCUUCAUAAAUUGUGUCAUGCAACGCCUCUCUCAACUAUAUAGAGGAAUAUUAUUGGAGCUUAUUUUAAAGCAUCUUGCUAAGCUUAUUUUAGGAAAAUUAGGAUUUUUUGGAAAAUUUCCUAAUUUAAAGAGGCCUAAUAAUUAUACUUGUAUGGCCAUGAUUUUGUCUUCUUAUCAAUCAAUAAAUACACUUCUUAUAUAAUAAUUAUAUUUUUUAGUGCUUCAAUAACUAUAUAGCAUAGGCACAUCAAUUAAAAAUAUAUAUGUUAUAUAUGAUUAGCAUGGAUUAUGGCAUAGAAUUUAUAAUUACAAAACAUAUUUGUACUUAUCUAUAAGAAAAAGAAUUUUUUUUAUUAACAUUGGAUUUUGUAAUGGAAGACUCCAAAUUAUGCCCACCACUUCUUCUUUGAUUGUUUCUUUACUAUUAAUUUCUACAACUUCAAGUGCCUGCUCAAACAAUCUAAUAUAUCAAAUAUAAUUUUAUAUUACUGUUAGAGAUAUUUUUGUGUCAUUCAAAAAGAUUAAAAAAUUAUUCAAAGAUGGUAAUAUAUUAAACUAGAAUGACUAUUUUCAAAGACAAGAAUAUUAGAAAGUCUUGAAACAAGACCAAAGACUAGAAAGGUAUUGAGUAGAAUAAAGAAGGCUUUAUUCUGAUCUUCUUAUAUACUCUCUAACUAAGUGUUAUAUGGCAAUAAUCUGUAGAACCUCUAAUACGUAUUGAUUUUACUAAAUACAAGAUUUAACUUACAAGGCAACUUAUCUAUAUGUAUGCCACAUAAUUAGCUUAUUUUAUAAGCUAUUAACAUGUGUGUCACAUGGCUAACUUGUUGACUAAUGUUUUAGUCUAUCAAUUAACUACAAAUAUGUGUAAAGUAAAAGUAAUGUCUGUAAAGCUUUUAAGAAGAUUUUCUAAAAGAUAUUAUAAAAUUAAUCUAUUUUUAUCUACUUCCAUUUAAUCAUAUAGAUAAUUAUUAGAAUAAAUAUAUAUGUUUGUGAUAUUAUUUCCUUCCUUCAAGAAAUGAGUUUUACAAAGAGCAAUCAUCAUAUGUUGAAAAAAUCCAAAAUAUAGUGAAUUAUAUUUAUUACAUACUCUAAUUUUUGUUUUUUUUGAAGAUCGUUGAUAGGUUCUUUCAACCAUCAAUAAUAUUCUAUAUUAGCACAAAAAAACCAUCUUAUUAUUUGAUUGUUGUUGAGGCUUUCAUAACUACCUUCAAAUAAAACAUUUGGAAUACCAUCAAAAGUUGAUAUUAUUUUUUAAAAAAUCACCAAAUAUUGAAAAUCUCUUCUAAGAUCAUGAUACCAAAUACAUUAUAACUUGCCAUCUAUUUGAGAAAGGACAUGUUGUUUUUGAAGAACUUCAUCUCGAUUGUAUCAUCUUAAAUGUUGUGACAAUUGCAGUGACUUAUCAAAUAACUCAACAAAUAAUAGCUCUUGAGUUGAAUCUAUUGAUAGUUGGUUCUCUAUUUCUUUAAUGCGACAAAUAUAUAGAAGCUACAAACAAGCAUAGAAAGUAGAAUGCUAUCUUUUAUAUAUCUUGUUUCUUUUAUAGCAAAGAUUUGUUAUUCUUCAUCUUGAUUUUGAUGGAUGUCAUUGAUAAAAAGUCUCAACCUUCUUUAUUACAUUUGUAAGAUUUUUUAUUAACUCUCAUGUAUAUUUAUUAAUAUCAUAUCUAUGCCAAUGAAUAAGAUAUUUCAAUCUAUUUUAGGAUUGCCUUGAAUUUAAAACUUCUUUCACUUCAAACUCUUGAUCAUUAUCCAUUUUUGUAGGAAGAGGUGGCAUUUGUCUACUUUUUUAGAUAUUCACUAUCUUAUAUGAUCCAAAAAGAGAUAUGUAAAAUAUAGAGUAGAUCUUCAUAAACUUUGAUAGAUGUAAUUGAUAAGCAACAUGAUUGAUUUAUUCACAAAUAGAAAAAGAUCUAAACUUACAAUGGUCCAACUUGUCAAAAGGAUGACUAGUCUAAAUAUUGUGAUAAAGUACUCUUAUCUUGUCAUCCACAUUGAAUUAUGGUUGUUUCUUAUGAUAGGCAUCUGCAUUGAUCUUUUGUCAUUCUUAAGCUUCCUUUAAUUGUACCUUUAUUGUUGCAUAUAACUUUAAUAAAUAAUUUUUUUAAUUUUAGUUAUAAGAUUAUCAACUUUUGAAAAAUAAAAAAUAUCCACUUGUAGAUAAUAAUCAUAAUUGACAAAGAAAGAUGUUUGUUGAAUAGAAAAAAUAUACUAAAUUAUUGUAUGUAAACUCUACCAAUAGUAAAAGAGUUAUCCAAUCAUCUUGAUGAUAAUUCAUAGUAUACUUUAAAUAUUGCUCUAAAAAUUAAUUUAUCCAUUCCAUUUGUCUAUCAAUUUGAAGAUGAAAAGCCAAAGAAAGUUUUAUAUCCACUUUUAAAAUCUUGAAAAGGACUCUUUAAAAUCUUGAUAUAAAUUGAAUUUCUUUAUCAAAUAUAAUAUCUUUGAUCAAUCCAUGAUAGCAAUACAUAUUUUUUAAAAAAAUCUUAAUCAUUUCUUUAUCUAUGAUAGAUUUUGUACAUGAUAUAAAUUGUGCCAUCUUAAUAAAACAAUCUAAAUUUUUAUAAAUAUAAAAUCAUACAAACCUGAGAUUAGAAGAUUUGUCAUAAAAACCAUGGAAACAAAAGAUCAUAAUUAUUAUGGAAUAUGUAAUAUCUAAAGAAGUCUAUAAGGUCAAUGAUGAGGAGUUUUUAAUCUUAAACAAAUAUUAUAUGAUUAUACAAAGUUUUUAACUACCUUCUACAAUUGACGUUGCUAAAAAUCUCUCAAUAUUAGCUCCAAAUUCUUAUUUUAUCUAAAAUAUCCAACUAUUAGAAAGUCAUGACGAGCUUAAAGAUUAUGUAAUCAUAAUUUUCCUUCAAAAAUGUAUAAUUUUUUGUCAAAAUAGAGUAGAUUAUUCUUAAACUUGAACUUGGAAGUAUCAUGAGACUUAAAAAUAUUAUUGUUGAUAUUAUGAAUAAAAAGAUCAAAUAACAUAUUUUAUUGAAUUUUCUUGAUAAAGAUUGAAUCAAUAGUCAAUGUUGAUUUUAUUACUUGAAGAAAAAAAUACUCUCGCUUCAAAAAAAAUAUAUUUAUUGAUCAAAAUUAUAUCUUUUUCUUUUGGUAUAAGAUAAAAAUAUCUAAAAAAGACAUCCAUUAAAUCUUAUUAUUUUUUUUGAGUCAAUACGUGAACUUAAAAUUAAAUCUCAAUUAAGAUAUUCUCUAAUGGGCUUGACAAUGAUUCAAAAUAUGUGCUGACAUAAAGCACUUGAAGUUCUUAUGAUUUGUAUAUAUAGUAAUUAAACUCAAGAUGCCUUCUACAUAAUGACACCAUUCUUGAAAUGAAUCCAUGAUUGCAAAAAAUUCUUUAUCAUGGAUCUUAUAAUUAAUCUUGGCUACUAAAAAUUUCUUAGAAUAAAAAGCUACUAAGUAGAGCUUGUUAUUUUCUCUCAUUUGUGACAAAAUGGUAAUUAUAGCAAAGUCUUAUGUAUCUAUUUUUAUAAAUAAUGGCUUAGAAAAAUCAACAUAAUAUAAAAUUGGUGCAAAAAUAAAUGAUAUUUUCAAGGCUUCAAAAGAUGCUACAAUUUCUUUGUUCUAGUCAAGUUUAUCUUUAUAUGUCAAAUGUGUAAAAAAAGCCGCAACUUAAAAAAAGUUUUUGAUGAAGAUUUUGAAGUAAUUAACAAAUUUCAAAAAUCAUUGUAUAUCUUUGAAUGUUUUUAGAAUCUUUCAAUUUAUGAUAGUUUGAAUCUUCUUUAGAUUUAUCAUUAGUCUUUUAUUGAAAAUGAUGUAUCCUAAGAAAUCAAUUUGAGUAGUACGAAAUAUAUACUUUUCUAUUUUGGCAUAUAAUCAUGCAUCUCUAAAUUUUUUUAAUACACAAAAAAUAUGAAGUUCAAAUUUUUAUAUUUUUAGAAUAGAUUAAAAUAUUAUUUAAAUAAUAAAAAAUAAAAUCAUCAAGAACUCACAAAAAAUGUCAUCCAUAAGAUGUUGAAAAGCAGUUGGUGCAUUUGUGAGUCCAAAAGACAUGACAUUAUAUUUAAAAUGUCCAUAUCUAAUUUGAAAAGCAAUCUUCUAUUCAUCUCUUUGUUUAAUGUGAACUAGUUUAUAUGUUCCUCAUGGAUCUAACUUUUUAUAGAUCUUUCUUUAAUUGAAUUGAUUAAGAAGUCAUAAAAUUAGAUAUAGGAGAUACUUAUUCUUGAUGGUGUUCUUAUUUAGUCUUUGAUAAUCUAAAAACAUCCAUAGAGAUCCAUCUUUCUUUUUUCACAAAUAAAAUAGAAACUCUUGUUGGAGAUUUUGAAUGGUGUAUGAAUUUUUUAACUAAGUUUUCAUCAACAUAUUCUUUUAGUGCACCUAAUUCAUUCUGUGAUAAGUUGUAAAUUAGUCCAAAUAGUGGUUGACUUCCUUCUUGUAGAUCAAUUGAAUAAUCAUAAGGUCAAUACUUUAGAAGAAUAUUUGUAUUUUAUUUUUUAAAAAUAUCUUUAAAAUCUUAAUAUUGGCUAGGAAUACCACUUGAUAUCUUUUUACUAUUAGAAAUGGACGUGGUAUAUAUAGCAAAAGAUAAUCCUUCUUUUGUAGCAUACAUGAAAGGUUUUUCAUAUACUAGUAAAAGUUUGGAUAUAUUAGAUUUAUGUAUUUCUAUUUGAUUAACAAAAUUUUGGAUUAAAAUACCAAAAAAAUUAAGAUUAUAAGAAAUCCAAUCUAUUUAAGGGUUAUAUUUUUUUAACCACAAUAAUUCUAAAAUAAUUAGAUUUGAGAGAGAUCUUAUCACAUUAAAUAUUAUGAUAUUAUUAUAAAUUUUAAUUAUUACAUUUAAAAGAAAAAUCUUAUAAAUAAUAUCUUCAAAAGACAAUAAAUGAUCAUCUAUGACUUUUACAUGUAUGAGAUUAAUUUUCUUGACUAAAGUUAUUUCUUAUUUUUUGACAAAGUCUUCAUCUAUAAAAACAAGUUGAGGUUCAUGAAUCUAAUAAUAUAAAGAUUUUAUGAUUUUUAGGUCCUAAAUAUAUAUCUAUUGUAAAAAAAGGUGAGAGAUCUAAGGAGAAAAUAUGACCUUUAUUAAGUAUUGCAUAUGAUUCCAACUCCACAAUCCCUAUUGUAGUUGAAAAAACUUAUUUUUUGACACAUUGUCUUCUUUGAAAAUUGUGCUCCUCAUUUAGUAGUUGUAUUGCUUCAUUAGAUAAUAUUAAGAAAUGUACUUAGCUCCUCUAUAAUAUAAUCACAACCCUUUUUGAUGACAUUGAGUCUUUUUUUACUUUGUGAAGGAUUUAAAACAUAUUGUAUCAAUUUGCAUUGAUUUUGGCUUUGAUGAAUAAGUUUCUAAAAAUUUAAAAGUUACUGUUAUAAUUUGAGUUAUUCUUCUCCAACUAUUCUUGAUGUCUUUCAAAUAAUUGAUUGUUGUAUAUAAUGGCUUAAGUAAUAAAUUAUUCCAAGGAUUUUACUUUUGGCAUUGUUAAUAGUAAAUUUUUGACAUUAUCCUUCAAUCCAUAUUAAAAUUGAUUAAUAAGGACCUUGUCAUUCCAAUCCAUGUCAUAAACAAGGUUUUAGAAUUUAACAACAUAUAUGGUGGCUAACGAUGAUUCUUGUCGUAAAGAUAAGAGUUUUAUCUCUACUACUCUUUUUCAAUAACUUUCUUCAAAUGUAGCCAUAAAUAAUUUUAGAAAUGAAUUCAAAUUAUAAAAGAAUUAUGAAUAUUUUUCCAUCAAAGAUACAAAUUUAAAAAAUAAAUAAAUAAUAAAAAAAAACUUCCAAAUAGAAAUGUGCCUAUGAAUCCAACUUGAGUAAAUUCAUCAAGGUUUUGAAAUAUAUGCAACUUUAGAUAGAACUUGACUUGUUGUAAAAAUCUUUAAAAUUUUGAUCUUAUUCCAUCAAACUUCCUAAGCAUACAAUUCUUUAUUUUUGUUGUACUUAUAAAAAUAAAAAUUCUUAGACUUGGUUGUGAAAUCAAUCUACUUACUUUCAUGAAUUGCACAACUUUUUGAUGUAAACUUUAAACUUCUUCCAUAGGCAUAGGAUUAGUGUUUCUAUAGUUGGCAUUAGUGAUGCAUAAAAUUUCCAUCCUAAAAGUAUUUAAAAGUUUAUGAAGAUCUGCAAUUGUUAUAAAUUUAUUUUCACUUCUCUUAAGUAUAGCAUCAAUGAUUUUUUCCUCCAUUUCAAACAACUUAACAAAUCUAUAAGUCAAAUUAGAGGAAGAUAAUUUGCAACCUCUAAUAUAAAAUGAAAAUUUCCACAAAGAGAGAUAAUCCACUCUCUUUGAGGAAAAAAUUGAUGUUAGAAAACUAAAGAAUUUGUUUAAAGGUGGAUAAUCUACAACCUUUAAAAUACAACAAAAAAAAUAAAGUAAUCCAUUCUUUUUUAAAAAACAAGACAAAAAUAAUGAGUUAGCACCCUUAUCAAACUUUUAAAGAUAUGAAUUUUAAAAAAAUAAAAUCUCAAUAUAUUCUUAUGUCACUCAAAAAGUCUAAAAAAUCAUUCAAAGAUGGUAAUAUAUUAUACUAAAAUAGCUAUUGUCAAAGGCAAGAAGACUAGAAAAUCUUGAAACAAGAUAAAAGAUUAGAAAGGUAGUGACAAGAGCGAAGAUAGUUUUACUCUUGCUUCUAUAUAUACUCUCUAAUUAGGAGUUACCUAGCAAUAUUCUAUAAGACCUCCAAUACAUAUUGAUUUUAAUAUAAUAGAGUAAAUAUGUAUGUCCAUGAUAUCAAGUAUAUUUCGUAAAUGAAAGUUCUAGUAGUAUCACUUAAAUGUCACAAUGAUUCCAACAUUCAUUGGUUGGAUCUUUGAAGUUACAUUUAAGAGAAGUACGCAAAUAUCUAUGUUAGAAGAAAUAUGGACAUUUGUAAUAUGUAAUGGUACAUUAUUCAUGAAGAGCAAGAUCUGCUAAUGUACUAUUUCUAUCUCUUCAUCAAGAUUUUUGAGCCAUUUCUAGAAAAAAAAAAAAAAAAAAAAAAUCUUAAUUAUCCAUGCUUUCUUAUUGGAGCAACAAUAAAAAUCUACUUGUUUGCUUAUGCAAUACUUAAAGCAAUAGGGCUUAUAGACAUGGUCAAUAAAAAAUGGUGGCAGUUUGUAGGUUUUGUGAACAUUGGUUGUAAAUACAAUAGUAAUUUGUGCAAUUUUCUUCUUGUAGCCAAUAAUUUAUUGUUGAGUGACAGUUUGAUUUGGCAUUAUACUAUAAAAUAGUCAUAUUUUAUCCAUGUUGCCCAUGUCACACAAAUCAUAACUCAUAAUGCAAUCGCAUAGAGCAAGCAUUAUUACAUCAAUAUUAGCUUGAUUAGUUGGGUUUGCCUAUCCAUGUAUUUUGGUUACUUUUAGCUUGUCAUAAGAGAGAAAUUUUUCAAACCAAUCACUUGAAAACUCUAUUUUGCCUUUGAGAAAUGGAAGCAUCUUUGCAAAGUAUCAAUUGCACUCUUUAAUGAAUUUUUUUGACAACUUAUUUUGAGAUUAUCAUUACAAAACUCACAAAGUAAUGAUUCCUCAAGGUCAGGAAAGUAAACCAUUUUUGGGCACUUUGCUUGAAGUUGGUCCUAGUCCAUAGAUUUGUAUUCAUCUUAUUUUUUAGGAUUUUAUUAAUAGCAACUCAUAAAGAUGCUUCCACAAGCUUAAACUUGAUUUUGGCCCACUCUGUAAGAAUCAUCUGUAAAACAAAGGACUGGACAUCUUUCUACUUGUAAAUUUGCAAUUGUUGGACAUUGGUGAAGCUCAACAUUAUAUGGGAUGCGCAAGUGUUGGGUAUGCAUGAAGAAAAGUACUACGCUAGCAGUGAGUGGACACUUGAGCAAAUUCAUGAUUUUGGCUAAACUUGGUAAGUUUUAAUGUCCUAUAAGUUAUGUUUUUGGAAGUGAAUCCACCUUAAAACUUAUGAGAGAUAAUACUCUAGCUUGCAAUAUUUUCAUAUAGACACCAUCAAGCACAAUGAAACACUUUUAAUAUAAAAAAAAAAGCAUAAAGUACAUUAAUGCAAUGUAAAUAAAGUCCAACAUCUCUGUCACCAAUAUUCAUUGUCACAGUAUUUUCAACAUUCAGUUGCAAGUACAUAAUAUCUUUCAAAGUCAUGUUUAAUAGAAGAUAUUUUUUCUGUAACACAUUUUUAGAACACAUGCAAAUUGCAGGGUUCCAUUAUAAGUAGCCCAGGACCACUAAGGACCUUUCUAAUAUGCCAAACUGCACAAGCAAAAAAUUAAAAUUUUAACAUGUAAAUUUUUUUACAAAUUUAGGUUAAUGAAAUUGCGUUAAAAUUCAAUGAAAACUGGCAGUUUUCAGCUUUCACCCAAACUUUCUUCACUGAAAUGAAAAAGUAAUAUAAACAGAAAUUAGGACCAAAUCAGAUCAUAUGUGUAAAAUAUAAAAUUGCAUGAACAAAAACAAUCACAUGUGUAUAUCAAGUAUAGAAUGAAACUGUUCACAGGUGCAAGUUAAGAAAGAAGCAGAGGAUAAGUACAAGUCAGGAAAAGCUCAUAGUUAUUAAUAUAUAGAAACAAUCUGGUCCUCCACAUGUAUGGCACUGUUGUGGAGAAUUCAGAAAACCCAAAUUACAUAGUUAUGAAAUACAAAGGUUUCCUUGUGCUGGCAUGUGCCAUUGUUUGUGAUAAUAGUAACCAUAAAACUAGACACAUGCAUGAGUGAGUUAAUUGAUAGCUACUAAACCCUGUUUUUACAUUAAACUAUGGAAACAAGUUUACAGUUCCACCAGGAGAGGCUCACAGUUUCUAUGAAGAAACAUCUGACAUGAAAAAAAGGCUCCAACUAAGGAAUGUAAUCAUUCAAGCCAUGAAACAUGUUGACAUCACAAAGAUAAAAAGCCAACUGGAAAGAAUCCAAAACUUUAGUAAAAGUUUUUGUUUUUGUUUCAUUUUUUUUUUCUUUUUUGUUUCUUUUUUAGUAUCUUUCAUCACUUUAGGCAAGGAUAAAGUACAGUCUAUUUUUUGAUGCUCAGACAGAUAUCCUUUAGCAAUCCAUCCAGGUAGCAAAUCCAGUGUGGGUGGUCAAGCCUUCCUCCCAAUAUCACCAUAAAAGAAAAAAAUGAAAUUUGAAAAUACACAAUAAAGUAAAUAAAUAAUUAGGGCUUUCUUUUUCAAUGGUCUAUAAAAUUAAAGCAAAGGAUUGAAAUUUGAAGUGGUAUAAAAAUUUAAAUGCAAUGUAUUUAUUUUAGAAUAAAAAAUGUAUCCAUUCAAAAAAAUUAACAAAUAAAAAAACAAAAAACAAAAGGAAUAAUAAUUCUCACAGUAGCCAUAUAUUGCUAUGGCAACAUACCACAAUCAUAAUCAGAGAUGUGGCCACCAGGAGGACAAUAGUCAGCUACGGACAAAAAAAACACAGCCAAGAUGCCAUGAAGCCCCUCCCACCCCAAAUCCAUUGGAGCUGACUUAACAAAUCAGAUGAUGUGGACAAAGGGUCCUGCUGACAUGGCAACCAACCACCACAUGGCUGGGUGGGUUGUGUUCCUGAGAACAGUGAUGUAGCUGUGAGCCCUUAACAUGUGGACCCAGUCCAGUGCCUUCUGCUGCUGCUGUGCCACUCAAUACAUAUAAUACACAAAUUGCACUGCCAAUUGGGAACUGAGAUGUGUUAGAAUGGCCCAUUUGUUGCACUGAUUGUGGCAUCACCAUUUGUUUGUGAAGUACCCCAAAGUGAGAACAUCGUCCUCUUAGCAUGUUCCCUGAUGACUGAGCCUGUCCAUUCAUAAGCUCAUACUUUAUGUCAUCUUUGGAGUAGCUGACCUCAUGUUUUGUUACAGAAAUCCACCUCAAAGGAAUGUAUAUGUAUAUAUAUAUAUAUAUAUAUGUGUGUGUGUAUGUAAGUGUUUGGAUGAACAUGCACUAAUGGAAACAGGGAAGUGUCUCGUUUGUCCACCUUCAUGGUGUGAAAUCAUAAUUGAAUUGGUUCCAUUAGUGUAAGUGUAUUUCGGCUCUGAAUAUACCUUUAUGUUGCAUUCCAAGUUCUUACAGUUCAUAUUUUGUGUUGCAUUAGUUUUGAUAAAUGUGUGCAAGCAUGUCAAAUAUGGUAUUGAGCCCCACUCUUGCUUAAUAAAAUGGUGACAAGUUGACAAGGUUGGAGAUCUUGGAAAACAUUUUGAAGACAACAAAUAGUCUGUGAUGAAUGGUUAUUAAAAAUUAGUGUGUUGUUAUGGACACAAAAGAAUUCACUUCUAUUUGAUAGAAAAGUCUGUGGCAACAAAACAAACACACCAACUCAUUUGGUCAGGCUUCACUUUGCAUUGUCGCAUUAUGCAGGAAAAAUGAUUAAAACAGAUGCAUACAACUAAGCAAAAAGACAACUUUAUGAGAUGGUACUAGAUGUAGAGAAGGUACUGAUAAUUUGGCAAACCACAUUUCUUGCCAUCUAUAAGAUAUGCCUCAUUGAUAUCAUAACUUGUGAAGAACACAUAUGACAAUUAAUAUGCUAAUUUAUUGAUAAUCCAGCAAGUCUUCUAUGUCAUAUCAACAAGAGGAUACCAUGACUUCCUUUGGAGCUAUGCUUCUAAAUCAUGUAUCUUUGCAACAAGGUGAAUUGUCUAGAUUUAAAUAAGCAUAAUGAAGCAUUAGAACAUUCAAUACUUGGUACCUCUAUGAAUGUAUUCUCCUGGUCAUGUUCAAAAAGAAGUAACUGGUUUUGAAGUCAUCGCAUGUGUGGGUUCUGAGCAAGUGGGUGGUCAGGGAAUGGAGGUAUCUUAAUGCAUCAACAUUUUCUGAAUGGCUGUUCCCAUUUUGCCAUGUUUUAUUUUCUGUAUUUUUUCAUCCCUAAGAUGAUAAAUCCAGUCUUCUAUUGUCAUAUAUCAGAUCCAGUGAUGGAGGAAAACUGUUAUUUAGCAUUAACAGUUUGUCAGCUGACUCAUGUUUCCAUCCAAUCUAAAUCCUCUCUACCUACCUUUUAGGAAGUCAUUCAAACUUUAAAAAAAUAUGGUGAAGAUGUUAUCAAAAACUCAUUAGUAUGAGAAGAUUAGCUAAUCAAUGGUUUGUAUUGAUGAAUUGCCAAAUAUAUAUAUAUACAUAUAUAUAUAUAUAUAUAUAUAUAUAUAUAUGUAUUAUGUGUUUGUGUGUGAUUCUUAUAAUUGAGAUAUUUAAAAUACACAUGUAAUCAAAACAAUAUACUGAAAGAGAACAAGCAUAAGAGUAUACCAAUUGGGGCCUAACUUACAUAUUUAAACAAAUCAGCAGACACAUGUGUGUAAUUACAUAAUCCUGGUGGUGUGGUGUAGCCUGGCUUGAAUUACACAUUUCUAUACUCUCUAUGCCUUUCCUUUGACCUAAAUUCUGUUGCAACUGGCUACACUAUUAUGCAUACAUGAUUCAAAAUGCAUGCUGAUGAUUUUGCAGUGCCAGAGAAUGAAUGACAGCAUUUCCACUUCACCCACCAAAAAAAGACCGGCCACAUGAGGUAGCCCAAAUUAGAUGGGCAAGUCUCCAGAUCAGUCAAAGGAACAAGGUUCUAAACACAGGCUACUGAUAAUGCACACAGGUGCUCUUGAUCAUUAUCUAUAACUUAAAAGAAAAUGUCUAUUUUUGUUCCAGGGCUUGCAUGUAGAAAAGACCAAAUCCAGAAAGGUGCAAAUCCUACCACAGCAUUGUGUUGCCAAGUGUUGCCUGGGCUGUUCACAAUUUGACUCUGAUGACCAUAAACAAGGGAUAUGGGCUCCAACUCUUAUCCAUGCAUUGUAUUUCACACUCCAUCCUGGAUGGUGUAAUGAUAGUGGCAGGAAGGUGAAGACAAGGACAUAAUGAGAAAUAAGCUCAUGGGGCCAAAUUUGCUCAGAUCUCUUCCCCUGCCUGACCAGUUAUAUAUACAAUACUUGUUUUCACUCUGUGUGAUGUCAUCAAUGACGAGAAGGCAAUGCAGUGGAAUUUACAGUGUAAUUACAUUGAAGAAGUGGCUUUAGGGUUAACAGUGGCAACACCAAGUUGUGUGCUUCUGUUGAGUUUUGGUGCACAGUAUCCUUUGAACCAAGCAUGUGGUUUGUUGAUGGAUAUACCAUUAUCAUGCCUGUGAUGUUUGAACAGUGCAUUGUUUUAUUAUUUAUUUAUUUAUUUAACUUUUAAUGCAGUGGCCAUGACCUAUUGCUUUGAAGCCAUUGCCACAACACAAAUUGUGGACACACAUUCUACAGCAAAUAAAAAUCUGUGAGCAAGUUUUUCUAGAUGCAGUAAUGUGCAGCUUUGGAUGGUUGGUGGGCAGGGUUGUUGGAUGCUUGACUUUGCUUCAUUGAGCUCUGGUCAGCAGGGAGGAGCAUGUCAUUUGGGCCUCUGUAGAGUAUUUUCAUCAAUGGUGAGAAAAUAUGUGUUAUGAGGAGCAUCAACUGCAAAGGAGUGUAGAUGAUGACUUCUGCUGCAGCAAAUUAGGGUUUUCUGUGCUAAUGGGAAUGAUAGGACAAAAGAAAAGACAGAGAGAUUGGGUUCAGACCAUACUUGUAAUUUAUUGGAUACUGUGCAUCCAGGAAAAAAAAAAAAAAAAAAAAAAGAAAAAAGAAAAACUAAUAUCUACAGUAUGCAAGGGAGGUUGUCUGUGAAUGAGCAUCAGAAUAGAAUGAACUGGUUAAAAACAUACUUGCAGUGCUCAAUUAUUUUAGGAAAGAGAUUGAUCAAUUCAUGUCAUUAGUUUCUUAUUACUUUGAAUGCAAAUAUCUACCAUCGUUGACAAUUAAGUGUACUCUAAAUAAAACUGUGAUAAUGGGGUAGCUGAUAUUUUACCCUAGAAGGAGCUCAAUUGUGCAAUCAUCAGACAAUGAAGUUUAAGAGCCAUGGUUGCAUUUCAAAACUAGAAAAUUAAUGCAGAAGGAUCAAUGUUGUCAAGUUGUGACAUGCAGCACAAGCAACCAAAAUCACAACACCUCUGACCCACAAACACACUGUUUGAGGUUUGCCCUAAAGUAUCUCAUGGCCUCAAUUGCCCACAAAAAAAAAAAAAAAAACGAAUAAAAAAAACGAAACCUAGUUCAAACAAAGAUUGUAGCUCAAGUGCAAGCAAAAUUAGUAAUGCACUGACUUAACCACGAAGUGUGCACAUAACCCAAAAGUUGGAUAAUUUGUCCGCAGGAUUCCAAAUUAUUAUCCAUAAGAUAGAACAAACAGCAAGGGAACCUAUUAAUGGGGACAGCAGAGUUUGUGGUGCGAAAUUGAGGAUGAUGCAGAGUAUUUAAUGAAUGACGUCGA
Molecule: long non-coding RNA, 120170 nt
Filed under: Physcomitrium patens
Lineage: Eukaryota; Viridiplantae; Streptophyta; Bryopsida; Funariales; Funariaceae
Description: long non-coding RNA (PPAT_LNC000563)
Source: RNAcentral